AUCAGAACCAAGCAACACUAGUUAACACCAAUCCACCAUGAAGACCUUCCUCGUCUUUGCCCUCCUCGCCGUUGCGGCGACAAGUGCAAUUGCGCAGAUGGAGACUAGAUGCAUCCCUGGUUUGGAGAGACCAUGGCAGCAGCAACCAUUACCACCACAACAGACAUUUCCACAACAACCACUAUUUUCACAACAACAACAACAACAACUAUUUCCUCAACAACCAUCAUUUUCGCAGCAACAACCACCAUUUUGGCAGCAACAACCACCAUUUUCUCAGCAACAACCAAUUCUACCACAGCAACCACCAUUUUCGCAGCAACAACAACUAGUUCUACCGCAACAACCACCAUUUUCACAGCAACAACAACCAGUUUUACCUCCACAACAAUCACCUUUUCCACAACAACAACAACAACACCAACAGCUGGUGCAACAACAAAUCCCUGUUGUUCAGCCAUCCAUUUUGCAGCAGCUAAACCCAUGCAAGGUAUUCCUCCAGCAGCAGUGCAGCCCUGUGGCAAUGCCACAACGUCUUGCUAGGUCGCAAAUGUUGCAGCAGAGCAGUUGCCAUGUGAUGCAACAACAAUGUUGCCAGCAGUUGCCGCAAAUCCCCCAGCAAUCCCGCUAUGAGGCAAUCCGUGCUAUCAUCUACUCCAUCAUCCUGCAAGAACAACAACAGGUUCAGGGUUCCAUCCAAUCUCAGCAGCAGCAACCCCAACAGUUGGGCCAAUGUGUUUCCCAACCCCAACAGCAGUCGCAGCAGCAACUCGGGCAACAACCUCAACAACAACAAUUGGCACAGGGUACCUUUUUGCAGCCACACCAGAUAGCUCAGCUUGAGGUGAUGACUUCCAUUGCGCUCCGUAUCCUGCCAACGAUGUGCAGUGUUAAUGUGCCGUUGUACAGAACCACCACUAGUGUGCCAUUCGGCGUUGGCACCGGAGUUGGUGCCUACUGAUAAGGAAAGAUCUCUAGUAAUAUAUAAUUGGGUCACCGUUGUUUAGUCGAUGGAUAUGUCGAUGCAGCGGUGACAAAUAAAGUGUCACACAAUGUCAUGUGUGACCCGCCCAAACUAGUUGUUUAAAUUCUGAAAUAAAAUAAAAAUAAAGUUGUAUCAAGACAAUGUUCAUAUUGGCAUUGUGUGGAUGUCAAUCUGAUUGCCAUGCUUGCAAGUUCAUAAGUUUGUCUUUCCUUGUCACAAGCGCAACCUGGUGCCUUAAUUAAUUAUCAAUGUACUGGAAUAAUCACUAUUUAAAUAUAAUAGUGUCACUGUAAAAUUUGGGUUGAACUCUUUAUUGGUUGGAGAUUUGAGAUCUUGUUUUUUAUUGGUUUGUAUCUAGUACCAACUAGUACCACUGUCUACAGUGACAAUCACAACCAGUUUUGUUGCUAAUUAUGUUUGCUUUCUUGCAAAUACAUUCAUUGAUUCUUUGCAUGUCAAAUUAUUUGCCGAGAAAAAUACCAGCUUUUUCUUGAACUUCACAAACACCACUAGCUAGUUAAUUUGAAAUAAGCUGCCAAUUUAUUUCCUUGUAUUUAUGCCCUUUACAUCGAACCAGUACAAUCAUUGUGCUAGCUAGAGAAAAGGAGUUGCUGGCACGUUCAUGUCUAGAACUAAAUCAGACUGAAUUGAACUUGUUCUUUACAACUAGCUAGGAGCAGAAAACUUACUGUGAAUUGCACUUGAUUAUAUUUGAUUUUGUUUAAGAGCUACAGGGAAAAAUCAUCAAAAAAUGCCCUAAAAUAUCUUAUCGUAAAAUAGGUUCACCAGGAGAUACAGUCGCAAGAAAAAAAAGGCUCACCAGGAGAUAGAUGCUGCACAUUAUCAUUUAGAAAUUAGACCAAGAGAAAUGUGGAUUUGGCGGCUCAUAAUUCUAUAAGACUAUAACAGGUUGUCCAAUCAUUUAGAAAUUAGAUCAAGAAAAUGUGGAACUAAACAUAUUAAUGGCUAGGAUCAUAUUUGCACUGUGGGAACUUGGUAUGCGCGCUCCAACAUGCCCGUUGAAAGCAUUUUUUCCUCUGAUGCACAUAUGAAAUAUGACUGGUCGAAAACAGAAGAAACAGUGAGAUAAUAUGGAUGCUUGGAUGUUGUAACAAACAUAAACUUAUUAUAUAUAUAUCCAAUCCACCGAGCGGACGAACAUCCUAGGAGCUUUUCUCUCGGAGAUCGAAAAGAAACGAAAUGUCCACGCCAACUGCUUCUUCUCCAUCUGUAUAACGCGUGUAGGAGAAUUAUUUUGAUGAUUAUUUGAAGUGGCAUCCACAUAGAGUACAAAGCUAUUCAGCUAGAAAAGCCACAAAUGUACAUCACUUUUAGCCUACAUGACUGAACUCUGCUCCAUGACCUUCUUGAUUCAUGCGGCUCCUGAAUUCAUGUGAAUCGAAUCGCGGAAGAGAUAGGCUUUCAGGGUCAAUACCUCAUGUUCAUGGGAAGGCCGGAGAGGCUGCGUCGAUGUGCAGCCUGAACCCGAGGAGGAGCUCCGUGUCGGUGUCAAAACCGGCGGAUCUCGGGUAGGGGUCCCGAAUUGUGCGUCUAGGAUCGAUGGUAACAGGAGACGGGGGACACGAUGUUUACCCAGGUUCGGGCCCUCUCUAUGGAGGUAAUACCCUACUUCCUGCUUGAUUGAUCUUGAUGAAUAUGGGUGUUACAAGAGUUGAUCUACCAUGAGAUCGUAAUGGCUAAACCCUAGAAGUCUAGCCUAUGUGUAUACGGUAAUGAAUGUCCCCUAUCCGGACUAUGCUCUCCGGUUUAUAUAAACACCGGAGAGAUCUAGGGUUACAUGGAGUCGGUUACAUAAGAAGGAAUCUUCACAGCUGGUCACCUAGCUUGCGUUCCACGCCAAGGGAAGUCCAAUCCGUACACGGGUGUAGUCUUCGGCCUUCGUAUCUUCACAGCCCAUCAGUCCGGCCCAAUGAAUAAUAGGCCGGACGCCCGAGGACCCCUUAGUCCAGGACUCCCUCAGUAGCCCCUGAACCUGGCUUCAAUGACGAGGAGUCUGGCGCGCAGAUUGUCUUCGGCAUUGCAAGGUGGGUUCCCUCCUUCCGAAUUCCGGAAUAGUCUUCGGAUGCAGUAGAUAUAUUUGGACCUGUGUAUAUAAUUGCAAAAAAUACAAUAUUCCACGAGUCUAAUUUGUUGAUAACUGUUUACAACAUCGCAUCACGCCUGCCCGGUUACUAUUUCCAACCGUUGGCUGGCACGUCGCCCCACGUCUCGGGACGCGGUUUUACUGGCACGUCUUGCCAAGGCAGAGAUCGUGUUCCCUUAUUCACGGGACUUUCAUUAAUGCAAGCGUGGGUAACCCAACCGUCCCCUGGGUACAACUCUCUGGGGAUAGGUAAGUUUCGAGACCCAGGUGGAUACCCUUAGUAUUUGGGGUCUUUAUAUAGGGCCCCAGACUCGUCUUCUUCCUUUGCGCUUGCUUCUUCCUCAACCCUAGCCACCCCAAGUUCCAACCCUCGGGUUCCCAUCGCCACCAGCCCUAAUCAUGUCCGAAUCCAGCCGUCAAGGCCGGUGGGUGGCUUCUUCUAUCACAGAGGAGGAUAUUGCAAAGCUCUGCGCAGUGAGGUAUCUGACCCCGGAAAUCCUUCAUCAGCUUCCUGCACAGGGGCAGGUCGUUCCUACCCCCAAAUCCGGCGAGAGGGUAGUGUUUGUGUCCCACUUCCUCCAUGGGUUAGGUUUCGCGCUUAACCCCUUCGUCCGGGGGCUCAUGUUCUACUAUGGGCUAGACUUUCACGAUCUAGCCCCGGACUCUAUUCUUCUCAUCUCGACAUUUAUCGUCACGUGUGAGGCCUUCCUUCGGACUCCUCCGCACUUUGGUUUGUGGCUCAAGACCUUUGAUGUGAGGCCGCAGGUGACAGAGGAGGAGCAGGCAGAGUGUGGCAGCGUCACAAUAGGCAAGCUUGCCAGCGCGGUUUGGUUUGAAGGAUCUUUCACCAAGUCUUCCGACCUAUGGCAGCACGGGUGGUUUUAUAUCAACGAGCCGCGGGGCUCCAAGUGGGAGGCUACGCCUGCGUUCCGACCCGGCCCUCCAAUUCAGCUCGCUUCAUGGAUCAAUAAGGGACUGGACUGGGGAUCCGUCAAUGAAAUGCAGACUCUGCAAGGUCGCAUCCGAAGCCUUACCAAGAAGGGCAUCGGUCUUGUGAACGUCGUUCAAGUAAUGCUAGUCCGCCGGACCCUGCCAUGUCAGCGGCGGCCUCUCCGUAUGUGGGAGUUUAAUUCAGAAGGGCAGCGGCCUCUUCAGCACUUCUUCGGCACCACGCACGAAGGAAUGUGGAAAUUAUAUUUCGGGGAACGAGAGCAAUGGCCGGACACCACCGAAGAUGUCGGCCUUGACUGCAAUCAUCCAGACACCGCGGUAAGUACUCAAACGCUGAACACAUUCAAGCAUCUCUUGACAACAUACUGAACAAUCCGUCCCUAUACAGGACUGGAUAAAGAAAGCAGUGUUAAUCUGGUGUCCGGCGCCCCUUCCCGAAGACUCUGCGACCGCCCUGCUGACGAGAAUGCUGAUUCCCACACCGUACCAGGUUUCUGCGGAGGAGGGCGAGAGCGGGGAACCCGAAGGUGAUACCCGCCCUGAGGACGAAUUAGACAUUGUGUUCGGGGAAACCGAAACUCUUUUGCCCAAGGGCAAAGGUGCGGAGGAAGCUCUCCAUGGCAAAAAGAGGGCUGCUUCCGAAGAUCAGGAGGGGAAGCCUUCCAAGAGAGGAAAAAUGCCAUCGUCGGGCAGUUUGGGCCGGCCAAGCGAUGCUGCCGUAAGGCUUUCUGGCGAGGACGAACCUCUGGCCAAACCGUAAGUGAGGCUGGGGCACUUUAAACAUACCUCAUUCUUUUCCUAUUAGUGAAGUAAUCAUCCGACAUAUGCACAUCCACGUAGGUUAACGCCUGGUGUUUCUCAAUCAUCCUCCUCCUCGGGAGACCUUCUUCCGGAGAUGAUGGAGAGUGACACGCCAUCUCCGGCUUCUUCGCGCAACAGGGGGGAUGAUACCGAGGUAUCGUCCCGAAGGGCUCCUCCCCAUCGUCAAGCGGUGCAGGAAACGGAGAAGGCGUUACCCGAAGGUGGUGCCUCUGUCACCCAGGGUUCGGGAAUCAAGAAUGACGGCCCCGAACCAUCCGGUUUACAGCCGGAGAUGAUUCUGGGGGAGAAUAAGCAGAUUAAUUCAAAGGAAUGCCGUACUCCGGCGGCGGUUUCCGAAGACCCCGGAGCGCCGGAAAUGUUGACGGACAUGCUGCGGCGAGCGUCCAUUUCAGAGAAGCACCAUGCCUUGAUGGUUACGGUGGUCGAAAAGGUUCUAUCCGCGAAAAGCGGAUUGAACGAGGCCUUCUGGAGCCUUCUAAGAGGUUUUGAGGUUUGUGAUGUAGUUUUGCCAAUUGAAUGAUUUUGACAGAAUGCACUUGUUGUAUAUGCAGUAGCCCCUGAGACUCGGAUUGCCUUCCGAAGGAAGCGAUCGGAGGAUAAAAAAGAUAUGCUCAGUUACUAACCUUGAAUCAACUUGGAAUACAGGCUGCCUCGCCUCCUGCGGCUACCCGAAAUACGGAAGUGGCCGAACUGCAGCGAAAGCUGAAUAUUGCAGAAGAUGACAUUGCAUUGAUCAACAAGCGUCUUGACGACUCGCAAGGUAUAUAGUUCGAGCAUUCCUUACACGAAUGUUCUUGUAAUGUAGGCCUGACGCCGAAAAGGGUUUAAUGUGCAUGAUUGCAGAUGGUGUUCCCUCCGUUGAAGCUCCUUGUGAGGAGCUAGCCCGGCCCAAGGAGCAGGCCCGGUGUAGUGAUGCGGCUGCCGAGAAGGCAUCGGCUGAUCUAAGAGCCGAAUAAGCAGCUCGGCGCCGAAGUGAGGAGAAAAUAUCCGCACUGGCGCUUGAAUUGAAGAAUACUGCCAGCCACUGUGAAUUCCUUGAGAAGGAGAAUAAAGCCAAAAUGGCUGAACUUGAUAAGGCCGUUCGAGAGGCGAGUGAAGCUCGGUCUGAAUCUAGGGCAGCUUGGGAAGAGAUUCGGCAGGCUAAGGAGAUAGCGGCCGGUAAGCCCUUUUUGCUUCAGACUAAGUUUGGCGAUCCGGACUAUGCUCAGCUAAACCAGGUCUGGAGUUCUCCGACUGAAUUUUUGGACUUGCCGAAGAGUUCUUCCAAUGCAGCGCAAUUUUACCAAGCGCAAGAGGGGUAUGCGAUGGAGAAGCUUUUCUGGUCACAAUUUGGCGCCUCAAAGCGCCCUCUGUUGCUAAAUGAACAGAUGUCCCAGUGGGCCGAGCUUCAUAGGAUAUCCGGCGACGCCAUGAAGAACGUCAUAAUCCGGUUGUGGCCGAGUGAGCCUGUUCCCAAGAGCUAUUUUGGCCUGGUGCGGCGUCUUGUUGAUGCUGUGCCGCGUAUCGAUGCUGCGAAGCGGUCGGCAUGCACUGAGGGUGCACGGAUGGCCUUUGCCCGAGUCAAGACGUUCUGGGGGAAGAUGAAGGCCAUCGAUGUUGCGGCGAAGGGUCCGCCCAAGGGCAAGGACCGUAAUGAGCCGGAGCAUUAUUUUGAAGACGUCCUAGAAGCCGCCCGCCUGAUAGAGGGUCAAUGCUCGAAGAACAUAAUGUUCGAGUGAGGUGUAUUAGAAUUGUAAAAGACAAUUUUAUGAUUGAUCUAUUUUAUAUUUUUGCUCCAAAGCUUGAAUUCCUCCUCUGCGGCCGUUUUAAUAUAAUAUGAAAGUUUUCCAGUCGUCGGCUUCAGCCCCCUCGUAGGAAGUACGGGGGUGUUCGAAAAAACAUUUAAUCACUCUUUGUCCAAUGUCUUGGUCCGUAAAGGAGGUGAUAAUGCAGCGAACCAGGCAAUCGGACUAUAAGGCGUUAACACUUUCACUUAGCCAUAGGAGUUUUAUGGUGGGGCUACGACAUUGCCCCUGGUGUGUAUGCGGCGUAUAAUGCCUUGCAUAUUUGAUCUGAAAAAGAUCCCUCGUAUGACACGGAGAAUCGCUAAGGAUUCCAAGAAGUCGUCAAGUGGUUAAUCAGCUCUCGCCGCAUCAUGACAGUCAGUUUUCGGCUUUCUCUACUGAGGUGCUCGUCCGGUUUAGAACAGGGCACAAUCGCAGUAGUUCUCCCUUUACUACCCUAGCCGAUAGAGCGGAACGUAGGGUAGCAAGCACAGGAGCCGGGCAACCCAACUAUUGACCCAAGACAAUGAUUCGGAGCUGAUGCAUAUAAGGCCAAACUUGCGACGCCCAAGUACGCUAUAGAGUUGUUGGGACUUUUGCUGGCAACUCUUUCGUUCCCAUACCGAGCCCCUGGCAGGGUAUGCCGAGGUGUAUCUGUAACGCAGCCAUUGAGGCCGUACUCAUUGUUGCAAGAGUAUGAAAGAUUAGUUCGGACGAGGUUUACUGGGAACGGAGCAAUAUGCCAAUGACGAAUUUAAAAAUAAUAAAAAAGAAACCACAAGCCCGGCUAUUUGACAUGCUCGGGGUCGGGUACAGAGGAAAAAAAGGCUUAAUACAGGCUCGGAAUAAAGAGUGUGGUCUACAAAAAGUUAUUUUGGACCUCCUGUCGCACGUCUGCGCCGCCCGUCCUCGGGGAGGGGAAUCCUUAAGGGAAGUAGCCCCUUAGGUGAGUGUACGGAUCCGAACUCCGAUAGAGUCCGUUGUAGAUGCUGUCAUGUUGGUCACCUGUUCUUAAGAAAUGAUACAGAAAAAUAAGAAAAACGGAUAAGAACGUUACAGGGAUUCUUGCAGGCUUGUCCAUAUUGUGCUUCCGCCGAUGCCCAUGGUAUCUUGAGUGCGUAGUGAUGUAUGCGUGGUGUGAAUCUCGCCGGUAUGGUAGGUGGGUGGCGGAUGCCGAACUGCUAUUUCUGUUCCGAGAGUGGUCGAACUUCGGAGGGAAACUGCUUCUGGCCCCUGAUAUUCGGCUGGCGAAACGCUCCGUUGUCUUUAUCGCCUGGUGGCCUCCUCCCCUUGCUAUCGGCGUUGAGCUUGCCUGCCUGCUUGAGGACCCAACAAUUUCUGUUAGUAUGGUUAGCUGGCUUAUCAGGAUGACCAUGAAUCUGACAAGGUCGGUCCAAUAUUCUGUCAAGGGUGGAUGAUCCAUCCUGGUUUGCCUUUAGUGGCUUCUUCCAUUGACCGGGUUUCGAAUUGUGAAAUUCGGCGUUGACCGCUGUGUCGCGUAAUCCUUCAGUAUUAUUGCGACUGUUGUGUUCGGUUCGUCGAGGCUUACCGUUGCCGUCUUGAAUUUCGGAAGUGCCCGGGUCACUGGCGUUGUUGCUCUUACGAGCGAGCCAGGUGUCUUCUCCCGCACAAAAGCGAGUCAUCAGAGCGGUAAGGGCUAUCAUGGAUUUGGGUCCUUCCUGGCCGAGGUGACGCGCUAGCCAUUCAUCCCGGAUGCCAUGUUUGAAGGCUGCGAGGGCUUCUGCGUCCGGACAGUCGACAAUAUGUUUUUUUUUUUGACUAAGAACCUAGUCCAGAGCUCCCUGGCGGACUCGCCGGGCUUCUGGACAAUAUGACCAAAGUCAUCAGCAUCUAGUGGCCGGACAUAUGUUCCCUGGAAGUUGUCUCGAAAGGCGUCUUCCAAGUCUUCCCAGCUACCAAUAGAAUUUUCUGGUAAACUGUUUAGCCAGUACCGGGCUAGCCCUUUAAGCUUGAGAGGUAUGUAUUUAAUGGCAUGAAGGUCGUCUCCGCGAGCCAUGUGGAUAUAUAUGGAGGAGGUAAUCCUCAAUCCAUACCGCGGGAUCUGUUGUUCCAUCGUAUGAUUCGAUAUUAAUGGGUUUAAACCCGUCUGGAAAUUCAUGCUCCAUUACCUCGUCGGUGAAGCAAAGAGGGUGUGCGGCUCCUCUAUGUUGAGCCACACUAUGAAGCACCUCCGGCGGACUCUGUUUACGGAGUUCGGAUCGAGCGUGGUCGGCUCUGUUGUGUCCGAAUAGGUGACCAUCAUUACGGUCGGGGCAUGUCCCCGCGAUCUGUGUAUUGACUUCGUGUGUCAUGUUCUACCCUCCAGGUCCUUGGAUGUCGCGAGUGUUCCCCCGAGCUGUGUUGUUCUUGUUUUGAUGGCCGGAUGGGUUGGUAUGAUGCUCUGCUUGGGCUACUGCUUUGUCCGGACCGAACUGUGGUCGGCCUACAUCCUUAUUCGAUGGUGGUGUGGGCUUCAACGCCCUGCCAUCGUAUUGAGGGGGCCACCUGCUGUUGGGGUGGCUCUUGUCUGGGCCAAUAAGGCCGUAUUGUUCGGCGGCCAAGACCUCGGUCCAUCUAUCAUUGAGCAAAUCUUGGCUCGCUUUAAGCUGCAGCUGCUUCUUUCUUAGGCUCCUUGCAGUGGCUAUGAGCUGGCGUUUAAAGUGCUCCUGCUCGAGAGGUUCCUUAGGCACGAUAAAAUCCUUGUUGUCGAGGAUCUCCUCUUCCUCGGAGAGUGGGAGAUAAUUGCUAUCCUCUGAGUCUCCAUAUGUUACCUGUUCAUCAGGGUUGUCUUGCCCGCCUUCCUGUUCCUCCUGUUCGGAUCCUACCUCAACAGGGUCUUCAUCGUCCGGAGUGUUGUCUUCUCCGGUGCAAGUGUUAUUUUCUCUUGAGCGUCGUGACUUGGAGCGGCGCAAGGCGCGCCGGUGUUCGGACUAUGCACCAGGAGGCUUAUCCUCAAUUGGAUCCUCCUUGUCAUCGUCGAAAGCAUCGUUGGGUGUGUCUAUCAUACACACGUCAUACCAUGAAGUGGUCAUCCCGCGUCUAGCGGGUAGUGAGUUCUGGCCUUGCCCCUCAUCGUCGUCCGUACCGUCGAUGUCUUCAGGGCCGAGGUCAAGCGUGUUGGUUGGGUCUUCGACAGUGGCUAUGAAGUGGGUGGUGGGUGGGAAGCAAAAUUCUCCAUCAUCAGCCGUAAGUUCGAGCCGAACAUAGUUCAGUGGCGAGUCGCCUACCAGAGAUAGGUUUUUUAGUGAGUUUAGUACAUCGCCCAUGGGCGAGUGUUGGAAGACGUCUGCGGCGCUGAACUUGAAGAUCGAUAACCGAUCGAGUUCGGCAUCUGCAGACUCGCAAGGUUCGGAACCUGUCGCCGGGGACGAAUCCGGGGUUCCGCUGAUGCGGAUAUCAUACGCAGUAGAAUCUGUGUGCGGCUCGAACGCCGCCGAAUCGGUAGCCCUCGUGAUGGGGUUGAGCUUCCCAUCCCGGGACGACUUGAUCUGCUCCGGAUCUAAGGCCAGAGUUGCUGUAGGAGCUAUCUCCUCGAUGCGGCCCAAUGACAGGUUUAAGCCAUGUCCAUCGAGGCGGCGGGAGCGAUUGCCGCGGUCUUGAAUCCGUCGAAGAUCAAGUCUCCACGGACGUCCCCAACGUAGUUCAAGCUUCCGAAUCUGACCUGAUGGCCAGGGGCGUAGCUGUCGAUCUGCUCCAGAUGGCCAAGCGAGUUGGCCCGCAGUACGAUGCCACCGAACACGAAGAUCUGUCCGGGGAAAAAGGUUUCUCCCUGGACAACGUCACCAUCGACGAUUGAAGGGGCCAUCGAACCUUUUGUCGACGGCACAGUGGAACUCUCAAUGAAAGCACCAAUGUCGGUGUCAAAACCGGCGGAUCUCGGGUAGGGGGUCCCGAACUGUGCUUCUAGGAUCGAUGGUAACAGGAGACGGGGGACACGAUGUUUACCCAGGUUCCGGCCCUCUCUAUGGAGGUAAUACCCUACUUCCUGCUCUAUUGAUCUUGAUGAAUAUGAGUGUUACAAGAGUUGAUCUACCACGAGAUCGUAAUGGCUAAACCCUAGAAGUCUAGCCUAUGUGUAUAUGGUAAUGAAUGUCCCCUAUCCGGACUAUGCUCUCCGGUUUAUAUAGACACCGGAGAGAUCUAGAGUUACAUGGAGUCGGUUACAUAAGAAGGAAUCUUCACAGCUGGUCGCCUAGCUUGCCUUCCACGCCAAGGAAAGUCCAAUCCGGACACGGGUGUAGUCUUCGGCCUUCGUAUCUUCACAGCCCAUCAGUCCGGCCCAAUGAAUAACAGGCCGGACGCCCGAGGACCCCUUAGUCCAGGACUCCCUCACUCGGAGACCUUCUUGUGGGGACCAUCUACGAGAGGAAGUAAAGAGGGAGAUCAGAAGAGGAUACAUGAGAGGUUAGGGUGGGGAGGAGGCUGCGCCGGCGAGCGGCCACGGCUCAAGGCGGUCCGGCCGACGAGGAGGACGAACAAGGGAGAGGAAGAUGCAGAUCGGCAAACUGUGGGUUGGGCUUAUGACGUUGGGUUCUCACAAAACUAUAGCCCAUUUCGAAUUUGGUGCCCGUGACGACACACACACAACGCUUAUGUUGGGCCUAAUCACUCACUUCCAGCCCCCAACUCUGAUUUCCCCCUCAAAGAAAAACAAAACUUCAACCCUUCUCACUCCCCAUGAUCACAACAACAACAACAGAAAUAUCUAUAUGCAAGAUCAGGAAAUAUCUAUAAGGGGCAUUCAGAACACAUGUGACCUAAUCGCUAUAACAGCUUGAUAUUAUGGUGGGAUAGACAUAAACUGGUUCACGAAGGAAAGUUUCAUGAUGCAAACCAAAAUUCAAGGGGAGCACGUGCUAUAAUGGCAAACUAUGUUAAUGCCUACUCCCCUAAAGCAACUAGUAAAACAGGGGGAUGGAGUAUCCCUUCUAGGGUUUUUGUGAAGCUGAAUAUUGAUGUAUCUUUUCAUCAUGGUCUGCUUCAGGGUACAUCGGGGGUUAUUCUUAGACAUUACAAAGGCAGGCUCAUUGUCGGUGGAAACUGGAGGAUAGAUUGUCGUGCGGAUGUAUUAGCAGCAGAAGUUGUGGUGCUAAAGUUUGGGUUAUUCCUUGCACAGAAGGCGGAUUGCAAUCGUCUUGUUGUUAACUCGUACAGUACAUAAGUGAUUGACACAAUAAAGAAUGGAUGACACUCGACCGGAGCGGCGGUUGUAGUUUUCUAUGAUUGUUAAUUUUUGGGCUUGUGAUUUUUCUUUUAUUAGAUUUGAACUUUGUAAUAGGGAAGUAAAUAAGAUGGCAAAUGAAAUUGCUAGGCCAGCGAAAUUUUUUGUCACUAGUGAUUGGUUUGAGGAGUGAAUGAGAUUGUGCCUUUUUUAUUGACAAUGUAACAGUUGUUUCUAAUAAAUAAAGUUGAAGUUUUAUUGAAAAGGACAACAACAAGAAAAAAUAUCCUCAUCUUGUCCCAAGGGAUCUGAAACCCCAGUAUCCUUGCAUCUUUCUUUUGCAUGGCAUGUACAUAAGAUUUUCUUUGUUAGUAGCAUGUGUUGUUGGCGGUGGCGGCAUGAUGUUAGAGGUGACAUGUGUGGACGGAUGAUUGUUUCGACUCCAUUUAUUCUUAGGGCCUGUACAAUGCUAGGUGUUCAGCGAAGUGCUUAGAAAAAUAAACUGAGUUUUUAAAGCAUUUUUUAAGCACCGAUGUCUAUUUCUAAUGAUGAGAGACACCUAAUUAGACGUUUACCCUAUACAAAUAAACGUCGAUGCUUUAAGAAAUACUGAUUUAUUUAUCUAACAACCUUUCUUACGCACCUUACAUGGUAAGGUUCGAGAGCUAGUGGCGUCUUGGUUUCUCUUGUUUCUGUCACAUCAAUAUCAUGCUUUGGAUAUAUUCCAGUGCCCUUUUAUUGAUCACUGCCUAUGGCCAUUGAAAUGAGAUCUGGGACUCGGCCAGCUGCAAGAUACCUCUAGAAAGCGAAUUUCCUCUGACGCACAUAUGAAAUAUGACAGUACAAAAUAGAACAAACACUAAGAUUAGACAGAUGAUUGGAUGAUGUAACUAACUUAGACAUCGCUGCACCCAGGACGGACUUUCUUCUCAGACAUCAGAGAGAAACUGAGUGUCCAUGCUGUCAGAGACGCUGGCCAUUGGGCGUUGUCAGUGACUUUAGUCUCGCCUCGGAUAUGGGAGGGGCUAGAACCACCUUAUAAGGAGGAGUGCCACACUCCCUUCAGGCUAGUCUUUUGCGAUGUGGUGGACUCUUUGCUUAUAGUGGUGUGUCUGAUGCACACCGGAAACGUCCGAACAUAUGCCGAAGGUUGGGAGCCGGGCCUGGGACGCUAACAAUUGGUAUCAUAGCUGGGCCCCAGUCUGCCCUGUUUUAGGGGGAUGAGGUGUCAGAGACGCUGGCCAUUGGGCGUUGCCAGUGACUUUAGUCCCACCUCGAAUAUGGGAGGGGGCUAGGACCACCUUAUAAGGAGGAGUGCCACACUUCCUUCAGGCUAGUCUUUUGGGAUGUGAUGGACUCUUUGCUUAUAGUGGUGUGUCCGAUGCGCACCGAAAAUGUUCGAACAUAUGCCAGAGGUUGGGAGCUGGGCCUGGAACGCUAACACAUGCCAACUGCUUCUCCUCCACUCCACCUGCAUAGCACGCAUAGGAGGAAAUUUGAUGAUUAUUUGAAGUGAUAUCCACAUAAAGCACAGAGUUACUCAGCUAGCAAAGCACCUAUGUACAUCACUGUAUGGCUACCCAACUGAAAAUUCUGCUUCCUGACCCUCCUGAUUCAUGCGGGUGGCAUGGAGAUGGGUACGCCUCUCGAAUCCAUGUGAAUCGAAUCGUUGGAACAGAUGGACGGACAGGGUCGAUACCUUGUGUAGAUGGGGAGGGGAGGCCGGAGUGGCUGCCGUCGACCGACGUACGGCCCGCAGCCGACGGAGGAGCUUCAAAAGUGACCUUUUUGUCGAGCGAUGGCGGUGGUGGUGGGGUGCCGGAUGCGGAGGGUGGUGGGAAGCCGGAUGCGGAGGGUGGAAGGAAGGCUGACGCCUCCGUCGCCGCGGACGUACGAGGAGCGGCCGCGAGCGGUGGGGUCCGGGAGAGGCUGCGCCGGCGAGCGGUCCGGCCGGCGAGGAGGACGGGGAAGGGGAGACGAAGACGACGCAGAUCGGCGGAGUGUGGGCUGGGCUUGUGACGUUGGGGCCUCCGAAAACUAUAUCCCAGUUCGAAUUUGGUGCCCUAACACACAACUCUUACGUUGGGCCUAAUCACUCCCUCCUGGCUCCAUCUAUCAUUCCCCAAAAAAAAUCCUUCACACAUAGAUGGAACUGAUGAUUCUCAAAAGAAAAAGAGAUGGAACUGAUUGUGUCAUGUCUUAAAAAAAAGAUCGAACUGAUUGUCUAAAAAAAACAUAGAUGGAACUGAUGAUUUAUCUCCGAAAAAAAGAUGGAACUGAUGAUGACGUGUCUAGAGUUAGGACCGGAUAUAUGUUAGUAGGAGUAGCUUGUAAGAAAUUACCAUCCUUUACAUAUAACGGGAAUUCGAUGAGUCAUGUCAUGCUCUAGAGGCGUCAGUUCAUCUUAUCAUCUUAGAGGAAACUACAAAGUUAUUUUUAUGAAAAGCAACCAACUCUAGAAGAACCCUCCACACGCAAGGCUUUAAUAAUCGAGCAUAUCUUAACAGCCCACACACGAUUGCAAACUUAGUCCUACACAAGCUUUGCCUUUCUUCUUUACGGCUGACAGCCUAUACAAGGUUUCAAACUCGGUUGCAAAAGUGAUACUAUCCUGAUAAGUGUGUGACAUGUAAAGUGAAUAAGGUGAGUCAUAUAUAGCAAACAUCGGGGUUUCUGUACUUUGUGUGUGAUCAUAUGCACAAUUAAAAAGCAACUUUGAUGAUCAAUCCAAAAGUACGCGUGUAGCUAGUGCAACCUAACGCAUUGUACCAAAAAUCAUUUCAGAUGCAUCCAAACGGAAUAAUUAAAGCUAAUGCAAAGAAGAAAAGAGGUGGUGCCCAGGCUACUAUAAAUAGGCAUGAAGUAUAAAGAUCAUCACAAGCACAAGCAUCAAAACCAAGCAACACUAGUUAACACUAAUCCACCAUGAAGACCUUCCUCAUCUUUGCCCUCCUCGCCGUUGCGGCAACAAGUGCCAUUGCACAAAUGGAGAAUAGCCACAUCCCUGGUUUGGAGAAACCAUCGCAGCAACAACCAUUACCACUGCAACAAACAUUAUCGCACCAACAACAACAACAACCUGUCCAACAACAACCACAACCAUUUCCACAACAGCAACCAUGUUCACAGCAACAACAACCACCAUUAUCGCAGCAACAACAACCACCAUUUUCACAACAACAACCACCAUUUUCGCAGCAACAACAACCAUCAUUUUCGCAGCAACAACAACCACCAUUUUCACAGCAACAACCACCAUUUUCGCAGCAACAACAACCAGUUCUACCGCAACAACCAUCAUUUUCGCAGCAACAACUACCACCAUUUUCACAGCAACAACCACCGUUUUCGCAACAACAACAACCAGUACUACCGCAACAACCACCAUUUUCGCAACAACAACAACCAAUUCUACCGCAACAACCACCAUUUUCGCAACAACAACAACAACCAGUUCUACCGCAACAACAAAUACUAUUUGUUCAUCCAUCUAUCUUGCAGCAGCUAAACCCAUGCAAGGUAUUCCUCCAGCAGCAAUGCAGCCCUGUGGCAAUGCCACAAAGUCUUGCUAGGUCGCAAAUGUUGCAGCAGAGCAGUUGCCAUGUGAUGCAACAACAAUGUUGCCAGCAGUUGCUGCAAAUCCCCCAGCAAUCCCGCUAUGAGGCAAUCCGUGCUAUCAUCUACUCCAUCAUCCUGCAAGAACAACAACAGGUUCAGGGUUCCAUCCAAACUCAGCAGCAGCAACCCCAAGAGUUGGGCCAAUGUGUUUCCCAACCCCAACAGCAGUCGCAGCAGCAACUCGGGCAACAACCUCAACAACAACAAUUGGCACAGGGUACCUUUUUGCAGCCACACCAGAUAGCUCAGCUUGAGGUGAUGACUUCCAUUGCGCUCCGUACCCUACCAACGAUGUGCCGUGUCAAUGUGCCGUUGUAUAGAACCACCACUAGUGUGCCAUUCGGCGUUGGCGCCGGAGUUGGUGCCUACUGAUAAGGAAAGGUCUCUAGUAAUAUAUAGUUGGAUCACCGUUGUUUAGUCGAUGGAUAUGUCGAUGCAGCGGUGACAAAUAAAGUGUCACACAACGUCGUGUGUGACCCGCCCAAACUAGUUGUUUAAAUUCUGAAAUAAAAUACAAAUAAAGUUGUAUCAAGACAAUGUUCAUAUUGGCAUUGUGUGGAUGUCCAUAUGAUUGCCAUGCUUGCAAGUUCAUAAGUUUGUCUUUCCUGGUCACAAGCGCAACCUGGUGCCUUAAUUAAUUAUGCAUGUAUUGGAAUAAUUACUAUUUAAAUAUAAUAGUGUUACUGUAAAAUUUGGGUUGAACUCUUUAUCGGUUGGAGAUUUGAGAUCUUGUUUUUUAUUGGUUUGUAUCUAGUUCCAACUACUACCAUUGUCUAUAGUGACAAUCACAACCAGUUUUAUCGUUAAUCAUGUUUGCUUUCUUGCAAAUACAUUCAUUCAUUCUUUGCAUCUUAACUUAUUUGUCGAGAAAAGACCAGCUUUUUCUUGAACUUCACAAACACCACUAGCUAGUUAAUUUGAAAUAAGCUUCCAAUUUAUUUCCUUGUAUUUAUGUCCUUUACAUCAAACCAGUACAAUUAUUGUGCUACCUAGAGAAAAGGAGUUGCUGGCAGCACGGUCAUGUCAAGAACUAAAUCAGAUUGAAUUGAACUUGUUCUUUACAACUAGCUAGGAGCAGAAAACUUACUGUGAAUUGCACUUGAUUAUAUUUAAUUUUAUUUAGGGCUACAGGAAAAAAAUCAUCAAAGAAUGCCCUAAAAAAAUCUUAUCGUAAAAUAGGUUCAUCAGGAGAUACAGUCGCAAGAAAAAAAGGUUCACCAGGAGAUAGAUGCUGCACAUUAUCAUUUACUCCCUCCAUUCCAAAAUAGAUGACUCAAUUUUAUACUAACUUUAGUCAACUUUGUACUAACUUUAUACUAAAGUUAGUACAAAGUUGAGUCAUCUAUUUUGGAACGGAGGGAGUAGAAAUUAGACCAAGAGAAAUGUGGAUUUGGCGGCUCAUAAUUCUAUAAGACUAUAGCAGGCUGUCCAAUCAUUUACAAAUUAGAUCAAGAAAAUGUGGAAUUAAACAUAUUAAUGGCUAGGAUCAUAUUUGCAAUGUGCGAUUGGUAUGCACGCUCCAACAUGACCGCUGAAAGCAUUUUUCCUCUGAUGCACAUAUGAAAUAUGACUGGUAGAAAACAGAAGAAACACAGAGAUUAUAUGGAUGAUUGGAUGUUUUAACAAACUUAAACUUAUAAUCCACCGAGCGGACGAACUUCCUAGGAGCCUUUCUCUCGGACAUCGAUAAGAAACGAAAUGUUCCACGCGAACUUCUUCUUCUCCAUCUGUAUAACGCAUGCAGAAGAAUUAUUUUGAUGAUUAUUUCAAGUGGCAUCCAUAUAGUGUACAAAGCUAUUUAGCUAGAAAAGCCACAAAUGUACAUCACUGUCAGGCUACACGACUGAAUUCUGCUCCAUGACCUUCCUGAUUCAUGCGGCUCCUGAAUUUAUCUGAAUCGAAUCAUGGAAGAGACAGGCUUUCAGGGUCGAUAGCUCAUGUUCAUGGGGAGGCCAAAGAGGCUGCGUCGACGUACGGCCUGAAACCGACGAGGAGCUCGAAGACCUUCUUGUAGAGACCAUCUGGUAGAGAAGUAAGGAGGGAGAUCGGAAGAGGAUACAGGAGAGGUUGGGGGUGGGGUGGAAGGGGAGGAGGCUGUGCCAGCGAGCGGCCGCGGCUCGAGGCGGUCUGGCCGAUGAGGAGGGUGAACAAGGGAGAGGAAGAUGCAGAUUGGCAUACUGUGGGUUGGGUUUGUGACGUUGGGUUCUCAGAAAACUAUAGCCCAGUUCGAAUUUGGUGCCCGUGACGACACACACUGAGCGUUUAUGUUGGGCCUAAUCACUCACUUCCAGCCCCCCACUCUGAUUUCCCCCUCAAAGAAAACAAAAGCUUCAACCCUUCUCACCCCCCCCCUUGAUGACAACAACAACAACAAAAAUAUCUAUAUGCAAGAUCAAGAAAUAUCUAUAAGGAGCAUUCAGAAUGCACGUGAAUUAAUCGCUAUAACAGCUUGGUAUUUAUGGUGGGAUAGACAUAAACUGGUACACGAAGGAAAGUUUCAAGAUACAAAUCAAACUUCGAUAGGAGCUCGUGCCAUAAUGGCAAACUAUUUUAAUGCCUACUCCCCUAAGGCAACUAAUAAAAGAGGGGAUGAUGGAGCAUCCCUCCUAGGGUUUUUGGGAAGCUGAAUGUUGAUGCCUUUUUUGAUCAUGAUCUGCUUCAGGGUACAGUGGGGGUGACUCUUAGACAUGACAAAGGCAGGUUCAUUGUCAGUGGAAAUUGGAGGAUUGAUUGUCGUGCUGAUGUAUUAGUAGCAGAAGUUGUGGCGCUAAAGUUUGGGUUAUUCCUUGCACAGAAGGCGGGUUGCAAUCGUCUUGUUGUUAACUCGUACAAUAUAGAAGUGAUUGACACAAUGAAGAAUGCAGGACACUCGGCCGGUGUGGCGGCUAUAGUUUUCUAUGAUUGCUAUUUUUUGGCUUGUGGUUUUUCUUUUAUUAGAUUUGAACAUUGUAACAGGGAAGUAAAUAAGGUGGCUCAUGAAAUUGCUAAGCUAGCGAAUUUUUUUGUUAUUAGUGAUUGGUUUGAGGAGCCUAUGAAUGAGAUUGUACUUUUUUUUAUUGACGAUGUAACAGUUGUUUCUAAUUAAUAAAGAUGAAGUUUUAUUAAAAACAACAACAAGAAAAAAAAUCUACUCAUCUUGUCCCGAGGGAUCCGAAACCCCAGUAUCCUUGCAUCUUUCUUUUGCAUGGCAUGUACAUAAGAUUUUCUUUGUUAGUAGCAUGUGUUGUUGGCGGCGGCUGCUCGAUGUUAGAGGCGACAUGUGUGGACGGAUAAUUGUUUCGAUCCAUAUAUGUUCUGAUAGCCUUCUUAGGCCCUGUAUAAUGCUACGUGUUUAGGGAGGUGCUUAGGAAAAUAAACCAAGUUUUUAAAGCGUUUUCUAAGCACCAGUGUCUAUUUCUAAUGAGAGACACCUAAUUAAGCGUUUAGCCUAUACAAAUAAACACCGAUGCUUUAAGAAAUACUAGUUUAUUUAUCUAAGCACCUUCCCCACGCGCCUUACAUGGUAAGGUUCUAGAGCUAGUGGUGUUUUGGUUUCUCUUUUUUCUGUCACAUCAAUAUCAUUCUUUCGAAUGGGUCAUGGGUCAACCAAAAUGGGUUUGUCUCGCGACACGAAGGCCGUAAGAGCCGAGCAUCACUAGUCUAAGAAGACCAUCGAACAUGACAUCAUGGAGCGUUUUCUUUUCUUCUUGCCGUCUUCUCCUCCUAGUCCACUAUGUCUCCUUCAACACCAAGGAGUAUUCUUUUUCUCUACAAACACCUCGUAUCGACCUUACGUCCUGCAAAUCACUGAUGGUAACUUCCAUCCUAUCACGAUAACAAUAUUCUCUUUCAAGAAUCAGCCUUCCUCGAGUUACUUAUACCACGUUAAUUGUUGAUGCUGAAAUUAAUAACCUCAACCGUCAACUGCACCCUUGCAAACAUUAAAACACGCGGGUCCAACUUGGUUCAAAACCCAUCGAUCGAUGAUAGUCGGUCAUGUGGGAUUCCGAUCGACUUAGACAUUGAGGCGUUAAAGUCACGUAGAAUAUUUUCUACAAGAAAACAUAUAAUAUAUUCAUCUUCAAUCACGACAGUAUAACAAACACGAGAAAUAAUAAAAAUUACAACCAGAUCCGUAGACCACCUAGCAACGUCUACACCAUAGAUCGAGACAAAGAAGACGAGGACUGAUCCAAAUACUUAAUCACAUGGUGCAUUCGUCGUUCGUUUCAUCAUCACCUCCCGACUGGUAUAGGCACGUCUGGUUCACGUAAUACCCCACAUAACAAUACAGUGGUUGCAUGGCCGGGCAAUAAGAAUAGACGGAGGGCGUGUAGCAUUUUGCUGAGCUCAAUCGCCGUGCAGCCGAUCAAGUUUAGGCAGAUCAAUGUUCCACAAAAUUACAUAGGCGACAAGACAGCCAUAGGCGACAAGACAGUAAAUAAACUACCACAAGCGAUAAUGGCGUACCACACAAAGGAGGCGUCGUCGACCGUCCUCGAAUUACUUAUACCACAUUAAUUGUCGAUGCUGAAAGUAAUAACCUCGACCGUCCACUGCACGCUUGGAAAAAAAAUAGUUCUUGUCAUGGAUAUAAUCAUGACAAUACUAUGGUGAUGUGAAUGUAGAGGCAAUUAUUACCUGAUUGGUACGUAAAGCAGAUGGGAUUAAACACACAGAAUUAUACAGGUUUGGGCUCUCUACGGUGUUGGUAACACCCUACUCCUGUGUGAUCUCGCUCUUGGCGUAGAUUACAAUGUGAGAGAGUUCAACCCUCAGUGUGAUGUCCUACUCUUGUCUUAUAUAUAUGGAGUACGCUAGGAGGGAGUGCCAUAACGGGCUGGUGUAAAUACUAUUGAUGGUCACAUGCAUGAUUGACUAUUCGUGGCUAUUAUUACUGCUAACUGGUGUAACGGCAAUGAUGAAUGCUCAUGGGGGGUCACGGCAUCCUAGGACGUAGCCGACUGUAGAUGGUCCGACUACUCCUGUCUUGCCGAUGUCCGACUGUAGAUGAUCUUACUGCUCCUAUCUUGCUCAUGACCGACUAUCGAGUCUUGUCUGUUAGGGGGCGUGUGAUCCUACUUUAGACACUGGACUCCUUAAUUAGCGAGUAUUCCCCUUGUAUCUGAUGCCCUGGGCUUGUAGCUCCAAUGCCCCAUUUGGGACCGUAUCCUUGAUUAGCCUGGGCUUUUGGCUGGGCCAUAUGUGUACUUAGGCCUAUCCCUUAUAUAUAACCCCAAUACUAUGUUCAUGGAACAAGUAGACGUCAAAAAAUAUAAGUUUAAAAAAGGUAAUCAUGUAUUUGAAAACUGUUGAACCUCUCUAUCAAAAAUAUUUUUGAUAUAUACAAAAAAUAUAUGUCAAAAGGUUGACACUAAAAGAAAGGAAAACAAUGAAAUCCCUAAACCCUAAACAAAGAAAACUGUGAAAGAAACAAAGAAAAAAAAGGAUAGAUAAACGAGUAAAAAAGGAAAACAAGUGUAAAACAUGAAAGAAACAAAGAUAACCAAUGAAGAAACAAAAGAAGAAAGAAAAUAAGAAGAAAAAACUAACCAAACUAGUAUGUGGAACCGAGUGAGCGAAUGACCUGAGCAUGAGCGAACGACCCAAGGUUGUCAGAAACAUGAUUUUGAAUCGGAUAGAAGUUCUGAUGGUAGGAUUGCAAACCUUACAACGACCUGAUGCUAUUCUUGCACCUUCAGGCGUGGCAAAUGCUAAUCUCGCUUUCAGCGAGAUAUAGCAUUCGUGAAGCAAUGAAGGGUGUCAAAUCGUCAUAGCUAUAUCACGCAUAUUCAGGCUCACCUCUGGAGUCCGCAUGUAUGGGCUGGAUCAUUAACGUGUUCUCUCAUAUCUCUGUACGUUCUUUUUCUUUUCGAGUCUUUUUUAAGUCGGGUUUCUUUUCAUCUACAUGAGAAAUAAUUUUAAAUAGAAUCAUUAACAUUAAAAAAAAUACAUGUUUUCAUGUCUAAUUUUUUCAUACACAUUAGAAAUUGUUUUGUAUGCACCAGGAACAUUUUUUCUCUAUACACAUUUAACAUUUUUCAAAUACACGAUUAAUACUUUCAAAAUAUAUCAUUUGAUGUAAAAAAAAUCCAUGUACAUUUUACAUCUGUCUUAUAUAUUAGGAACAUUUUUUUCUAUACACAUUUAACAUUUUUUCAAAUACACAAUUAACACUUUUCAAAUAUAUGUUUUGAUGUAUAAUUUGUUUCAUGUUUUACAUUACAUUAGGAACAUUUUUAAACAAAUUUAACAUUUUUUAUAAUUUCACAUACAAUUUUUUAAGUACGUGAAGAUUAUUUUGUUACCACAAUUUGUUUAAUGCUAUCAAUAUUUUUUUAACAAUGCACAAACAUUUUUUUCAAAAUUUCAGCAUUUGUUUGUGGAAUAUAUUUAUUUAUUUUAAUAUGAAAAAAUAGAAGUAAAAAAUAUAGAGAUAAUCUGAGAGAAAAAACAAAACUGAGGGUAGAACUGAACAAAUCUGUCUCUAGGGCGGCCCACCCGGGCGUUUCUUCAGGAGACGCUGGCUUUCGUGUCGCUAUAAGCUACCCAUAGCCGCGCGCAUAUCGAACCAGACAUGAUUGGGUGUUUGCCAUCUUCUUUCACAAGGUGUGGAUAUUGUAGGCAAGCAGCUUAUAUUCAGUGAUGGCUUUUGUCGUAACACGACAACGGUUUGCUCUUUCAGUUUCUUACCAAAGCAACUGCGGUCAUAACAUGAACCUAUCAAUCACACUUGUAACAUUCCCAUGCAACUCUAGCUAGAUUGGUUCAAACACAUUGGCUCACACAUCGAGGCGAUAUAACCGUAGAGUUCACAACAGGCAACCGAAUAACAAAACAUAUGCAACCCUAAUAUCACAAACUCAAAAAUGAAAGAUGUCAUAGCUUGACAAAAAGAAGGCACCGUAAUGCACCAGAUAAGCGAUCGAGAGACUUAAUCACAUUGUGCAUACGCUCGUUCGUGUGGUCAUUUGCUCCCUGGUCCGUGCAGCUACCCUACAACAGACUGCAAGCAAGUCUUUUGAUCGUGGCCAUUGCCGAAGCACCCUUGAUCCCACUUGUUCCCCGCCAAGAAAAAGGCAUCUAAGUACAGCUAGCGCGGCAUAAUUCAAACGUGACACUGGAACCGAUAUAGGUGGACCGGGGUGGUCAGGAACACUGUCAUCGAGGUUAUUAGGCAUGGUUUUCAUAUUUGUACUUCCUACCCUAAAACACGGUUCGGAUUAGCCGUGUUUUUUUUUUCCUUUCAUCGACCUUAGAAAUGUAGAGGCGAUUGCUGCGUCACCCUGUUUCUGUUUUUGCCGCCAUUUCUGAUAUAGCGAUAUAGGUACGGUCCCUAACUGUCCAUUGCAUGGCCGGAGCCUAAGAAUAACGGACGGCGUGCAUCACUUAAUUUGCAUGCUAAGCUUAAUCACCGUGCCACCGGUCAAGUUGAGGCAAAUCUACCCCGGCCGGCUAAAUUCUCGCUGAGCAAUCAAUGGAAAGGAGAUCGCCCUGUUUGAAAAACCAUAAGAAGGAGACGUUGUCAUCGUCGGGAAGCUAGUUAGAAUGGCGUACCACGGGAAGGAGAGCUCGCCGGCGGCGGGGCAGGUGCUGGUGGUGGCGGUGGCGAUGGCGGUGCUGCUGCUGGCGCAGCAUGCGGGGCGCGCCGACGCCAAGAUGAUCUUGUACGACGUGAUGCAGGGGGACGAGGUGCCGGGACGUAACGGGCUGACCCACGUGGAAGACGAGGCCAACAAGUACACCCGCGGCUGCGAGAGCUCCAACAAAUGCAGAGGCUGAGAACCACGGCAUAGCCGGGAUGGUAGGCAUGGGCUGAUGCAUGCCUGCCCGCCUGGGUUCGAGCCUCCGUGCUCGCAAUACCAGCGCGUACUCACCUAAUUCUUCUAUAAAAGUAAACCGAGGGAUUCUUCCCCUCCGGUCUCGAAAAAAAAUACUAACCAAUUUGCACUCAUUACAUUCCUUCCUACCUUUUUUUUGUUAAUAAGCGGGAGAUAAAUACCCACGCGAUUGCCACGGAAUUCGGUUGUAAUUAUUUUAAUAAGAAUUGGUUGUAUGAAAUAUCAUUAGUUAGAUUCACUUGUAGAAAACAGGGCUUUGGUUCGGGCAGAAAAAAGCAUUAAUCCCGGUUGCAUUACGAACCGGGACUAAUGUGAGCAUUAGUCCCGGUUCGAGCGGCUAGGGCACCGUACAGGCAUUAGUCCCGGUUGGUGCCACGAACCGGGACUAAAGGGUGCGAUGCCCAUUAGUACCGGUUCGUGGCACCAACCGGUACUAAAGGUUAGACCUUUAGUUCCGGUUCGAGCCACCAACCGGUACUAAUGGGGUUUGAGGCAUUAGUACCGGUUCAUGGCACGAAUCGGUACUAAAGGUCCCAUUUCCAAACUCUACCCCCUAUCGCCUUUUCAGUUUUGUAAAAAGCAAAAGAAAAUGAUAAAAACUUCAAAAAUUAAAAUCCUUCCAGAUGUAGUUAUGUUACUACAUGUACUAGUUAGGAAAAUUAAAAAACUUAAAAUUGGACAUGUUUUGCAAAAAGUGUAGGGAAAAUGUAAAACGGCUAUAACUUUUGCAUAUGACGUCAGAAAAAAACGUAUAAUAUAUCAAAAUGUUCAGCACGAAAAUCCGCAUCCGAUUUUGACUGCCUACGGCUUGUUUGCAAAUUUUUAGAAUCCUCAAAUUCUAAAAGGAAAAAAAGUUAUGCUCAAAUUUCUGUUUUUUUGAAUUUUUGUUAAAUCUGGUCAAACUAUGGUCAAACUACUUAUUCAAGAAGUAUUAGUGUUACUAAAUAAUUAUCCAAGAAUAUUAUUGUUACUAAAUAAUUAUUUCAAUUUUUUGAAUUUUGGUCAAAUCUGGUCAAACUGUGGUCAAACAAUGGUCAAACUAAUUAUUCAAGAAAUAUUAGUGUUACUAAAUAAUUAUUUCAGUUUUUUUGAAUUUUGGUCAAAUCUGGUCAAACUGUAGUCAAACUAUGGUCAAACUACUUAUUCAAGAAAUAUUAGUGUUACUAAAUAAUUAUUGUUUUUUAGAACAAUAGUUUCAAAUUCAAACAAUGAAAUGUGUGACUUCAUGCUCAAGCUAAAUUCCUGAGGGUUAAUAGGAUUGACAUCUUACUAUUGUCAGGAAAACAACAAGUGAAGACUUGGAAACGAGGGAGAAUAGAACCCGGAAGUUAAGCGUGCUCAGGCUGGAGUAAUGAGAGGAUGGGUGACCGUGUGGGAAGUUAGAUGAUUUGGAAUGAUGAUGGGUGAUUAGAGAUUAGAGGUUAAAUUGAGCAGUGAUGAGGGGUGAUUAAAGAUUAGAGGUUAAAAUAAUUCAGAAAUUUGAAAAUAAAAAAAAAUUCAAAAAAAAUCAUAAAAUUUCCUUUAGUACCGGUUCAACCGGGACUAAAGGUGGACCUCCAGGCAACGGCCACGUGGAGGGCCUUUAGUCCCGGUUCAUGUAAGAACCGGGAUUAAAGGGUCGUUACUAAGUUAAUGGAGAUAACUAUUUAGCUUGGUACUGAUUGAUUUGUUGUCACAUGCACAUUGGCCAAUUUCAUCGAUUCAUGUCGUCCAAUUAGCUAGCCAAGACCUGGCCGUACAUGCUCUGCUGAUUCCUAACUAACAUAGGUUAGAGACCAGUCGAGUGAAAAUGAAUUUUGCGUUUGUCCAAUCGUUUCCACCCUUCAGAUACAGAUCCAACGGUGUAGGUGCCUUUUUCUACCUCUCAAUCAUUUUCCCUGUUCAUCUUCUACCCUAAGCCGUCCGCGGCCAGCGGCGCUCCGGCACCUGCCUCGCCUCCCCGCGCACCGCCGCGCUGCCAUCGUCUCUGGCCAUCCCUCUAACCCUGGCGAUGAACAGAUUUUUCCGGCGGACCAGCACCCUCCCCCCUAAAAUAGAUAGCCGGCGAGCCUACCAUCCUAAUGUAGACACCGGGGUCGCCUGCCAUCCUAAGAUAGACACAAAGGGCUUCGCUGGCGAGCCGGCGGCUGUUUCCUUCAUGUGAACUCGACUGACCCAUAUAUUAUUUUGAUGCAACUUACAAGUAGCUAAAUUGGAAUAAACAAAGCCCAUAUUCCAUAAAAGUGUUAGUAAAUGAGGUUUCCCAAUGUUAAUAAUGCUGUCGAUCGAUGGGGAUGUCCCGGUAGAGAAAGUCAUCAUGCUACAUGAGCGCAUGGCCACCCAUGUGUACAUCACGGCUUUCUUCUUCUCAUCCAACUUAUCUGCAUUGAUCGAGACCACGCACCAGGCCACCUAGGCGGAUUAGGCGCCAUAGCUCCUUCCAGGAGGACAAGUUGCUAGUGGUAACCGGAAUCGUCAUGCCCUUUUGUCGUUGCCACUAACCAGGACGAUCGUCGAUUGAAGUGUAGACGCAUGAAGGUGACGCUUGCGUAGCAGCUACUACAAAACAACCUAUUUUAUUCAUCUCCCGCUUAAUUUAUUUUCUUCCCUCUGAAAUGCUUGCAUAUUUCACAAAACAAAACAUUAAUAACGUCGUGAAGGCGCCUUAGCACAAUCGAGACAAGGAGAUUUCAAGUGGCUCCUCUAUUUUCUCCGACGACGACGUGAACACCACGGAGGGCCGUCGGUUUGAUCCGGGACACUGAGAUUAGCGAAGCACGAAAUGAAAGAGAAAUCUAGCCUUUUUUUUUCUUCUAAUGGAGGAGACGGGUACUAGUAGUCAGCUGAGAACUACGAACUAAAACCGCGACAUUCUUUUUUUGGAAUGGAGGAAGUAACUAUUUUCGAAUCGAUCAAGUCGUGUGUGCUUGAUUAUGAAAACAUUUCAGUUUUAUAAUUAAGAAAAUCUCCUUAAUCGCCAGAAAGAAAAUGAAAGGAGAAAGAAUACUACUACUAAUAUAAAGAGCUGCUUUUGUAGCUAGGCAACAUUCUCGCAGCAUCAACGUUAAGGCGGUAGCUGCCAUGGUAGUGGUUGGACCGGCAGUGAUCACCGUCAGCUUGAUCACGACUGAUCGACUGAUUGGUGUGAGACUAGGGCGUGCCAUACGUGCACACCGGCCAGCCGCCCACCCGACCCGGGCAGGCAUCAACAGCACAAGAGUACAGUGCAGUACGACUGCACAAUGAUUUCCCUCAUCUUCCUCUUUGAUUGGAAUGCACAGGACUAACAAAAUUUUAAAAAGUAUUCAAGCAUGUAUUAUGUGUGAUGGAAAGCGUAUGUGUGGGUAGCUAGUUUUCUCAUUGAUCAACGUACGUACUUAAUUGAUGGAGUAUUGCAUAAUUACUUGGUUAAAUUCAGCUAUCAUCAAGUAGCUAAUUCAUUGUAUCAGCAGAAUCAUGAACCCAAGAAUAACACAUGGGUAAAACUACUGAUUAUAAUCAAUCCAUACUCUGGAUAUCACAAGGGAGGGUUGUAGGGGUAGUUGAAAAGCGCUGUAGCUGAAAAGAAGGUCGUUGCUUUGCAAGAAAAAAAAUAAUGCAAACCUUACUAUAUGUACACAUCUACCGGUUAAUCUAGAGCUUCAGAUGAUUAAAUAACUUUGUAUGUGCCACUCCAUGGAAAAUUGAGUAAACACAUCUCUUUAUUAAUCAAGAAGCUACAUACGCGGCAACAAACAAACAUGAUCACAUGUACUACUACAAGUAGUUGCAAGCAGCAAGAGCAGAACAGAACAGAAGAUAGGCAGGAGUCAGAUGGAUCGGAUGAAAAAAAGAAAACGGAAGAAGGGGAAGAGCAGCUUAAUUGGAGCUGGCCGGCCGGGGUGAUGGAGCUCAGCCGGUCUCUAGUCAGUGGUGAUGUGCACGCCGAUGACGAUGACGAAGAGCGCGAUGAGGGCGAAGUAGAUGAUGGCGUGGACGAGGAUGGCCAUGGCGCUGGUGUGCAUGUUGCCGAACUCCACGAAGUGGUGCUUCCCGGGGAGCUGCAGCAGCAGCCCCGGCGACAGCAGCACGAACAGCACCACCGCGAUCACCACCGGCCCCCAGUCCGACAUCCUCCCUCUCCCUCCCCUUCUCCGACUCCGGCAAGCUUCUUUCUUUCUCUCUAGCUAGCUCCUCGCGGCAGAGAAAGGAAGGCAAUGGAGCAGAGCAGAACAGGAGCGGGGGCGCAGAGUAGAGCAGAGAAGGAUGGUGUGAUUGUGGAGGGAAAGGCGUGAGGGCUCCCUUUCAUCGCCAUUCGGUUGGUGACGUCUCGCUUUCCCUACCGCCUACGACCACAUCGCCCGUUUUCUAGUCACACCUUUUGCACUUGUAUUUUCUAGUCACGCCUUUUGCACUUGCGCUUCAGAAAAGAAAAGAAAAGUUUUUUUCUAAAUUAUUAUAUACUGUUAGCAGCUCCAUGCAUGAAUUUUUUUUAAUCAAAUCUUAUGAUUAGGUAGUCCUUUUUGCGAAAAAGGACCUAGAUCUUUUACAAAGGUUUGUAAAAAGGGCAAAGCAUCCUAUAUACAUAAUAAAAUAAAAUCGAGCACAACCGAAGGACCACUGCCACCGUCGGAGUGGCCAUCUAUGCGCAGCUAUUGAUGCUCUCCUCUACCUGAGCCGGUUUGACUUCGUUGAUGACAGUCGGGAAGUCUUCAUGCACGUGCCCCUAAGGUGCGGCGUACUAGAGCUGAUAUCAUCGCCACUGAACCCUUGAAUAGAUCUAAAACAUCUGACUCCAAAUCUAAUCAUCGCACACAAACAACGAGAAACUGUAACCUCAUCACACCAAGGAGACAUCAUGGAUCUACACCGGAGCUCCAUCGAAUCCAUCCCGAUGGACAAACUCGAUGAGAAUCGAUGUCCGGAAGACCAACUCGAAAUGAACCACCGACAUCUACCUAAACGCCGCUUAUGCGAGAACAAAAACCCUAACCUAAACUACUACCCAAAGUCGAGGCACCGAGAUCCCCCUUCCCCAUCACGGCCGCCUGAGCGGCACGCAGAGGGGAGGUGGAUCCAUGGGCUCACCGGCGAAGCCUGAAGGGAAUGAGUGCCCUAGCCGCCGGAGUCACGAAAGUGAAAAGGAAACCCUAACUUGGCGGGAAGGUUUGUGUAUUUUCUUUGACCAUUUAUAAUUAGGUAGUUAAAUAGGUGAUUUCGACAACAACAGGAGCGAGGAGAACAACUUCAGAAACGAAACCUUUUUUAAAUUUCACUUGUUUAACUCCAUGGAUGGGGAGUUCAAACAAUUAUGAUUAGCUAGCUAUAUCUAGGUGAUUUCAAUGCCACAACAACAUCAAGGAGGAGAACAACCGCAAUUUUGCUUUUUUUUAAUGAGCUUGUUGAUAACAGACAGGCAGGCAGGCAGGCAGGCUGGUGGACAGUGAGUGUGAGAGUGAGGUCUCUCUGGCGGGACACCUCUCACUCUCGUCCUGUCCUCCAUGAGAGUGAGUGCUGAGGUCAACUGGCAAUGCUCAUUGCGUGACCAAUAUCUCCUCCCAACUGACAACGACUUGGCCUGAACUUUUCUUAUCUAUUCGAGCAUAUCGUACCUUAAUCUAGAAUACAAUCCAGUGGAACCAAUGCGGGAGAUGUAAUUGCGAUUAACCUUCAGGAAGCUGCAUGAAGAAGAUGAUGAUGGUCUCUCAUGUUUUAUGGCCGUGCCUGAAACUUCGCUUUCCACCGAGCAAGAACAAGUGGCGGAGGGCGAAAUGAGGAAAAGGUGGAGAAGAAAAAUGUGCGUGUAGAGGAUACGCAACACCUAAAGCCACACACACAAAAACAAUAUGCUAGCUAGCUAGCUGGUCCAUGCCAUGGCAUAUUGACAUGACAACUCCGCUUAUUUGCUGCAACCAUUUCAAAGGACACAGUGGAUAUGCUAUACUCCCUCCGUUCCUAAAUAUAAGCCUUUUUUAGAGAUUCCAACACAGACUACAUAUUAAGCAAAAUGAGUGAAUCUACAUUCUAAAAUAUGAUUAUAUACAUCCAUAUGUAGUUCCUAUUGAAAUAUCUAAAAAACUUAUAUUUAGAAAUGGAGGGAAUACAUUAUUUAGAAACUUAUAUUUAAAAAACGUAUCGAAAUAUCUAAACAAUACAUUUUUUUUUAAUUUUCAUAAAUAUUACGCUGGGUAAUUUUUUUCAAAAAUAAUACUCCGUCGGCCCGUUGCAGGCCGACUGGGCCUAGUCGGCCCACAGCAGGCCGAUUGGACUGGCCCCUGUCGGCCCACUGUGGGCUGAUUGGGUCCUGUCGGCCCACUGUGGGUCGACUGGAGCUAAUUAGCUCGUUGUGGGCUAAUUGUUUUUGCAAAAAAAGUAGGCAUAAAAAAUAUGUUUAAAAAAUAUUAAUUAUGUAAUUAAAAAAUGUUAAACGUGUAUAAAAAAAUGUUCCUAAUGUAUAAAAAAAAUGUACAAUAUAUAUGCAAAAAAGUUGACAUAAAAAAUAUGUUUUAAAAAGUGUUAAGCAUGUUUUUAAAAAUUGUUAAAUGUGUCUAUAAAAAAUGUUUCUUAUCUAUUCAAAAAAUAUAGAAUGUGUAUGAAAAAAAGUUGACACCAAAAAAAUAUGUUUGAAAAAAAUAUUCCAGUUCCAUACAAAAAGAGCAACCAAUCAUACUUAGGUCUGUGAUGCUCCCAUACCGGAUCCGGAGCUGGAACAUUUUUUAUACACGUUUAACCUUUCAUUCCAAUACAUGAAACAUUUUUGUGUACUCGUUGAACAUUUUUUCAAAUACAUGAUUAACUUUUUUUCAAACAUAUUUUUUUGGUGUCAACUUUUUUCAUACACAUUCUAUAUUUUUUGUGUAGAUAAGUAACAUUUUUUCAAAUACAUGAUUAAUAUUUUUUUCAAACAUAUUUUUUUGGUAUCAACUUUUUUUCAUACACAUUCUAUAUUUUUUGUAUAAAUAAGGAACAUUUUUUAUACACAAAUUUAACAAUUUUUAAAUACAUGCUUAACACUUUUUAAAACAUAUUUUUUAUGUCAACUUUUUGCAUAUAUAUUGUACAUUUUUUGUAUACAUCAGGAACAUUUUUUUUAUACACAUUUAACAUUUUUUAAUUACAUAAUUAACUUUUUUUAAAACAUAUAUUUUUUAUGCCUAAUUUUUUUGCAAAAAAAUUAGCCCACAGCGAGCCAAUUAGCUCCAGUCGGCCUACAGCUGGCCGACAGGAGUCCAAUCGGCCUGCUGUGGGCCGACUAGGCCCAGUCGGCCUGCAACGGGCCGACGGUGUAUUAUUUUUGAAAUUUUUUUAUCCAGCGUAAUAUUUAUGAAAAUUAAUUAAAAAAUGUAUUAUUUUAAAAAAAUAGCCAUUAUUUGCAUGGAUGAAUAUAUCGUCGAGGAUAUAACAAGAAAAAGAACACUGACAAGAGUUACCAAGCAAGAUCUGCUGCAUAUCAGUUUGUGCUCCUUAAUUAUAUCCAAGUGUAUCGAAACGGCAGUAUGGCUUUUGUUUGCUGCAUGAUGGAGACUGGUUCCCCCAUUCAGUUAGGCCGAUCUACAGUUUACGCAACUCAGCCAUACUCAUUCCUGAUUUCAUCUAUUCUCAUAUCGUGGGGAAACAAUGAAACACUUUCUUUCCUGCCGGCUCCUUGCUUGCUUAGUCUUUCUCUGCUCCCAUAAAAUCGACGAUGAUAAGAAGACAAAAAUAAAAUUCACCAGACAAGCUCAACCCCUUUCGUUCCUGAAUGCGUGAUCCACCCAAGUGUAUUCACAUGCCUUUUGUUGAUGCUAUGAUGGAGACAUGUUUUUCCCAUUCAGUUAGGCAGAUCAACGUUUUUCUUUCUAGCAUAUUGUUAACUCCAUGGAUGUGUUUAUUUAAUUCUUAAUUAUGAUUAGGUAGCUAAGUAGGUGAUUUCAACAUCAACAACACCAAGCACUAGGGCAUCAAUAAAGAGAACAACCAACUUCAAGAAAGAAAACUUCUUAAAAUUUCACUUGUUUAAUUCCAUGCAUGGGACUUUCUUUCCUUUCUUUUUUUAAGAAAAUGAGGAUUAUGAUUAGCUAGCUAAUUAGGUGAUUUCAACACAAGAUUAACAUCAAGGAGAAGGAGAAGAGUGAUUUCACUUGUUUUUAAUGAGCUUGUUGUUAACAGACAGGCAGGCAGGCAGGUGGGCAGUGAGAGGGUGAGAGCUAGGUGUCUCUGGCUGGACACCUCGCACUUUUUCCUCUGUGGGAGGAAAAAGUGCUUAAUUGUGUAGAGGAUAAGUAACACCUAAGGCCACACAGACAUUGACAAUUUAAUUGAUUUGCUGCAACCAUCUCAAAGGACAUGUCGGAUAUACAUAUAUACGCAUGGAUAAUAUCAUCACAGAUAAUAAAGAAAAAACAAUCGAUGAUUCUUACUUUACGGGCAGAUAAUACAUGGAAAACAAUGUGUGUAGAGGAGACGCAACACCUGAAGUGUCACACACACACACACACACACACACACAAACAGUACUAUGCUAGCUGGCUUGUCCCUGACAUGGACAAUUCAAUUGAUUUGCUACAACCAUUCGAAUGACACAGUGGACACAAAAACAUAUAUGAAUGAAUAAUUUCUCCAAGAUAAGAAGAAAAAACUGUAUGCAUACCGGUGUGUUCUUCUUUUGUUCAUGCAUGCAUGUUGGAUGGACCAAGUGUAUCAGCAGUAUGGCUUUUAUUUGCUGCAUGAUGGCGACAGGCUCCCCCAUUCUGUUAGUCCGAUCUAAGAACUUCACAAUUCAGGCAUGUGCUUAGUCCAAAAUUCAAUUAUUUAUCGUAUCCCGGAUUUAAAUUAAACGAUAAAACGCUUGAGACAGGUUUCUCUGCAUGGAUAAAAACAACAAGGAUAACAAAAUAGAAAAACCCAAAUGAUAAGUGCCACACGUCAGGUGCGUGGCACUCCGGCCCUGACGUUUUUCGAAGGAAAUUCCAGUCAUGCAAGGAUGACAAAUUGCAGUGAUCUGUCAAAAAUAAACUGAAGCACGAAAGUUGUCAUGCUUGUCAACUAAAGUUGCCAUCCUUGUGUAACUAAACUUGCCAUCAAAAACGUUCGAAGUUGCCAUAUGCAUGCACCUGACGUGUGGCACUUAUGAGGGUCCUAGAAAAAGGAAACAAAUAUAGUUAUCAAGCAAAAUCAACUGUAUGUUGCUCUCUUCGCCCAUUGUUCCUGAAUGCAAUACCCAUCUAAGUGUAUUCACAUGCCUUUUGUUGAUGCUAUUGCAAUGGUUGAGACAUGUUUUUCCCGUUCAGUUAGGCAGACAUUUUUUUAGCAUACUGUUAACUCCAUGAAUGUGGUUAUUUAAUUCCUAAUUAUGAUUAGGUAGCUAAGCAGGUGAUGUCAACAUCAACAACAACAACUACUGCAUCCGUAAAGAGAACAACAACUUCAAGGAAGAAAAACUUCUUAAAAUUUCACAUGUUUAAUUCCAUGCAUGGGACUUUCUUUCCUUUUUUAUAAGAAAAUGAGGAUUAUGAUUGGCUAGCUAGUUAGGUGAUUUCAACACAAGGUUAACAGCAAGGAGGAGGAGAAGAGUGAUUUCACUUGUUUUUAACAAGCUUGUUGUUCACAGACAGGCAGAUGGACAGUGAGAGGGUGAGAGCGAGGUGUCUCUGGCUAGACACCUCCCACUUUUCCCCUGUGAGAGUGAGUGCUGAGGUCAAUUGGCCACAAGGCAAAUGCUUAAUUGUGUAGAGGAUACGCAACACCUAAAGCCACACACACAAACAACAUGGUAGCUAGAGGUCCAUGACAUUGUCAAUUCAAUUGAUUUGCUGCAACCAUUUCAAAGAACACAGUGGAUAUACAUAUAUACGCGUGAAUAAUAUCAUCAAUCAAAGAUAAUAAAGGAAAAACCACCGAUGAUUGUUACCGACGGGAAAGAUAAUACAUGGAAAACAAUGUAUGUAGAGGAGACGCAACACCUAAAGUCACACAAACAAAAACAAUACUAUGCUAGCUAGCUGGUCCAUAAAAAGGGCAGGGUCUUUGGGUCUUUUCUAUGCAGUUUUUCUCUAUAUUUUUGCUAGAGGUUUCAGGACUCGAACCCGUGACCUGACCAAGACAACAGCUCUACCGCUAGCUAGCUGGUCCAUGACAUGGACAAUUCAAUUGAUUUGCUACAACCAUUCGAAUAACAAGGUGGACACACAAACAUAUAUGAAUGACUAAUUUCUCCAGGAUAAGAAGAAAAAACUGUAUACAGACCGGUGUUUUUUUUGUUCAUGCAUGCAUGUUGGAUGGACCAAGUGUAUCAGCAGUAUGGCUUUUGUUUGCUGCAUGACGGCGACAUGCUCCACCAAUCAGUUAGGCCGAUCUAUGAACUUCACAAUUCAGCCAUGUGCUUAGUCCUAAAUUCAAUUAUUUAUCGUAUAACUAAGGUGUCCAGCAGGGUUACGCCUUGGAGGGGGCGCUACAAUUCUACUGCUGGAAGGGUCUGUUUGAUCAAUGUGUGUUUGUCUUCUCUUCGUAUGUAUGUUAUGGGUUUCUAUCGCCUUAUGGAGGGUAUUCAUGCCGGUUUUGAUAAAUAUCGGGGUGGUUUCUAUUGCAAUACCAUGGACAAUAAAAAGAAGUACAGAUUGGUUAAGUGGAAACUCAUGUGUAGGCCCAAAAGUAUGGGGGGUUUGGGGAUCCUUAACACUUUCAUUAUGAACAAGUCUUUGAUCCUUAAGUGGUGGUGGCGUAUUCUUUCAGAUGAUCAGGGCAAGCUUUGGUUCCACAUAAGCCCAAAUAUUUUCCUCACUCCUCCCCCCUCAUGUGCAAUCCUGUGGCCAGCUCUUCCGUUUCUCAAUUCUGGCGCUAGCUGCUCAAUGUUCGGGAUGACUUCAAAGCUUUGGUGAAAUUCUCUGUUGGCAACGGUGCCUCCGUUCGUUUUUGGUUGGAUUGGUGGGUUGGGGAUGGGACCUUUGCGCUUUCCUUUCCUGUUUUUUUCUUUUGUUACUUAUCCUUCUGUCUCCAUCGCGGAGCUGGCGGCUAGUGGUUGGGACCUCGGCUUUCGCCGGGUCCUAUCUCCUGUAGAGUUGGAGGACUGGCACCGGCUUGUUGCCUGCGCUCUCGGAGGCUCAGGACUUGGCCCCAUUCUGCUUCUGGCCGCUUUUCUGUUAAGUCCUGUUAUCGUGUUUUGUCCUCGAGGUCAGUGGUGUCUAAGUUUAAGCCCAUCUAGGUGGUCAGAGUGCCUCCGAAGAUCAAAAUUUUCAUGUGGCAGGCCUUGAGGGGCUGACUGCCCUUCGCGGAUUAUAGUAAGAAGAGGCACGGCCCGGGUUCGGAGUUUUGCUCCUUGCGUGGGAACUUAGAGGAUAUUAAUCACAUUCUAUUCUCGUGUCCUCUGGCCCAGCUACUUUGGAGUUGUAUUAGGGACUGGAUGGUUGUGUCGUGGGCGCCUGCUAACUUUAAUAAUCUUCUUGCGCUUUUGGUUCCUUUGUCUAUUCAAGUCAGAUGGGUGUUUUGGUUCGCCUUCCCUGCCAUGUGCUAGACCCUCUGGACGACCAGAAAUAAAUUUACUAUCGAACAGGUGUUCCCUAACAAGGCGGUUCAUGUUGUUUCCAAUCUCUCAAUAUUUUUGAUGCAGUGGAAAUCUCUGAUUAAGGAAGGCAACAAGGCAGCUGUGGAGUUGCUCAUUUCCCGUGUUCGUGCUUCGGGAAUAUCUGUCUCAAGGGGUGAUCGACUCAGGCCGCAGUAGGUAUUGCUACUUGUCGUCGUUUGGUGUUAGUCAUCUGGGGACUCUUGAUGCUGGCCUGCGUGCCAUUUUGCCGGUUGUGGCCGUCUGUUGAAUUCGGUGCUGUGGUGUGUGUCCGUCCUAAACUCUUGUUGUCUGUCCUACUCGGUUGCCUGGUGCCUUUAUUAAUUUAAAGCCGGGCUGAGGCCUUUUCUCUAAAAAAUUAUUUAUCGUAUCACGGAUUAUAUGAUAAAACGCUUGAGACAGGUUUCUCUGCAUGGAUAAAAACAACAAGGAUACGAAAUAAAAAAAAGACACGGAUAUAGUUACCAAGCAAAAUCAACUGUAUGUCGCUCUCUUCGACCUUUGCUCCAGAAUGCACGACCCAUCCAAGUCUGCUGACAUCCCAUUUAUCGACCAAUGAUUGGCACAGGUUUUUCUAUUCAGUCAAGCUAAUUUAUGGAUUUCAGUAUUUCAAACUAAUGGAACUAUUUCUUUCCUGUCGAUACCUUGCUUGGCCUUUCUCAGCAAGAUGAAAUUGAUGACACCCUUUUUCACUGCCAUUGAUCCGACCUGUCUCUAGCUGUCCAUUGGUGCUGGUCACCGCGACGGCAAGGAGGGCAAGGAGGGCUGCCCACCUUUGAUUAAUCAUGCAUGCAUCUGAAUUAUCCAAAUUCAUCAAGAUAUCCUAAAUAGAUCCAACCUGAAGAUUAAACGUAGUGCAGUGGAGGAACAUAGGAGUUGUAAAUGUAAUUAGCAUGCACUGAUUGUUGGGCAUAAGCCACCGCAGGACGCGUUGGGUGCGAGCCAGGGCGCGCCGGAUCCGUGGCCGUGUGUGUGUGCGCGCUUGAGUUUGUGGCUUGAGUGAAAUAGUGGCUGUUCGUGCAGCCGGGUGGCGUUCGUGCGCCGGAUAUAUCUGCUGUGUGCGCCUCGUUCUUCUUCCUCCUUUCCUCUAGUCCUGAGCGAGAGAGAGUGAGAGCUCCGUUGAGAGGCACGGCAAGGCUACGGUAACAACAAUUGGUAUUCAGAGCCACUAGUUCGGGGGGCGGCCGUGGCGCGCGGCGGACAUGAAGGUCUCGGCAACGCGCGGCGAGUCCACGGCGGUGUGGCGUGAUGCCGGGUGCGCGGCGAGCGCGUGGCGUCAGCAACGCGCGGCGAGUCCACGGUGGUGUGGCGUGAUGCCGUGCGCGCGGCGAGCAGCGACGGUCGCAGAGACGAGGAGGUCACGAAGGACCUGCGUGGUGUCGCAGAGGCCGCGGCGGCUCGGCGCGACGACCGUGGAGGCGCUGCGCUGUGGUUGACGGCGCAGCGGUGCAGGGCAAUAAGCGCGGCGGCGAGCCGGGCGCGACCGGUGCGUGUUAUGGAUGCGCACCGGACGCGUCGGGCACGUCGGGACCGCGGGAGUGGACCGCGUCGAGGCGCAGGACCUGGUUGCGCAGACCGCGUACGUGCGCGGCGGGAGCGCGGGGACGUGGGGAGUGCACGCGAAGGGCACGGCGGCACGGUGGCAGGCGUGGCAGCGACGUCAGGGCGGCGGCGGCUACAACAACGUCGACGGCACGACGGAGGCCGCAGCGGUGCGGUGCGACGGCCAUGGCGACAUCAACGACGAUGGACUCACCUGCUGUAGUUCGUGGCUUAGGGGGGUGUGUGUUGGGCAUAAGCCACCGCAGGACGCGUCGGGUGCGAGCCAGGGCGCGCCGGGUCCGUGGCCGUGCGUGUGUGUGUGCGCUUGAGUUUGUGGCUUGAGUGAAAAAGUGGCUGUUCGUGCAGCCGGGCGGCGUUCGUGCGCCUCGGUCUUCUUCCUCCUUUCCUCUAGUCCUGAGCGAGAGAGAGUGAGAGCUCCGGUGAGAGGCACGGCGAGGCUACGGUAACAACACUAAUCAACUAGGUUAUUCGGCCAUCCGUUGUUGUACUAGCUAGCCAGAGCCAUAAGGAGGAGGAUGUGAAGAUGACACGCACACAAUAUCAAGUUUUUGGGUUUGUGCUCGUGUUGCAUAUUUCACUUUCCAUCAAGAAAAAAAAAUUGUGGUAUAGGAUGGCAGAAUGAAAAUAACGAAAAUCAAUAUAUGGAAUUACGGAUGCAACAACUAAGGUCAUACCCACCACAAGAAUUGUGUGUGUUAUAGCUAGUUCAGCAGAUGACAGUAUUGCCAGCUUCUCCUUUGUUCUAGCUAGGACACAAAUUCGAUCCACUGAUUUGAGGCAUCGAUCUGCCGCAAGUCCUCAAAGGACAUAUAGACAAGGCGAAGAACUAAAUAAAGUUGCAAAGCAAAAUUAUCGAAAAAAUAUGAUCCCAGAGAUACACAGUAAUGUUGUCAUCAAAUCUCAAGAAUAUAAAUUUCACAUGAUCCCACCAUGUAACAUAUCCCAGGUCAGCAAUGACUGAGCGCAGGCUAACUAAUUAACAUGAAGCAAGAACCAAACAGACAGAAAGAGCAAAAGAAACAGCUAGAACAGGAUGAAGCAGAGUAUUGUACUACUCAUGAUGACGAGCCGAACUCGAUGUGGACGCCAACGACGACGAGGAAGAAGGCAUCGAGGGCGAAGAAGAUGAUGGUGUGGAUGAGGAUGGAGACGGCGCUCGUGUGGAAUUUGCCGCACUCGAUCGUCCGUGAUUUGCCAGGGAUCUGGAAGACAAGCCCUGGGGACAGAAGGAUGAAGAGCAUGAAGGAGAUGAGAACUGGACCCCAGUCUUGCAUCUUCUUCUUCUUCUUCUUCUUCUUCUUCUUCUUCUUCUUCUUCUUCUUCUUCUUCUUCGAAGUCUUUGGGAUGACGAUGAUGAUGAAUACUCAAGCCAGCUACAGCUAUGCUUCUUCUUCUUCUUCGAAGUCUUCUGGUUCGUGUCUCAAACCGGGACUAAAGGGGUUCUGAAAUUUGUUAUUUGUUUUCUAUUUUUAGUUUAUGUUUUAAAUUGCUUAUAUUUUUUAGGAUAUUUGAUGUUUUUGAGUGAUUCUUUUUGCAUUAGAUUCAAAAUUUUGUCUAGUUUUUGUUUGUGCCAUUAGUUUACAAAUUUGAAUGUUUUAAAUAUGAAUUUUUUUCAAAUUUUCUUCAAACCCUAGAUUGUGAAUAAUUUGAGUUUAAAAAUGGGUUUUAAUUUAAUUGUUUUUGCUCCUAGUCACAUGUAAGACUGUUGUCACACAGUAAGAUUUAUUUGGUUAUUUUUAGAAUAAUUUGAAUUAGGAUUUUAGUUAAGUUAAAAAGUAAUUCUUUUUGCCACUUUAAUAGAACGUGACUCUGGCUGGGACGGUGCUAGCAGAUGUAGUGGACGGUACGAUUGGAUGGACACCAUCCGGGACUAAAGGGGUUCAAACUCUACCCCCACUAGUGCAGAACCGGCCUUUAUCACCGGUUCGUAAGGGCCUUUAGUGCCGGUUCUGCAACCGGCACUAUGGAGUGGAGACUAAAGGCCCCCCCUUUAGUACCGGUUUGGCACGAACCGGCGCUAACGUGCCACCACGUGGCACGAGCCAGGCCCGGGUGCGUGUAGGACAUUAGUACCGGUUGGUAACACCAACCGGUACUAAAUGUUUGGGUGUGUUUUGGUUUUAAUUUUUAUUUUUCCUUUAGUUUUGUGUUUUCAAUUUAAUUUAGUGAUUGUUUUACAUUAUAAUGAGUUGUUAAAUCAUUAGGUGAAAGUACCGCAGAUUAGUUUCGACUGGAUGCAUGUGGAUCCUAGCUAAGUGAUCUAAGUAAUAUGGAUAUGGCAUAUACUUGAUUACUUAGCUAGGAUCCAUCCAGUUGAAACUAAUAUGCGGUUUCUUUCAUAAAUGUUAUAAUAACUCAUCAUCAUCAUCAUCAUAUUAUAAGCGUUCAUAACACCACAAAAGCAAAUCACUCUUUGAGAUUAAGUUCAGGACGAAGAACACGGACACGCAUGAGAGGACAACAAGUACUAAGAGCAUGAUAACUAGCUAAAUCACUCCUGCUGCUCUCUCACAGGUAAAAUAGCAUAGAACAUGUAUAGCUCUCUUGAUUCAUCAUAUUGGAGCAUGCAGAUGAACCUGUCUCCUAAUCGUGGGCUGCGCUUCUGAUUGGUGCCCCCUAGUACUUCUCUGCGAUCGUUAACAAUUUUGCUCCAAUCUUUCACUAUUAAGCAUUCAUCGCUUUCAGAAAUCCUGAAUGCACUCAUGUGCACUGUAGGAUAUCUUGGCCGUAAGCUAACAAUUGACAUGCGACCUUUAGUCUCGAUCCACUGAGGCACAACUGUCAUCGGGAGUCCCUGUUGAAGAACAUCGUAUAGUAAUUAAUAUACUUAGCAAUGAAAGUUUAGCUUGAAAAAUAAUGUAUGCAAAAGAUGCACUGAGGACUAAUAGUAAAAAUCUUACCAUCUUUCCUAAAUACAUGUGACCGUAGUUCAAUACGAUCACUAUUGGUCGCACGUUUUGAGUACUAAGAUUUUCAAAUUCAGGAAAAUGAUUUCUCUUAACAGCAUCAAGAUCCUCAAGCCAUGAAACAUAAUGACUUAUCUCCUCGCAGUUUAGUUCAACUCCGGGACAGUAGUAGGUCCUGUCUACCAAGCGCCGGACAUGUUUGCUUGAAUGGAAAUAAGCUGUCAAUAGAAAUUAGUUGUGAACUAUUUUUGAAUAAACAAUAUCAAAGACAUAAAUAUGGUUGAGAAACUCACAUAAUGGUAGAACUGGAGGCGUCUGCACAUCGACCCAGAUGUCUCUAUUACCUUCAAUAUCAUCUUCCGGACGAAUAUCAAAGGUGAUAACCAUAUCAGGCUCAAAUGCAUAAGCCUUGCAUAGUGCUUGCCAAGUUUUGCAUUCAAAAUAGGUGUACGUGUCUGCAUUGUAUAAUUUGAUGUUGAAAGUAUAACCAUGCUCGGUCUUCAGGUAAACUCUUUUUACCUCCAUAGUUUCCAUAGCACUGAAACCUAUCUUAUCCAAGACAAAAAUUCUUGCAUGGCAGGGGAUGCGCUAGUAGAAUAGUGAAAAUUUAAAAUUAUAAGUUGAAGCAAAUGAAGCAUAUAUAAGUCAUGCUUAAUUACGAAAAAAGACUUGUCGUUGUGACUUACUGUAUCCACUUCGAAGGUCUCAUCCAGCUUGAUGCUGAAGCGCCUAUCAUCAACAAGGAAAUUUCUGUCGCACAGGCCGCGCUGGUCUUCACAGGAUUCGCACUUAAUGAAAUCUUUUUCGUCGUCAGACGACAUUUCCUAUGUUCAUAUAGGUGAAACAUUAAACACUUACUAGUUCUAUUAAUUCAACUAAUUCAACUACUUCUAUUAGUUCAACUAGUUCUAUUAAUUCAACGAAUUCAACUAAGCAUUUACUAAAAAUAAACGUGUUCUAUUAAUUUUCUUACUAAAAUAAAGUAGCUAGUUCCAUAUAGUAAUAUUUUAAUUAGAUCAUCAAAUCUCAGGUAUCUAAAUUUUCUUACUAAAAAUAAACUAGUUCUAUUAAUUCAACUAAUUCAACUAAGAAUUUACUAAAAAUAAACUAGUUCUAUUAAUUUUCUUACUAAAAUAUAUAAGGUAGCUAUAUAUAUAGUAAUAUUUUAAUUAGAUUAUCAAAUCUCAUAUACCUAAAUUUUCGUACUAAAAAUAAACUAGUUCUACUAAUUCAACUAGUCCAACUAAGCAUUUACUAAANNNNNNNNNNNNNNNNNNNNNNNNNNNNNNNNNNNNNNNNNNNNNNNNNNNNNNNNNNNNNNNNNNNNNNNNNNNNNNNNNNNNNNNNNNNNNNNNNNNNNNNNNNNNNNNNNNNNNNNNNNNNNNNNNNNNNNNNNNNNNNNNNNNNNNNNNNNNNNNNNNNNNNNNNNNNNNNNNNNNNNNNNNNNNNNNNNNNNNNNNNNNNNNNNNNNNNNNNNNNNNNNNNNNNNNNNNNNNNNNNNNNNNNNNNNNNNNNNNNNNNNNNNNNNNNNNNNNNNNNNNNNNNNNNNNNNNNNNNNNNNNNNNNNNNNNNNNNNNNNNNNNNNNNNNNNNNNNNNNNNNNNNNNNNNNNNNNNNNNNNNNNNNNNNNNNNNNNNNNNNNNNNNNNNNNNNNNNNNNNNNNNNNNNNNNNNNNNNNNNNNNNNNNNNNNNNNNNNNNNNNNNNNNNNNNNNNNNNNNNNNNNNNNNNNNNNNNNNNNNNNNNNNNNNNNNNNNNNNNNNNNNNNNNNNNNNNNNNNNNNNNNNNNNNNNNNNNNNNNNNNNNNNNNNNNNNNNNNNNNNNNNNNNNNNNNNNNNNNNNNNNNNNNNNNNNNNNNNNNNNNNNNNACGGGGACGGCGCAACGACGAGCGGCAGGCCGGGGGCGACGGCGCGAUCGAGACGGCGACGUGGUACGGGGCGGCGGCGACGAGCGGCGGGGGCGACGGCGGUGACGGCGACGAUUGGCGGUGAGGGCGACGGCGGUGACGGCAACGACGGGUGGCGGGGGCGGCGAGGGCGGCGGCGAUUUUGCGCGAAGGAGUUGGAGAAGAAGUGGUGGUCGAUGAAACUGAAUUUUUUAUAAGUGCCAUAUAUAUAGGAGGGGCCUUUAGUACCGGUUGGAGCCACCAACCGGUACUAAAGGCCAAUUUUUGCCAGGCCAAGGGGCGGAAAACUGCCCCUUUAGUACGGGUUCGCGGCUCCAACCGGUACUAAAGGCCCCCCUUUAGUACCGGUUGGAGCCACGACCCGGUACUAAAGGUAUGCGCUGGCGCAGGAGCGGUGCGGGCAAGUUUAGUCCCACCUCGCUAGCCGAGAGGCGCCCGCACCAGUUUAAAAGCCCCGGCGCGGCUGCUGUCUUGAACUCCUCUCUAUAGCAGGCUUUUGGGCCUAACUCUGGCGCGCUGCCCGUUGAGCCUGCUGGCCCUUCUGGGCCUGUAUUUGCAAACCCUAUGGUUGGCAGGCGCAGCGGGCAGCGCCCCAACAAUUUUUUAUAUAAUUUUCUUCUAUUUAUUUCCGAGUAAUUUUUUUGCUGUAUUUAGUUUCUUUGUGAAUAAAAAAGAAUUAUAUAGUUUUUUUUCUUUUCUGCAUUAUUUAUUUUCUGCUAUUCAUUUUGUAGUGAUUUUUAAUUUCACUGUCAUUUAGCUCUCUAAACAAAUCGGUAAAUGACUGAAAAACAACAAAUGAUGUCAGAACGUGUUGGAAAUUGAUGACGUCGCUUUGAAUGAUGCAUACUGAACGCAAAAAUAGGCUGGAGUUCAAAUAAGUUUAAAAAACAUUGAAGUGCCCGUGUAACAGAUGAGUUCUCGUCCGAAACCCUGAUACUCCGAAAGAGAUUGUCCAGUUUGUACACGAGGUGCGUCCAGUUUUCGCCGUGACCCUCUCUACUCUUUUGCACAUGCUAUGCGGGCGAAAUGAUGAUACCAUGCCAAGUUCCAACAUUUUCAGAGUUCAUUUUGUAGUAAUUUUCAAUUUCACCGUCAUUGAGCUCUCUAAACAAAUCGGUAAAUGACUGAAAAACAGCAAAUGAUGUCAGAACGUGUUGGAAAUUGAUGACGUCGCUUGGAAUGAUGCAUACUGAAUGCAAAAAUAGGCUGGAGUUCAAAUGACUGAAAACAACAAAUGAUGUCAGAACGUGUUGGAAAUUGAUGACGCCGCUUUGAAUGGUGUGUACGGAACGCAAAAAAGUCUGGAGUUGUAAUAAGUUUAAAAAAAUGAAGUGCCCAUGUAACAGAUGAGUUCUCGUCAGAAACCCUGAUACUUCGAAAGAGAUUGUCCAGUUUGUAUACGAAGUGCGUCCAGUUUUUGCCGUAACACAAGAAGUCCGGAGUUGUAAUAAGUUAUUAAAGAUAAAAAAGACCCUGAUACUUCGAAAGAGAUUGUCCAGUUUGUACACGAAGUACGUCCAGUUUUUGCCGUAACACAAGAAGUCCGGAGUUGUAAUAAGUUAUUAAAGAUAAAAAAGAGGCACAAUGCUCGUUAAUUAGCUUCAAGUCUUUCGGAAUAGUGCAAACUGCACUGCACAUAGCUCCGUGCAGUCUACACUAUUCCUCAAGGCUUAAAGCUAAGCAACAUGCAGAUGAGCAUUGCGCCUCUCCUUCAUCGUCUCUGCACUCAGAGCUUAUAAACCGCUCCUAGUGCCUCUCUCUUCGCGAGGUGGGACUAAAAAACAGCUUACUAAGAAACUAUAGUACCGGUUCAUGGCACGAACUGGUACUAAAGGUGCCCGUGGGGCCCCAGCCUGACCACAGCCUGACGCAACAUCAUUAGUACCGGUUCGUGACACGAACCGGUAUAAAAGGUUGCUCACGAACCGGUACUAAUGAUCUCCGUCCGCCUAGCCGUUGGAACCGACACUAAUGGACACAUUAGUGCCGGCUCAAAAUCAAACCGGCACUAAUAUGCUUCACAUUUGACCUUUUUUCUACUAGUGCCCCCCCCCGCGUGUAUCGCCAUUCCAGUUUUGAAAAGAACAAAAGAAACUGAUAAAAACUUCAAAAAUUAAAAUCCUUCGAGACGUAGUUAUGUUACUACAUCUACUAGUUACGAAAAUUUAAAAACUUAAAUUUGAACAUGUUUUGCAAAAAAGUGUUAUGAAAAAGUAAAACGGCUAUAACUUUUCCAUACAAUGUCGAAAAAACGUAUAAUAUAUCAAAAUAUUUAGCACGAAAAUCCAGAUCCGUUUUCGACGGCCGUAGGCUGUUUUGCAAAUUUUUAGAAUCCUCAAAUUUUGAAAGGAAAAAAAGUUAUCUUCAAAUUUUUUUUUUGAUUUUUUGGUCAAACUCUGGUCAAACUACUUAUUUAAGAAAUAUUAGUGUUACAAAAUUAUUGGUUUUAAGAAUAAUAGUUUCAAACUCAAACGCGAAACUGUGAUUUCAUGCUCAAGUUCAACUCCUAAGGGUUAAUACGAUUGACAGCUUACUAGUCAGGAAAACAACAAGUGCAGACUUGAAACGAUGAGGAAUAGAACUCGGAUGUUAAGCGUGCUCAGGCUGGAGUAGUGAGAGGAUGGGUGACCGGCCGGAAAGUUAGACGAUUUGGAAUGAUGAGGGAUGAUUAGAGAUUAAAGAUUAAAUUGAGCAGUGAUGAGGAGUGAUUAAAGAUUAAAUUCUCAAAUAAUUCAGAAAAUUGAAAAUCAGAAAAAAUUAAAAAAAUAUUCAAAUAUUUUUCUAUUUUUUUUUCAAAAAAAUUCCUUUAAUCCCCAACCGGGACUAAAGGUGGAGCUCAACAGACGUGGAGCCCCUUUACUCCCGGUUCGUAGGUGAACCGGGACUAAAGGUUUUGGGCUUUAGUCCCGACAACCGGGACUAAAGGCCCUCUGAAACCGGGACUAAAGACCCGUUUUCUACUAGUGCAUGGUCCCUCUUACCUUUUAUUUUCACAUUAGAGGUAAGAGUAUAUAAUAAAUUUGAGCCGUUGAUUUCAUUAAGUAGUCGGUCUGAGUAACUCUUACCUUCUUACCUCCCAUGUGAAAAAAUGAGCUACGUGAGAGGGACUAUGUUAAAAUUUCUCGUCGUCAAGGAUAUAAGAAGAAAAUGAACAAUGGUAAGAAUUACCAAGCAAGGAUCAGCUGUAUAUCGAUUAUAUAUAUAUAUAUAUAUAGACUAUUCGUCACCUUGGGUGAGAAAUAGUUAUUCUUCACCCCCCUCUAUUUUACCUUCAAUGCACCGUAAUUUUAUGUUCCGUAAGUUUUGUCUUAUUUCUGACACAAAAAGAGACCGUAAGAAAAUAUAUAAUCGCCGUAAAAAAUAUUUCAUGUUCUGUAAAAUUACAAACGUAAAAACAUAGUGUAAAAUACACAUAAACUGCAAAUUUUCUUGUCUUAUGACCUAUAUUUUUAUUUUCUUAUGCCAAAUUUUACAUAAUGAAUCAAUAUGAAUGUAACUAUAUAUCGCUCUCUUCUUCGCCUUUUUUUCCUGAAUGUGGGAUCCAUUCAAGUGCAUUGACAUGCCUUUUCUUGAUGCUAUGAUUGAGGCAUGUUCUCCCAUUCAGUUAGGCCGAUCAAUGUUUUUUAUUAUACUGUGAACUUUUUAUUAUGAUUAGGUAGUUGAGAAAGUGAUUUCAGAAAACAACGGCCGCGGCAAAGAGAACAACAACCUUAGAAGAAGGAAAAUAAAACUUUUUACAAUUCACUUGUUUAACCUUAGUUGAGAAGAGGAUUUCAGAAGGUGACUUUCUAUUCUUUUUAAGAGAAGGGUGAAUAUGAUUAGCUAGCCAGUUAGGUGAUCAACACAAGAUUAAUAUCAAUGAGAAGGUGAAGAACGAUUUCACUUGUUUUUAAUGAGCUUGUUGAUAACAGACAGGCAAGGCAGGUGAAAAGUGAGUGAGGUCUCUCUGGCUGGACAUCUCUCACUUUUCCUUCUGUGAGAGUGAGUGCUGAGGUCAACCGGACACAAGGCCAACUCUGCUAGUCGUCCUUCUACUCCUAUCACUUUUCUUUCCUGACAAAGACUUGCUCUGAACCCGUAAUUCAGAUUCACGGUGAUGACUAAUCCAUGAACAGGAAAGAAAAAACAUGAUUUAAACAUCCGAUGUUCAAAUUCUGAAUCCACCGAUCCACUAAUCCAGCAUAUUUACACGAAUCUAGAAUGACAUCAACUAGGAUUAACAGGAGCAAUAACUAUGAUUAGCCUUCACGAAGCUUCAUGGAGGAGGAUGUAGUCGUGUUUUCUUGCCGUGCCUGAAACUACGCUUUCCAUCAAUCAGAAAACAAGAGGUGGAGCGGGCAAAAGCGGAAAGGAAAACAAUGUAGAGCGGUCACACACACACAACAGUACUGUACAAUGCUAGUUGGUCGAUGACACUGACAAUUCAAUUGAUUUGCUGCAACCAUUCCAAAGGACAUAGUGGAUAACUUGAUAUACAUACACACACACACAACAUGUUUUGGUUCGCGAAGAUAAGAAGGAAAAACCACUUAUGAUUGUUUCCAAGCUCAAUCAAUUGUAUAUUUUUUUUGAUACAGUGUGAUAUAUAAAUAUCAAGAUGAUAUCAAUUACACCUGGCUUCUGCAACGACACUAUAUCAAGACCAAGUCGUGACAUCGAGGAUGCACACAAUCAAUCGUGUAUAUAUGGGUAUGUUCUCCUUAUGAUCAUGCAUGCAUGUUGCAUGGGCCAAGUGUAUCAGCAGUAUGGCUUUUGUCUGCUGCAUGAUGGAGACAGGUUUCCCGAUUCAGUUAGGCCGAUCUACGGAUUUCGCAGUUCAGCCAUACUUUGUCUGAAAUUCAUUUAUUCUCGUUUCGUGGAUGGCUCUUUUCUGCAGGGAUAAAAUGGACAAGGAUAAGAAGAAAGAAGACACUGCUAAACCAAAGUUACCAAGCAAAUAAACUGUAUAUAUGUCGCCCCCUUCGCCUUUUGUUCCUGAAUGCGUGAUCCAUCCAAGCUUGUUGACAUGGCUUUUGUUGAUGAAUGACUGAGACAGGUUUUCUCAUUCAUUAGGCUGCUCUAAGGAUAUCCGUAUUUGAACUAACUCAACGCUUUCUUUCAUGUCGAUUCCUUGCAUGGACUUUCUCAGCAAGAUGAAGUUAGUGAAACCCUUUCACUGGCAUUGAUCCUGCUGCCCUCGAGCUGUUCAUUGGCGCUGGCCGGUGCAAUGGUGGUGAGGGAAAGGAUGGGGAUUUGUCUUUAUGGUGAAUUGCUCUUGACUACUGCUACUUGUCUUCGAUGUUUCAAUUUGUAUUUUGUACUUGUGAUGAUCUUUAUCGCACAAGUCCAUUUAGGGCAUAAUCUCUUGCCGUCUUUGCAUUUUUUUCUCUUUUUGUUUUGGACGUGUUGGAUUGUGGACAUCUUGUUAUGUAGAUGUCGGAUUGCAGUCAGUGUGGUUGUACCAGCUUUGAUGGGAUGAUUGAAUGAAAUUCCAGCUAGCGAUUUUUUUCUUUUUUUGCAUCCAUUUUCCAUUUUUUUGCAUGCAUGCUUCUGAAAUGGAUCAUUUUGGAUAUUCUGUCAGGUUGCACUAGCCACAAGUUUAAUAGAGGAUUGAUCAUCAAAAGUUGUUUGUCUAGUUGUCCAAAAGAUCGUAUGUUUAUCACGAAAGCAUGGUGCUUGGUAUUUUAUUCUGAGGAAAAACUGACUCUCCGUUUUCACUUUACGUAUCAAAUCCUUAUCAAGGUUUUGUACUUUUUUGCGGUAGAGGUUUGGAACUUUCUACAGUUUGUGUAGAGUUCAGUAUCUGAACUUUGUACAAGAUUAGUAAAGCUUUACACAUCGAGUUUUUUUUUCUGGAACCAACUUUGUUGUGUUUUCUAAAGUGAUAAGACGAAGUGGAAUUGGUAGAGUGACACGACUCGUCAAAUUUGCUUUAAGGCAUCAAGAACUGUAAUCCAAAAACAAGAAGUUUAACCAUUUCACUUAAUUUUAAUGAGUUUACUGAUGUUUGAUGACAGACAUGCAGAGACGGUGAGAGCGAGGUCUUUUAUUUUCUAGAUCAUGGAAGAACAUAUAACUUUUCUCCUUUGUGUGAGUGAGUGGUACUAGUAACUGGUGAGGUCAACUAGCAGGCAAAUGUUCAAUGCUCUCUUUUCUGAUGAAGGUUGUUCUUAACUAACUCUGAAUUACAUGGAGGAUCGGCUGCCUGCCUUUGAUAAAUCAUGCAUCUGAAUUAUCCAAAUUCGAUCCAACCUGAAGAUUGAAUGUGAUGAAGUGGGGGAACAUAGGAGCUGUAAAUGUAAUUAGCUUGCACUGAUCAACUAGGUUAUUUGGGCAUCCGGUGUUGAACUAGCUAGCCAGAGCCGUAAGGAGAAUGAUGUGAAGAUGACACACACAUCCAAUCUCAAGUUUUCGGGUUUGUGCUCGUGUUGUAUAUUUUGCUUUCCAUCAAGAAAAAAUUGUGGUAUAGGAUAAUAGAAUGGAAAUAAAUAAAAGGAAUAGACACUUGCAACAUCUAAGACCAUACCCACCACACGAAUUGUGUGUGUUAUAGCUAGUUCAGGAGAUGACAGUACUGCCAGCUUCUCCUUUGUUCUAGGACAAGAUUUCAAUCCUCUGGUUUGAGGCAUCUUUGCUGCAACUGCUCAAAGGACAUAUAGACAAGGUGAAGAACUACAUAAAGUUGCAACGCAAAAUUAACUAUGCAUAUAUCUAUAUGUUCUCCUUUUCUUCCUGCAUGCAUGAUCCAAGUGUGCCGACAUGCCUUUUGUUGCUGCACCUGCAUGACCGAGAUUAUUUCCCAAUUAUGAUGUCUGAACAUGACUUUUCUCUUAUGCCAAAAUUCAGUUCAAACGAUCCAUGGGUUUCAUCAUUAUGCCAUACUUAUUUUUAAAUUAGUUCACCAAUAUAUACCAUGGAGCACUAGUGAGACCCUUUCUUUCCGGCCUACCAGUACCUUGCCUAGCCUUUCCGUUGAUUCAUUAAGAAGACUGGUCUCUUUUAUGCUGAAACUAGACGCAAAACCAUAGAACUUUCUUUUUCUUUUUCAAAAAGGAGGAAGACCCACGGCCUCUGCAUCAUGUGAUGCACACAGCCAUUUAGAACUAGAAACUGGUAAGUUACUUUCAGUUAACUAGCUAGUGGUUUCCGAGAAGUUCAAGAGGAAACUCAUGUCUUUCUUCGAGAAAUAAGUGAACUUGAGAAAAAUUGACCAACACGUUUAUAAAAGAACAGAGCAACCAUAAUUGCCGAUGUGGUUAGACAAUGGCAUGUAGUACUUGGAAUCAGACUCACACCAAUCAAAAGGGUCUCAAAUCUCUAAGCAUUAAGAUUUUUCAGAUAGUCCUAGCUUGGCUUGGUUUUAGUUCAAUCCAAAUUUAACAAUAGCGCUAAUGUACUUAUAUUAAUAUUAUUGCAGUACAUGAUAAUUAAUUAAUGCAUGAGGUUGUGGUUGUGACCAGGCAAGACCAACUUAUGAACUUGCAAGCAUGGCAUUCAGAUUGAUGUGCAGACAACGCCAACAUCAACAUUGUCUAGAUAAAGAUUAAUUUGUAUUUUAUUCCAUAUUUUAAACAGCUACUUUGGNNNNNNNNNNNNNNNNNNNNNNNNNNNNNNNNNNNNNNNNNNNNNNNNNNNNNNNNNNNNNNNNNNNNNNNNNNNNNNNNNNNNNNNNNNNNNNNNNNNNNNNNNNNNNNNNNNNNNNNNNNNNNNNNNNNNNNNNNNNNNNNNNNNNNNNNNNNNNNNNNNNNNNNNNNNNNNNNNNNNNNNNNNNNNNNNNNNNNNNNNNNNNNNNNNNNNNNNNNNNNNNNNNNNNNNNNNNNNNNNNNNNNNNNNNNNNNNNNNNNNNNNNNNNNNNNNNNNNNNNNNNNNNNNNNNNNNNNNNNNNNNNNNGCGACUAAUAAAAUUUUGACCUCUUUUACAAAAAAAGUGGGUUGUCUAGAUAUGCAACUAGAUGAACAAUAUAUAUGACAAUCUUAAGAAGUAACAAGUGCAAGAAAGAGUAAAACACAAGAUAUAAACUUGCAUAACCGAAAUAAUCACAAGUGGAGUCGUGGAGACUGGGAUGUGUUUUCGAAGUUCCCUGCUUUGAAGAGGUACGUAAAUAAUAGAUGGUGUGCUUUUGUUUGUGCUCCACAUGGUGGCAAUUUUAAAUUCAUAUGUUUGUCUCUUCAUUUAUAUAGAAAAAAUAGCAUGUAAAUUUUUAAUCCACAUUUCUUGCCAUCAUGGUACAGAUGCAAAAUUGCCAUGAACUUUUUCUUUUUUGCCAUCAAAAAUUACACAAACAAUAAUUCCCCCAACAACAACAAUUACCGCAACAACAAUUGCGCCAACAACAAAAGUUCCCCCAACUGCAACAAUUCCCCAAGCAACCACAACAACAAUUUCCCAUACCAUACCCACCCCAACAACCAUUCCCCCAGCAACAACAACCUUCCCCACACCAACAACCAACUGGGAGCGAUGUUAUAAGUAUCAGUGGCCGAUGAAAUGAAGAGAUGUAAUACUAGACGGGUGAAUCAUCGUUGUUAGUCAAUUGAGCAUUUAAUGUAACAAUGAUAAAUAAAGUGAUGUGCACCAUCAUGUGUAACCCCGACCUAUACUAGUUCAAACAUGGGGUAAAAGACAAAUAAGUUCUUUUCUAAAGCACAUUGCUGGCAAUUGUUACAUUCAUGCCAUAUUUCGAUUUUCAUCCCUAACUACAAUCUCAAUGUUAUGCGCUAUCUACUUAUUUAUGAAGUGUAGUAUUAUGAACAUAACAUAUUAACGUGUGUGAAACUUGGUUCAAAUUGAUGUACUAUUAACUCGGGAGUAAGGAUUAAUGACAAUUUAAUAUUUCAAUGGAGAGCCACAUGAGUUGUGCAACCUUCUUAUCUGACAUGGAUCUACAUCAAACUAGGUGUUAAUGUUCUCCACAAACUCCAUGUCAGAUUUCAUUGUUCAUUUAUAGUGAGAAUAAUUGAUUACUUAUGCACUUUUCGCCUUUGAUGUUCCACUCACAAAAUAAGUUUAACUACCAACUAUCUCCAAAAACAAUCUUAGCGGGACAAAAAGUAUCCUCUGACAAAUCACGACCCAUCAAACAAGGUUCAAAUUUGAAGGAAAAUGACCCCUUCAACUUGAGUCAAACAAAUAAUUUGCAUACAAUCAACCGAAAUCAUUAUGGGCUUCUUCAGCCCUCCACUCGAUACACACCUACGCAGGGAGUCCACCAUUGCCGCUACCGAACAACAUUUUUGGAGGCGCACAUUAUCACCCAUAAACACAAAAUAAAUCAAAACGCAAUACAAGCCUAAAAGCGGUCAGUUCCUAGGGCCAGAAAAAGCUUGUUGACCUGCAAUUGCACAUGGUUUAUUUUUCACCUAUUUAAGUAUGAGUAUAAAUCCCACAGGGAAUACAUGAAUUGGACUUUGUCCCUAAGAGACACUUAUGGUAAUGUGCCUGCAUAUUAGUUUUUGACACAAAGCAAAGUGAACGCCAAAGAUUAUAAUGACUUCUGAGUUUAGUGCGAACAAAAGUAAAUAAUGCAAAAGAAUUAAAACAGCGCAGCGGAACGAAUAAAGCAGGGAAACCGGUGGAGGAUUGAAGCAUUCUCAAGGACUCCAUAAUUCCCAUUGCAGUGUGUCUAAGGUAACAUAUGCCACUUCAUAAUUCUAAGCUAGAUACUUGAGUCACUCUUGACAUUUGUUAUUGGGCGUAUCCGGGUACAAAAUACGUUCUACUCGAGGUGUACUCCGUACCACGAAGGCCACCACAGAAGCUUCCCCACUCUAGUUCUCACUGCGGUAAUUAAGGGUUUCCCCGUGGAAGCGGCCUUAUCAAGGGUUCUCCGUUAUGCCCCUAUCAGUUGCAAAGGCGAGGUAAAGAGUCUUUUACACUCACCUUGAAUUACCUCAACAUCCUAACCUUUACAACCAUGGUAAUAUGCCUCGUGGCCUUGCGACAGAAAUGGUGAGUGGGGCACCUUCACAAAAUUCAUGAAGGCUAUUGAAAAAAACAUUCAACAGAGAAUAUCACAUCCUUAUUAACAUUUCAGCCUCCUAUACAUACCAUGGUUCAUCCAAAUCCCUGAGAACUGAGGAAACUACUCACACGUUGAGACAUGGAUGAAACAUCGGAUAAUACAUGUAUGGAUCGUACGAAUAGUGGAAAUAGUGGUGGUAAACAUGGUUUAAACACACGGAUAAUACAUGUAUGGAUCCACAAGGUUUCGGUAUUACAAUGGGAAGGAGAUGGAUGAUGCUGACGUCCCCUUGCACGAGCUGGUGGUGAUAGUGAUCUCCUCCUUUCCUUAAAUCUGCAAGCACAUUUAAAACAACAUCUUGGAGAGAACAGGAAAAAAGAAUUGUGCAGACGCGGUAAAAGCUAGCAAAUUUUACUGUGUAGGCGGGCUUGUGAUGGCUGUGGCAGUGUGGAUCUGACUACCGAGUUGUGACAAGUUGUGUGGGGCGAUGGUGGAGGUCCUCCCUCUUCUGAGCGUGAUAUCUGGCGACGGUGGGUUUCGACAGUCCCUCUCACGGGUGUGGAGGCGGGUCAAGGGGCGGUGAGUGUUGGCCGUGGUUUAGGCUGGCACUGGCGGAUCUGGGCAGGGGGAUUCAAUGGAGAGGCGGGGCUGGCAUUGGUGCGACUUCUCAGCGACUGGAGUUGCCGGCUGUUCGGAGCGCCCCCGCCCCUCUUGAUGGGGUGGCGCCCCCCUCGUGCAUAUGUCGGCAGCGGGUCGGUGAUGCAGACUAGCCGCCGGGCAAGGAGUUUGACAUGGUCGUCCUUGUCGGGGUUAGUUGCUCCCCACACAAGUUUUAGUGCUUAGUCGCCUAGGAUUAGGGUUUUUUGACUCUGGGUCGUUGUCGGUCAAGCCAAGGUGAAUGCUUGCAGCUCUGUUGGGGGAGGCACCUCCACACAUUGUAGUGUCGGUGAUGAUUGGUAGAUGUGGUGGUCAGGGCUAUGAUAUGCCGGCUGGUGGACCAGUGCCUCAGUUCACAGACUUGGCAUCUACGCUGGUCUCGACGAUGGUCGUCGGCAGUCACCUAGCGAGGUGACUGAUGCCGGGCUUUACUUGCUGCGAUUUGUGCAUUGUGAAGCGAGCGGGUCUAGGUGGUGCUCGGUGGUGAUGGUUGUGUUAGCAUUGCAUUCGUGCGCGGAUCAGUGCCGGUGAUCGCAAACAUGGCGUGGUGCGAGCUCGCCUGGCCAAGGGCUCGGUGCUGGCUCACCGGCGGUCCCCCUACUCCACCGACCAUUGGCUGGGGAUGCAGGUGUGGGUGCGUCCUAUGGUGGAGGUGCCCAACCAAACUCUUGGACUGAGUCUGGGCUAGGAGUAGAUGGAGUGUCGUCGCUCUUCCUACCAUGGUUGGCUACGUUGUCAUGUGAGCGGCGUAUGGUAUUUCGCAACAAGGAUGCCGGGUUGGCGGCCCCUGAUGGCGGGCCGCAUGAUUGCUCUUUGGCAGCCAUUAUUUCGUUGGUGGUGGCUCCCCUCCUGGGUUGUGGGGGCAACGGGAGGUGUUGCGGUUAGUAGCUCAGACGUGCCCUCUCUCUCGGAGGGGCAGCGUCCUGAUCAAGAUCUGGGGAUCUAACAUCAACGCGCUAGUCCUGAGGACCUCGUGGUGGCACAGGUGAGUUGUCGAGCAAAAGCUCCGUGCCUUGGCGUCGCCGCUGACGACACUCAUGGGUGCCACACUCUUCUUGAAGACGUCGUUGUGGUUCUUCUCUCCGUGUCAGGGCUCCGGGUGUAGAACUUUGUCUGGUGUGGACUCAGCAGGGGCGACGCUGUGCGGAGUUCUCCCACUUGGGGCCGUUGUCGUGGAGCUUAGGUGUGCUAGGUCGUAGCGUGAGGAUGUUUUGUUCUUCCGGUGCUUGUUGCUGGUAGCGUAGAAGCGUGCGUUUUGCAUGUGCCGGACAACUCAGGACCGACUUUGUAAGGUCUACGUGACCAUAUUGUAUCGUUUGGCCGUGUGCAUCUUUGGAUGUUGCUUUGUUUAUAAAGCGGGGCAAAAGCCUAUUUCGAGAACAACGAAAACAACAGCAACAACAAACAAAUCAACAACUUCAGAAUAGUUUAUCUUUUAAAAUUUCACUUGCUUAAUAAACUACAUGCAUAGGACUUUCUACAGUGUUUUAGAGAAGGACAACUACGAUUUGCUAGCUAGCUAGUUAGGUAUUUCAACACAACAUCAACAGGAAGGAGGAGAAGAACUGUUAACAGCCAGGCAGGCAGGUGGAGAGUGGAUGUGUGAGAGUGAGGUCUCUCUGGCUUUUUCCUGUAUGGUACCCCUACUUCCUUCGCUGACAAAGACCUGUUCUGAAUCUGUAAUACUGAUUCACAGUAAUGAUGGUGGAUCGACUAUAUCUUGACUAAUCCAUGUACAACGAAAAUUACUACGUACAUGAUUAAAAAUCCAAGGGUCAAAUCCUGAUCAAUCGAUCCGGCAAAUUCUGCACGAAUCUAGCAUGACAUCAUGUGUGAUUAACAAGAGUUUCAAUUAUAAUUAGCCUCCGAGAAGCAACAUGGAGGAGGAUGUAGUCGUGUUUUUGGCCUUGUUAGAAACUUCGCUUUCCAUCAAUCUGAAAACAAGUGGUAGAGGGCAAAAAAAUUAAAAAAAACAUGUGUAGAGGAUACCGCAACACAUAAAGCCACACACACAAAAACAGCAGUAUGCUAGCUGGUCCAUGACAUUGACAAAUCAAUUGAUUUGCUGCAACCAUAUGUAUGAAUAAUAUCGCCAAGGAUAAGAGAAGGAAAAAAUAUAAAUAUACCGAUAGGCUCUUCUUUUGUUCAUGGAUGCAUGUUGCAUGAGCCAAGUGUAUUGGCAGUAUGGCUUGUGUUUGCUGCAUGAUGGCGGCAGGUUCCCAUUCAGUUAGGCAUGCUAAGUCCUAAAUUCAUUUAUUCACGUAUCAGGUAGAAGUAGAACAAAUUUCAUUUCUUUUCUGUAGGUUCCUUGCUUAAAAGAAAAUAGAAAAAAAUACACUUCUAUAAUUACCAGAAAAAAUCAACUGUAUGUCGCUCAGCCUUCCCUUUUUGUUCCGUAUCAGUAUCAACAAUCAUAGUACUAAUAGCUUUCUAUACUGGCGGUAGUAAAUUCAAUAAAAGAAACCUGGAGACUAUCUGAACAAUUUGAAACAAUAUAUACAAAUUGAGAUCAACUAACGACAAAAAUCCAAAAGAAAUGUUCAUGUCUACGUGGAGUGAAUCGAUCAAGCCGUGCAAAGCCCUAACAAUUCGUUUUGUAUUAAUAACUCAUAUGACAAUACAACCGCUCCAUAUGAAAAUGUAAUAUGAUGAUUCAUGAAUGCUUAUCCAUCUUAUAAAUAUAUUGUGCAAAAAAUAUCGAGUUAGUUCAGAGAAAACGCUGUCUAGAACAAUCUUCACAUUAAUAGUGUGAUCUAUCUCAACGACUCACACAAGAUUACAUAGUUUGUUCCCUUAAGUAUGCCAAUCUGGAUACGCCUAACAAUAUGUAGAACAUGACAAACUAAAUCAGAACAAGGGACAAAAUCUAGAUCAAUGUUUGAAGUGUAAAGUGAAUACGAUGAGUCAUUUGUCGUUAUCAAGCAUUCCAUACACCUAGAUGAUAUGUGCAAGAACAAUCAACUAUGACGAAUAAUCCAAAAUCACGAUAGUAAGUAGUACCAUAAAACACGACAUACCAAAUUAUUGUAAAUGAUAAGCUUAAGAGCACUUUUUCAAGAAGCACGUGUAAAGAUUACAAACUUAGUUCCCUUAAGUUAUGCCAAUCUGGAUACACCUAACAACAUGUAGAACAUCACAAACUAAAUCGGAAAGACGGACAAAAUCUAGAUCAAUGUUUGAAGUGUAAAGUGAAUACGAUGAGUCAUUCAUCGUGAUCAAGCAUUCGAUACAGCCAGAUGAUAUGUGCAAGAACAAUCAACUAUGAUGAACAAUCCAAAAUCAUGCUAGGAAGUAGUGCCACCAAACACAACAUAUCAAAUUAUUAGGUCGAUAAUCGUAAGUGCACUUUUUCAAGAAAAGAGUGGGAAGAUGAAAACAAAAUAUGUCAUGCCUGCUAUAAAUACGACUACACCAUGUGGGUCUCUUCCAUCAUCUAACCUUCAAACACCUAAAGCAAAAACACCAAAGCCAAGUGAGCAAUAGUAAACACAAAUCAAACAUGAAGACCUUCAUCAUAUUUGUCCUCCUUGCUAUGGUGAUGAGCAUCGCCAGUGCCACUAGGCAACUAAGCCCUAGAAGCAAGGAGUUGCAAACACCACAAGAACAAUUCCCCCAACAGCAAUUUCCUCAACCACAACAAAUCCUCCAACAACAAUUCCCCCAACAACAACAAAUCCCCCAGCAACCGCAACAAUUCCCCCAACAACAAAUCCCGCAACAGCAAAUCCCGCAACAACAAAUCCCCCAACAACAACNNNNNNNNNNNNNNNNNNNNNNNNNNNNNNNNNNNNNNNNNNNNNNNNNNNNNNNNNNNNNNNNNNNNNNNNNNNNNNNNNNNNNNNNNNNNNNNNNNNNNNNNNNNNNNNNNNNNNNNNNNNNNNNNNNNNNNNNNNNNNNNNNNNNNNNNNNNNNNNNNNNNNNNNNNNNNNNNNNNNNNNNNNNNNNNNNNNNNNNNNNNNNNNNNNNNNNNNNNNNNNNNNNNNNNNNNNNNNNNNNNNNNNNNNNNNNNNNNNNNNNNNNNNNNNNNNNNNNNNNNNNNNNNNNNNNNNNNNNNNNNNNNNNNNNNNNNNNNNNNNNNNNNNNNNNNNNNNNNNNNNNNNNNNNNNNNNNNNNNNNNNNNNNNNNNNNNNNNNNNNNNNNNNNNNNNNNNNNNNNNNNNNNNNNNNNNNNNNNNNNNNNNNNNNNNNNNNNNNNNNNNNNNNNNNNNNNNNNNNNNNNNNNNNNNNNNNNNNNNNNNNNNNNNNNNNNNNNNNNNNNNNNNNNNNNNNNNNNNNNNNNNNNNNNNNNNNNNNNNNNNNNNNNNNNNNNNNNNNNNNNNNNNNNNNNNNNNNNNNNNNNNNNNNNNNNNNNNNNNNNNNNNNNNNNNNNNNNNNNNNNNNNNNNNNNNNNNNNNNNNNNNNNNNNNNNNNNNNNNNNNNNNNNNNNNNNNNNNNNNNNNNNNNNNNNNNNNNNNNNNNNNNNNNNNNNNNNNNNNNNNNNNNNNNNNNNNNNNNNNNNNNNNNNNNNNNNNNNNNNNNNNNNNNNNNNNNNNNNNNNNNNNNNNNNNNNNNNNNNNNNNNNNNNNNNNNNNNNNNNNNNNNNNNNNNNNNNNNNNNNNNNNNNNNNNNNNNNNNNNNNNNNNNNNNNNNNNNNNNNNNNNNNNNNNNNNNNNNNNNNNNNNNNNNNNNNNNNNNNNNNNNNNNNNNNNNNNNNNNNNNNNNNNNNNNNNNNNNNNNNNNNNNNNNNNNNNNNNNNNNNNNNNNNNNNNNNNNNNNNNNNNNNNNNNNNNNNNNNNNNNNNNNNNNNNNNNNNNNNNNNNNNNNNNNNNNNNNNNNNNNNNNNNNNNNNNNNNNNNNNNNNNNNNNNNNNNNNNNNNNNNNNNNNNNNNNNNNNNNNNNNNNNNNNNNNNNNNNNNNNNNNNNNNNNNNNNNNNNNNNNNNNNNNNNNNNNNNNNNNNNNNNNNNNNNNNNNNNNNNNNNNNNNNNNNNNNNNNNNNNNACAACAAUUCCCCCAACAACCACAACAACAAUUCCCCCAACAACAAUUUCCCAUACCAUACCCACCCCAACAACAAUCACAAGAAGCUUCCCCAUACCAACAAUACCACAACAACAACUAUCUGGGAGCGACGUUAUAAGUAUCAGUGGCCGAUGAAAUGAAGAGAUGUAAUACUAGACAGGUGAAUCAUCGUUGUUAGUCAAUGGAGCAUAAUGUAACGGGUAUAAAUAAAAUGAUGUGCACCAUCAUGUGUAACCCCGACCUGUACUAGUUCAAACAUGGGAAUAAAAGACAAAUAAGUUCUUUUCUGAAGCACAUUGCUGGCAAUUGUUAUAUUCAUGCCAUAUUUCGAUUUCCAUCGCUAACUACAAUCUCAAUGUUAUGGUCUAUCUACUUAUUUAUGAAGUGUAGUACUAUGAACAUAACAUAAUUAACAUGUCUGAAAAUUGGGUCAAAUUGAAGUACUAUUAAUUCAAGAGUAAGGAGUAAUUACAAUUUAACAUUUCAAUGGAGAGCUCUAAUUGUAGACUGCGUUGUUAAUUCCCCGAAGAGGAGAGGAUGAUGUAGUAUAGUAGAGAUAAGUAUUUCCCUCAGCUAAGAACCAAGGUUAUUAAUCCAGUAGGAGAACCACACAAAACCUCGUUAGCAGCACCUGCACACACAACAGCAAACACUUGCACCCAACGCAAAUAAGAGGGUUGUCAAUCCUCUUAGCGAUUAUUUGCAAGGAUUAGUUCUGACAGUGAUACAUAGAUAAAAUAAAUUACUAAAUAAAAUAAAAAUAAAUAAAUUGCNNNNNNNNNNNNNNNNNNNNNNNNNNNNNNNNNNNNNNNNNNNNNNNNNNNNNNNNNNNNNNNNNNNNNNNNNNNNNNNNNNNNNNNNNNNNNNNNNNNNNNNNNNNNNNNNNNNNNNNNNNNNNNNNNNNNNNNNNNNNNNNNNNNNNNNNNNNNNNNNNNNNNNNNCAGAGUUUUCACUAGAGGAUUCUCUCUUGAUCAUAGAGCAUAUGGUGGGUAAACACAUUACUGUUGGGCAAGCUAUUAUAUACUAAAAGGAAAAUAUUGGUCCAAAAUAGAGAAUAGGCUAGAAAAUCCGGCGUUAAUUAGAAAAUAUGAACCCUUGAUCCGUUUAAUUUUAAAAAUUAUAAAUCUAUGACCGUUCAAUAUACGUAACAAGGUAGGGCGUGGAUAACUUCCCGCGUAACGUGACACAUGUAAGAAACACAAACAUGGGUCCAGUUAAGGCAAACACGUAGAUGUGUUGAAGUGGGAAUGAAUAGAAUUGCUACGUCCGAAUAUGCAAGAGAUAUAAAAGAAGAAGAAAACUAAAGAACAUGUCGUGUUCAGAUUGGACUAAACGUAUGUGCGUAUACAACCACAACCACAAUCCGAAAGGUCCAGCCAUUAAUCCCGUGGGUCCAUCCAAAACAAAAGGUGGAUAUCCAUCUAAUUGCCCCACGUCCAUGGAACAUACUUAUUAGAGUCCACAAACAACAGCUGCUGGUCUCUUUUACAUGAUCCUCCUUGCACUGUUAGGACUUUGCCGUCGGACAUCCCAAAGUUCUUGUGAAGUUCACAUCUAAAAAUACUAUCAUAAUAAAAAAAAUCCAUUUCAUACUCCAGGAAAGAUAUCACCGUCCCAAAGUUUCAAUUGCAAUCUAAGUUUUGCCACAACUGGGUAUUUAAAGCUUAUUUUGCCAUAGCCAGGCAAUUUCAGCCACUAAGGUUUUUGUGGCAGAUCAAGCAUCUUCCCAUUGGAAACUCCCAACUGUAAAAAGACCAGCAAAUUAGCAAUCAUUGGCAAAUCAGCAAUCUUAUAGCGGCAGCAGCUCCCAUCAAUCAGGCAACUCAUCUUUCAAAAAUCAGAGACAAUAAGCAACCAUACACAUCAUGGACAUAUGAUAUUAACGAUAAUUACAUAUGUGAUUUCUGUGUUGAAUUUCGUACAACAUCACCAUGAAGAGAAGCGCAUCCACAUGGCAAGUAAUUUCCAAAAGCCGCCAAGAAGGUGAAAAGCAAUCAAAUAUGCAAUCCAACAAGUUAAUUAUUAAGCUAUAGACCAUGCAUGUUUCAGUGGUGCAUACAAGAUCAGUAGAACAAAUUCCUAGCCGUUACGACAUUCAUCAGGGAGGCGAGGACUGUGAAGCGAGGGGUUGCGAGCUGGAGGGAAUGGCGGCACACCCCGUGUCUCAGCCGAGAGAGGAGAGGCCGGGGAUAGAAUUAAGAGAGACACGAGAGAUGACAGAUGAUAGGCUAGGGAUCGUUGGGCGUUCUCACAUAUUGCGUGGAGGUGGUUAGCUAAAUGGGGCAGCACAAAGGCCCAGUCAACCGCAGGUGGCAGAGUUUUCUCCCAGUGCAGCAGCCCUUUAGGACAGUUGAGCCAAGAAAUAUAAUUACAAAAUUAGGGAUUCAUCCAAUAGUCAGAAAUGAUCUAUACAAGUGAUCUGAUAGUUACAAAUGUUGAAUGCUUGAGAGAGCUGGGAUAAGGCUAGGUUUUACUGUCCUAAAUGUAUUAGAUAUGUAGAAUCUGACAGUUAUUAAAGUUUAAUUGUCCUUCGAAACAAACUAUGGCUAAUCACCACUACGCUAAUUACUUUUUACAAUUGUUGAACAUGAAUGGGGGUUAGGGGGGCGUAACACUGCUGAUGAGGGUCCCAACCCCGAAAAAGGUGGAGGGUGCAUGAUCAAAUUAACAUCUAACACUAACAUGCAAUACCUUUUAAGUUCUUAUAUUGAUUCAAUCGCAAAAGGGAGAAAUGAAACAAAAGUAGGCAGCGGGACCUGGAAGUCAACAGAGGAAACAGAAGGGUAUGCUCAUCGUGUGGAAUCGUUUGUGGGGGCGAGCUGAGUAAACAGAGGAAGGUGAUCGAAUGACGUCUCAGGUUUAUUUGUUUACUGAACAGACAGACAUGUGUAAGUUUUUUUUCCCUUUGAGGGGAAAGACGUGUGUAACUAGGGAGAGAUGAUUUUGCACGUUCUGUAUUUUUUUCCACCAGAAAACAGAUACUACUUUAACAAAUAAAUCCUACACUAAAUAUUUUAUAUGCUGCAAAUUACAGGCCACAUACGCAUGAGCCUAAAUUAUAGGCGACUAUUUCAUAGGGUGAAAGUAAACAAAAUAGAAAAUCUUAUAGGCGACAUAAGCAUGAACCUAAAUUAUAUAUUUUAUAUGCUGCAAAUUAUUUUAAAAACAUGUGAAAAUAUAGUGCAUGAUCAUCAGACCAAAAACUCUAGCCUGUACAAAACACUCAUAUUUAGACGUAUAUUUCAUAUGGAGCUGCCAAUUCAUAUCAAUCCGGCACUACAACAGUAACACUAUCGUGCAGCCGCUUAAGUCAAAUCUAAGGUUAAAGCUAAUCAACACAAAAUAUCCAAUGUAAAAGGAAUUACUUAUACUAAAAAAUAUAAAAUAUACCUAAGAGUGCGAACAAUGACGAAUAUUUACUAUAAGAGUGCUAGCCCUCGCAUUUGCGAGGGCCACCUUGCUAGUUGAUAAAAAACAAAUAAUUAUGAUGGAUUCAUGGCAAUGAUCAUGUAUAUAGGCAUCACGUUCGAGACAAGUAGACCGACUCCCGUCUGCAUCUACUACUAUUACUCCACCCAUCGACCACUAUCCAGCAUGCAUCCAGAGUAUUAGGUAUAAAACAGAGUGACGCCUUAAGUACGAUGACAUGAUGUAGAUAAAGUAAAUUCAAGAAAUAUGAUUAAACCCCAUCUUUUUAUCCUUAAUUGUCAGCCCAUUGGCUGUUAUUUUCCCCGAUCUGACCGUCCGCGACGCUCCUGUUGUUCGCAACGCUACCGCUACGACUGCGGGAGCAUGUCAUUUUCGUUAUACAUGUAACCCAAAAAUAUCUCUAACAUUAAUGACAACAAUACAAAUACGUGUUAUGUCCGUUUUUGUCACUGGGAUUGAGCAAUGCAAGAUUGAAUCCAUCACAAAGCACCUCUCCCCAUUGCAAGAUAAACCAAUCUAGUUGGCCAAACCAAAUCGAUAGAUCAGGGAGAAAUAUAAAGCUAAAAUAAUCACGCAUAAAAGAGCUCAGAGAAGACUCAAAUAUUUCUCAUGAAUCAUAUGAUCAUAAACUCACGAUUCAUUGGAUCCCAACAAACACACCGGAAAAGAAGAUUACAUCGGAUAGAACUCCAAGAACAUCGGGGAUAACUUUGUAUUGAAUAUCAAAGAGAGAGAAGAAGCCAUUUAGCUAUUGGCUAUGGACCCAUAGGUGUGUGGUAAAAUACUCACACAUCAUCGGAAGGACAGCAUUGUUUAUGUGGAAGCCCUUCGUGAUCGAUUCCCCCUCCGGCAGAGUACUGGAAAAGGCCUCCAGACGGGAUCGCGGAAGAACAGAGGCUUGCGGCGGCGAAAAAGUUUUGUCAUCUAUCUCUCUGGUGGUUAUGGAAUAUUUGUGAAUUUAUAGUGGAAGAAUUAGGUCAGGAGGUGCCACGAGGGGGCCAUAAGCCUAGGGGCGCGGUGAUACGUCCAUUUUGCAUCAUGUUUUAUUACGGUUAUUUAUUAAGUUUUGAGCCAAUAUAACACUUCAUGGAGUAUUUCUAAUGCCUUUUCUCUCUUAAUCUGCAAGGUUUACACAAAGAGGGAGAAUACCGGCAGCUGGAUUUCAGGGCCUGAAAAAGCUACAUCAGAGAUCCCUAUUCUGCACAUCUCCAAAUGGGCUGAAAAUUCACGAAGAUUUAUUUUAGAAUAUAAAAAAAAUACUGGGCCAAAGAUCCACGGGAGGAGGCCACCCAGGUGCCCACACAACAAUAGGGCGCGCCCCACCCCUGGGGCGCGCCCUGAUGCUGUAUGAGGCCCCUGGCCCACUUCAGCCCCCCUCCUUCUGGUAUAUAAGUCAUUUUACCAUAAAAUAUUUAUGGGGAGACUUUCAGGACGAGGCGCCGCCGCCACGAGGCGGAACUAGAGCAGGAGAAAUUUGGCUCUCCGGCGGGCAGAUUCCGCCGGGGAUACUUCCCUCCGGGAGCUGGAAAUCAAAGCUUACGCCAUCACUAACAACCCUCUCAUCGUGGGAGGGCCAAUCUUCAUCAUCAUAAACCACAACACCAUCUCAUCUCUAUCCCUAGUUCAUAUCUUGUAUUCGAUCUCUGUGUCAAAACAUUAGAUUGGUACUUGUGUUUGACUAGUAGUGUUGAUUACUUAUCGUAGUUGAUGCUAGUGGAUUUGUUUGGUGAAUUACCAAAUGUUCUGAUCGUGCAUCCAAAUUAUAUCCUCUCUGAUCAUGAACAUGAUGAUGAUGUGUGAGUAGUUACUUUUAUUCUUGAGGACAUGGGAGAAGUCUUGUCAUUAGUAAUCAUGUGAUUCCACUGGUAGAAAACUGGGCUUUGGUCACAGGGCAAUAUUCACAUUAGUCCCGGUGCAGUCACGAACGGGGACUAAUGUGAGCAUUGGUCCCGGUUCGUGCGGCCAGGGGCCUGCCGGGCCUCGUGGGGGCAUUGGUCCCGGUUCGUCCGGCCCCUUUGGUCCCGGUUGGUGGGACAAACCGGGACCAAUGGGCCACGCUCCUGGCCCACCACCCUUUAGUCCCGGUUCAUACCACAAACCGGGACUAAAGGGCUGGUCCUAGUUGCGGCCAGUGUUUAGUCCCUCCUCGCCAACCGAAGGGCGCUCACACCAGUUUAUAAGCCCGUCCCUCUCUGCCUUGUUGAGCUUCUCUUAAAGUGAAAAUAGAUGCCCUUAUACAGGGAAUUUGACCUAAAUUCACAGUAAAUUUCAUAGAAAUUUGUUAUGAAUUUAGGUUUAAUUUUCUCUAUAAGCGCAUCUAUGUUCAUUUUUUAUAUUUAUAAAAUAAAUAAACAUUAAUAAAAUAAAUAAAACUAAAUAAACCUUAAUAAAAUAAAAUAAAAUAAACUAUAGUAACUACAAUAAAUAAACCUUAAUAAAUUAAGUAAAAAUAGCAGCAGUAAAAUAAAUAAAAAUAGCAGCAGUAAAAUAAAUAAAAAUAAAAUAAUUAAAGUAAAAUACAUAAGUAAUUAUAAAUAAAAUAAAUAAGUUUUUUGUUGUAAGUAGAACAAAACAAAACAAAUAAAGCAAAAGAGAAAAAAAACAGAGGAACAAAAUUAUGCCACCUACUGGGCCACCACGGCCUGAAUACGACUAGAAACCCAUCCAUGGGCCAGGAUUCANNNNNNNNNNNNNNNNNNNNNNNNNNNNNNNNNNNNNNNNNNNNNNNNNNNNNNNNNNNNNNNNNNNNNNNNNNNNNNNNNNNNNNNNNNNNNNNNNNNNNNNNNNNNNNNNNNNNNNNNNNNNNNNNNNNNNNNNNNNNNNNNNNNNNNNNNAAAAAAUUAUGCCACCUACUGGGCCACCACGGCCUGAAUACGACUAGAAACCCAUCCAUGGGCCAGGAUUCAGGCCCGCAGAAGGCCCAGUAGGCCCCACAGGCAAAGAGAACAGUUAGGCCCGAAAGCCUGCAGUUGAGAGGAGUUCGAGAGGGUGGGCGCAGCAGCGCUUAUAAACCACUCUCGAGCUCUCUCAACUAGCGAGGUGGGACUAAACUUUUGACGCGGGGCAGCACAAGGCCUUUGGUCCCGGUUGGUGCCACCAACCGGGACUAAAGGAGGCAUUGGUCCCGGUUCGUGGCACCAACCGGGACAAAGGCCUUUAGUCCCGGUUGGUGCCACGAACCGGGACCACCGAGUUCCCUAUAUACCCCAUCGCCACAGCAGAGCACUCCAGAGUGCUCUGUUUUUUCUGGCCGCGAGGGGAGGGCAUUUGGGUGCUCUAGCUCACCUCCUAUGCACAUGAGGUGUUCGAUGAAAUGUCUGAGCCACACUAGUUAAUCUUUGUCCUCUCGAAACUCGACCUCCGAGCUCCAUUUUCCCCGAGAUUUGUCUAGGUUUAGCGGUCCGUCACGUCCCGUCCCCGUCUUCACCGCCGUCGAUCGCCCGCGCCGAUCUCGUCGCCAGCACCACCGUGGUGAGCCUCUUGUUCUUAUCUUCUUUCUGAAAGGAAAAAAAUUCUUACUUUAGAUAGUUACUUGUCUAAUUUUGUUACUUUUAUUAUUCCUUCUUAUUACAUAGUGCGAUGGUUUUGGUAUCCGCCCCCGUCGGCCCUCAUCCUGUCUAUGAUUCGGAUGUGGUAUAUAUUAUCUUUUUAUAACUAUUUGGUUCAUUUACUGUUUAUGACAAAUAUACCGACCAACGUGACAUAGAUUUUAUUUAUCUAGGAGGUGGUUGAACCGGAAAUUCUAACCGACCCUAUUGUUGAGAGGUUAAAUUUAGUUGAAGAAGAAAACAAUUAUUUGAAGGAAAAAAUAAAAAAAAUUGAGGAGGAGAAGAUGAUAUUGGAGUGGCAUGUUGCGGAUGUCGUCGAUGAUCACAAGAUCAAGAUGGAUGCAAUGCGCUUAAAGAUUAGAAAGAUUAGAAAAUAUGCCAUUCAUACUGAGGCUUGGUAUCAUUAUGCCAUUGGAUCAAUUGUUACCUUGGUUGCGAUUAUGAUCGCAUUUGUUUUCGCAUUGAAAUGUUUUACAUAGUUUCAAUGUAUGGUUUAAUUAAUUAGAUGCUCUGGAGAGCUAUAUAUAUGUUGUUAGAUGAGAACUAUGUAUGUACUUUGGUUUUAAUGUGAUGAUGAACUUCUAUUAAUUUGGUCACUUAAUUAUCUAUUCAUGAUGUUCUGUAAUGGUUUUUGACACACUUAAUUAUAUAUAAUGCACGCAGAUGAACCGGCAAUGGAUGUACGAUGACAGACACACCUCCGAGUACAUUAAGGGCGUGCAUGAUUUUCUCGAAGUGGCUGAGGCAAACAAGCAGAAUGGUUUUAUGUGUUGUCCAUGCCCUAUAUGUGGGAAUACGAAGUCUUACUCUGACCGGAAAAUCCUUCACACCCACCUGCUUUACAAGGGUUUCAUGCCACACUAUAAUGUUUGGACGAGGCACGGAGAAAUAGGGCUUACGAUGGAAGACGGUGAAGAAGAAGAGGAUGAUGACAACUAUGUGCCCCCUGAAUACGGUGAUGCUGCAACGGGGGAAGCUGCUGAAGAUCAAGAGGAACCAGACGAUGUGCCCAAUGAUGCUGCAAGGGGGGAAGCUGCUGAAGAUCAAGAGGAACCAGUGCCCGAUGAUGAUGAUCUCCGCCGGGUGAUAGUCGAUGCAAGGACGCAAUGCAAAAGUCAAAAGGAGAAGCUGAAGAUCGAUCGCAUGUUAGAGGAUCACAAAAAAGGGUUGUACCCCAAUUGCGAAGAUGGCAACACAAAGCUCGGUACCGUACUGGAAUUGCUGCAGUGGAAGGCAGAGAAUGUUGUGCCUGACAAAGGGUUUGAGAAGCUAUUGAAAAUAUUGAAGAAGAAGCUUCCAAAGGAUAACGAAUUGCCCGACAGUACAUACGCAGCAAAGAAGGUCGUAUGCCCUCUAGGAUUGGAGGUGCAGAAGAUACAUGCAUGCCCUAAUGACUGCAUCCUCUACCGCGGUGCGUACAAGGAUCUGAACGCAUGCCCGGUAUGCGGUGCAUUGCGAUAUAAGAUCAGACGAGAUGACUCUGGUGAUGUUGACGGCGAGCCCCCCAGGAAGAGGGUUCCUGCGAAGGUGAUGUGGUAUGCUUCUAUAAUACCACGGUUGAAAUGUCUGUUCAGAAACGAAGAGCAUGCCAAGUUGAUGCGAUGGCACAGUGGGGACCGUAAGAAAGACGGGAAGUUGAGAGCACCCGCCGACGGGUCGCAGUGGAGAAAAAUCGAGAGAAAGUACUGGGCUGAGUUUGCAGCUGACCCAAGGAACGUAUGGUUUGGUUUAAGCGCGGAUGGCAUUAAUCCUUUCGGGGAGCAGAGCAGCAAUCACAGCACCUGGCCCAUGACUCUAUGUAUGUAUAACGUUCCUCCUUGGAUGUGCAUGAAGCAGAAGUUCAUUAUGAUGCCAGUUCUCAUCCAAGGCCCUAAGCAACCCGGCAACGACAUUGAUGUGUACCUAAGGCCAUUAGUUGAAGAACUUUUACAGCUGUGGAAUGGAAACGGUGUACGUACGUGGGAUGAGCACAAAAAGGAGGAAUUUAACCUGCACGCGUUGCUGUUUGUAACCAUCAACGAUUGGCCCGCUCUCAGUAACCUUUCAGGACAGACAAACAAGGGAUAGCACGCAUGCACGCACUGUUUAGAUGACACUGAAAGUAUAUACCUGGACAAAAGCAGGAAGAAUGUGUACCUGGGCCACCGUCGAUUUCUUCCGACAAACCAUCAAUGUCGAAAGAAAGGCAAGCAUUUCAAAGGCGAGGCAGAUCAGCGGAAGAAGCCCGCCAUGCGUACCGGUGAUCACGUACUUGCUAUGGUCAAUGAUUUACACGUAAUCUUUUGAAAGGGUCCCGGCGGACUAGCUGUUCCGAAUGACGCUGAGGGACACGCACCCAUCUGGAAGAAGAAAUCUAUAUUUUGGGACCUACCCUGCUGGAAAGAGCUAGAGGUCCGCUCUUCAAUCGACGUGAUGCACGUGACGAAGAACCUUUGCGUGAACCUGCUAGGCUUCUUGGGCGUGUAUGGGAAGACAAAAGAUACACCUGAGGCACGGGAGGACCUGCAAUGUUUGCACGAAAAAGACGGCAUGCCUCCGAAGCAGUAUGAAGGUCCUGCCAGCUACGCUCUUACGAAAGAAGAGAAAGAAAUCUUCUUUGAAUGCCUGCUCAGUAUGAAGGUCCCGACUGGCUUCUCGUCGAAUAUAAAGGGAAUAAUAAAUAUGCCAGAGAAAAAGUUCCAGAACCUAAAGUCUCAUGACUACCACGUGAUUAUGACGCAACUGCUUCCGGUUGCAUUGAGGGGGCUUCUACCAGAAAACGUCCGAUUAGCCAUUGUGAAGCUAUGUGCAUUCCUCAAUGCAAUCUCUCAGAAGGUGAUCGAUCCAGAAAUCAUACCAAUGCUAAGGAGUGAUGUGGCGCAAUGUCUUGUCAGUUUCGAGCUGGUGUUCCCGCCAUCCUUCUUCAAUAUCAUGACGCACGUCCUAGUUCAUCUAGUCGACGAGAUUGUCAUUCUGGGGCCCGUAUUUCUACACAAUAUGUUCCCCUUUGAGAGGUUCACGGGAGUCCUAAAGAAAUAUGUCUGUAACCGCGCUAGGCCAGAAGGAAGCAUCUCCAUGGGCCAUCAAACAGAGGAUGUCAUUGGGUUUUGUGUUGACUUCAUUCCUGGCCUUAGGAAGAUAGGUCUCCCUAAAUCGCGGUAUGAGGGGAGACUGACUGGAAAAGGCACGCUUGGAGGGGACUCAAUAAUAUGCAGGGACGGAUAUUGUUGGUCUCAAGCACACUACACAGUUCUACAGAACUCUACCUUGGUGACCCCGUAUGUCGAUGAACACAAGAACAGUCUGCGCUCCAAACACCCGGAGCAGUGUGACGACUGGAUUACAUGUGAACACAUCAGGACUUUCAGCAGUUGGUUGGAAACACGUCUCAUAGGUGACACCACUGUUUGUGUUGAGUUGUACUCAUUGUCCAGGGGACCAUCUUCGACUGUAUUGACUUACAAAGGAUACGAGAUAAAUGGGAAUACAUUUUACACGAUCGCCCAAGAUCAAAAGAGCACCAACCAAAACAGCGGUGUCCGCUUUGAUGCAGCAACCGAGAGGGGAAAGGACACAUAUUAUGGUUACAUAAUGGACAUAUGGGAACUUGACUACGGACAUGAUUUUAAGGUCCCUUUGUUUAAGUGCAAAUGGGUCAAUCUGUCAGGAGGUGGGGUACAGGUAGACCCACAGUACGGAAUGACAACAGUGGAUCUGAACAAUCUUGGGUACACUGAUGAACCGUUCGUCCUAGCCAAUGAUGUGGCACGGGUUAUCUAUGUGAAGGACAUGUCUACCAGACCGAGGAAAAGAAAAGAUAAGGAAGCGAAUACAUCAUACGAUGAGCCAAAGCGCCACAUAGUUCUUUCAGGAAAAAGGGACAUUGUGGGAGUGGAGGGCAAGACAGACAUGUCUGAAGAUUAUGAAAAGUUUCAUGAAAUUCCUCCCUUCAAAGUCAAGGCUGACCCAAGCAUCCUGAUAAACGAUGAAGAUUAUCCAUGGUUAUGGCGCAAUAAGCCAAUGACACAAGCGAAGAAAAAGUGAAGACUUUCUCCCGCAACUAUUAUGAUGAUACCAUGCCAACUUUGUAAUAGACGAGUAUGAUACCAUUGUCCGUUUUGUACAAGAAGUGCAUCUAGUUUUUUGCCGUAACCCUCUCAACUUUCUUGCACAUGCUGUGUGGAUGAAAUGAUGAUACCAUGCCAACUUUCAAUCUUUUCAGAGUUCAUUUGAAAUGCUUUUCAAUUAGUAAAUGCAUGAAAAAUAACAGGCCAAAAAUUAAAAAUUAUGCCACCUACUGGGCCACCACGGCCUGAAUACGAUUAGAAACCCAUCCAUGGGCCAGGAUUCAGGCCCGCAGAAGGCCCAGUAGGCCCACAGGCAUGUACAGAGAGGUUAGGCCCGUAAGCCUGCUUUAGAGAGGAGCUCGACAGCUCAGGCGCACCGCACCUUAUAAAUAGGUGCGGCUCUCUCUUAGCUAGCGAGGUGGGACUAAACUCACCACCACGCCGCUGUGCAAGGCCAUUGGUCCCGGUUGGUGGCACGAACCGGGACCAAUUCCACCCUUUGGUCCCUGUUGGUGCCACGAACCGGUACUAAUGAGGCUGUGGCCCCACGAGCACCUUUAGUACCUGUUCGUGGCACGAACCGGUACUAGAGUUUCUUACUAAGCAGUUUUUUAGUCCCACCUCGCUAGCUGAGAGGCACUAGGAGCGGUUUAUAAGCCCUGAGUGCAGAGACAAUGAAGAAGAGGCGCAAUGCUCACGUUGCUUAGCUUCAAGCCUUGAGGAAUAAGGUAGACUGCAUCGAGCUAUGUGCAGUGCAGUCUACACUAUUCCAAAAGGCUUGAAGCAAAUCAACGAGCAUUGCGCCUCUUUUUUAUUUUUAAUAACUUAUUACAACUCCGGACUUCUUGUGUUCCGACAAAAUAAAAUGAACUUUAAUAAAAUUUAUGAAACUAAAAUUAACAAAGUAUUUUACGUUCAAAACAUUAUAAGAAACCUCUAUUAUUAUUGAAACUAAAAUCAUAUAAAAUUGAUGCAACUAAAAUUAUUGAAGUAUUUUCUGUUCAAAAUCAUUAAAAGCAAAAAGAAUUUUCAUAAAGAACUUUUUUUGAUCGAAACUUUAAUAGCAAAAAGAAUUAUCAUAAAGUAAAAUAAAUAAGUAAUUAGAAACAAAAUAAAAUAAAAUAAAUAAGUUUUUUGUUGUAAGUAGAAACAAAACAAAAUAAAUAUAGCAAAAAAGAAAACAAAAAAACUAAAUACAGCAAAAAGAAUUUUCAUAAAGAACUAAUGGCACUAAUAGAAAGUNNNNNNNNNNNNNNNNNNNNNNNNNNNNNNNNNNNNNNNNNNNNNNNNNNNNNNNNNNNNNNNNNNNNNNNNNNNNNNNNNNNNNNNNNNNNNNNNNNNNNNNNNNNNNNNNNNNNNNNNNNNNNNNNNNNNNNNNNNNNNNNNNNNNNNNNNNNNNNNNNNNNNNNNNNNNNNNNNNNNNNNNNNNNNNNNNNNNNNNNNNNNNNNNNNNNNNNNNNNNNNNNNNNNNNNNNNNNNNNNNNNNNNNNNNNNNNNNNNNNNNNNNNNNNNNNNNNNNNNNNNNNNNNNNNNNNNNNNNNNNNNNNNNNNNNNNNNNNNNNNNNNNNNNNNNNNNNNNNNNNNNNNNNNNNNNNNNNNNNNNNNNNNNNNNNNNNNNNNNNNNNNNNNNNNNNNNNNNNNNNNNNNNNNNNNNNNNNNNNNNNNNNNNNNNNNNNNNNNNNNNNNNNNNNNNNNNNNNNNNNNNNNNNNNNNNNNNNNNNNNNNNNNNNNNNNNNNNNNNNNNNNNNNNNNNNNNNNNNNNNNNNNNNNNNNNNNNNNNNNNNNNNNNNNNNNNNNNNNNNNNNNNNNNNNNNNNNNNNNNNNNNNNNNNNNNNNNNNNNNNNNNNNNNNNNNNNNNNNNNNNNNNNNNNNNNNNNNNNNNNNNNNNNNNNNNNNNNNNNNNNNNNNNNNNNNNNNNNNNNNNNNNNNNNNNNNNNNNNNNNNNNNNNNNNNNNNNNNNNNNNNNNNNNNNNNNNNNNNNNNNNNNNNNNNNNNNNNNNNNNNNNNNNNNNNNNNNNNNNNNNNNNNNNNNNNNNNNNNNNNNNNNNNNNNNNNNNNNNNNNNNNNNNNNNNNNNNNNNNNNNNNNNNNNNNNNNNNNNNNNNNNNNNNNNNNNNNNNNNNNNNNNNNNNNNNNNNNNNNNNNNNNNNNNNNNNNNNNNNNNNNNNNNNNNNNNNNNNNNNNNNNNNNNNNNNNNNNNNNNNNNNNNNNNNNNNNNNNNNNNNNNNNNNNNGCCGCCCCUGCCUCGACGCCGCCCCUCCUCCCCGUUCGGUCUGGCUCCGGCGACCCCCUUUCCUCCCUGUCCCCUCGAUCCUCUUCAUAUAAUUUGUUCAUAUAUUUUUUUUCAUAUAAUUUUUUUCAUAUGCAUAUGUUGAUUAUAUGGAUGGAUGGAUGAUGUAUAUGUUCAUUAUAUGGAUGGAUGGAUGAUGUAUGCUUUUUUUCAUAUAAUUUUUAGGCAGAUUUUUAGAAUUUUUUGUGUAUGUAUGUUAUGUUUAUAUGUAUGUAUGUAUGUAUGUUCAUAUGUAUGUAUGUUUAUAUGCAAAGCAUAUGCAAAGAAAAUGUAUGAAUGGUCAUAUGCAAAGAAAAAAUGUAUGUAUGGUCAUAUGCAAAGAAAAUGUAUGUAUGUAUGUUCAUAUGAAAGAAAAAUGUAUGGAUGUAUGUUCAUAUGCAUAUGCAAAGAAAAUGUAUGUUCAUAUAUAUGAUGAUAUGUUCAUAUAAAAAGGAAAAUAAGAAGAGGAAGAAAGGAGAAGAAGAGGAGAGGAAGAAGAGGAGAAAUAAAUAAGAAGAGGAAAAAAGAAGAAAAAGAAGAGGAGAAGAAGAAAGGAAUAGAAGAGAAGAAGAAAAAAUAGAAAAAAUUCUAUUUUUUCUUCUUCUCUCCUCUAUUCCUUUCUUCUUCUCCUCUUUUUUUUCUUCUUUUUUUUCUUCGAUCUUCUCCUCUAUUCCUUUUCUUCUUCUCCUCUUUUUNNNNNNNNNNNNNNNNNNNNNNNNNNNNNNNNNNNNNNNNNNNNNNNNNNNNNNNNNNNNNNNNNNNNNNNNNNNNNNNNNNNNNNNNNNNNNNNNNNNNNNNNNNNNNNNNNNNNNNNNNNNNNNNNNNNNNNNNNNNNNNNNNNNNNNNNNAUAUACCCCUCUCCCGAUAACUUCAACACGAGGGGGGGUCGAUAUACCCCCUCCCCGCCGAUAAUAUUAUUUUCCCAUGCACGUAUGUCGUCGUUGUCGAUAUAACCCCCUCCCGAUAACUUCAACACGUGGGGGGGGGUCGAUAUACCCCCUCCCCGAUAACAUUAUUUUCCCAUGUAUGUAUGUCGUCGUUGUCGAUAUAUAUAACUCCCUCCCAGAUAACUUCGACAUGAUGGACGGUCGAUAUUUAUACUCCCUCUCGACCGUGAUAACUUAUACCACGGGAGCACCCCCUAGCCCUCUCGCUCGACCAAAACUCUCGAGGACACCCAAACCCUAGAAAAAACUAUGUCGGUCUCCUACCCCCUCCCGCCGCGCCCCUACCCUUGAAGCGUUGCCUAGGCCACCCCAAACCCGGAAUAAGCUAGGUCUACGUUUGCACUAAUAUAUCCACCUGCUGUCAUGUUUGUGUAAUAAUUGCCAUGUUGUAAUAUUUGCAGAAACAAUGGAGCACGGACGAGAUGAGCAAGCAGAAGAGGUGUUGGGGGACAUAAUCUUAGCCGGAGGUGAUAUCUUGUCGUAUCUUAACGACAAUGAUGGUCUGGAAGAACAGGGUGAAGAAGCAGGCUACGGUGAUUGAAGAGUGGAGGAGGAAAGACAUGAUUAUGAUGGCUCCGGUGACCCAAUGCUGGUGCAAGAAGGAGCCCGUGGUGACGGCUCCGGUGACCGAACAGAGUCCGGCCAGGUAAAUAUAUUAGUUAAGCCUGUGCUGACUAGCUAAUUGAUGCAUUCAUUGUUUUGGUAUGUACAUAUAUUAAUUAACACUCGUCUUUCUUCUUUUUUCUAGCCCUCCGGAUCGAGCACAACUGCGGUAAAGAGACGAGGCCCGAAGAGAAAGUUGCGCUCGGAUGAAAGGUUUGAGAUCACAGCAAUCGCGCGCGACGGCCAACCGAUUGAACCCAUCCGGACAAAGGAUGCAUUUGCUGCUCAGUGCGGGAUUCUAGUUAGGGACAAGAUCCCGAUCAGCAUCCACCAAUGGUAUAAGCCUAAGAAGGAAGACCCUGAGGUGUCUUAUGUCAAUGAUAUGCAGAAAGAUGAUCUUUGGACUGAUCUGAAGGCAAAUUUCACCCUACCGCCAGAGGAGGAUUCGGAGAAGCCAGUUAUAGAGCAAUUAAUCAAGUCUCAUGCUCUUAAGAAGAUGGCAGACCUAUUCAGGAGGUGGAAGAAUGAGCUGAAAACGUUUGUCGACAAACAAGAGACACCAGAAUUCAUCGGCCGGUAUGAGAAGAUCAGAGAUCACUGGCCCGCAUUUGUGGCCCACAAGACAUCGGAAAAGAGUAAGAAGAUGUCAGCGACAAACAAGAAGAAUGCUGCGAAGAAGAAGCUUCACCAUCGCACGGGGUCAGGUGGCUACCUCAAAGCCCGACCUAAGUGGGCAAAGGCUGAGAAUGAUCUGCUUGAAAAAGGGAUCGAACCACAGACAAUGAACUGGACAGACUGUUGCCGGACUUGGUUCUUCGGGGCUGGCGGAACCUUGGACCCUGUAUCAGGGAGGUGUGUUUGGACGAACGAGCUUUUGAGAAUACUAGUCAAGAAGAUUCGGCAAUAUAUCGAUGCAGCGCAGGAAGGGACGUUCGUUCCAGACAGAGAGAACAACGAGCUCACAAUGGCCCUCGGGAAUCCUGAGCACCCUAGACGGACACGAGGCAUGCCAGGCUCCGUUCCGUGGAAGGCUGGUUUUCCGGACGCAGGCGGUUACAAAAGCCAGGAGAGGAGGAAAAAAGUGGAGCAGAUCCAAAUUCAGAAGCUGCACGAAAGGGUUCAAGCGCUAGAGGAACGAGACGGCAAUCGACAUGCCGAAACUGCCCCCGAAGCUACACCGCCAUCUCAGCGGAGAAGCAGCAUGGCUUCCACCGAGCUGCUUCAGCUGGAGCAUGCGGCUCCUGCUAGCUACCCCGUGGAUGCUAUCACGGAGUCUCAACAUUGCCACCUUAUGGCGGAAUGGCAGAACUUCAAAGUCAAGGCAGCGGUUGGCUCUGUUUUACCUCCUGAACCCGGCGCAACCUACCACUGCCGGCCGAUUCCAGAAGGAUAUGCUAGGGUGAUGGUUGAUGAAAUAACGGAGGGAUUUGAGGAGCUCCAGCUUGACCACCCUACCGGUGAAGGGGAGACUUGGCUGGGUUCUGCUCUGAAGACUCCAUGCCUAUGGCGGAAGGAGCUCAUCAAGCUUCCGAACUCGACGGCUCCGGCGAGUAAGGGCACUCCGCCUCCUCCUCCGCCUCCUCCUCCGGCGAGUGAUCAGGGCACUCAGCCUCCUUCUCCGGCGCGUGACGGCACUCCGCCUCCUUCUCCGCCAGCGCCGGCGCCCCAGAGCAGCCAGCCUCCUCCUUCUCCGCCUCGUCAGCAAGGGCGGAAGAGACCCGCCACCGCUGCGGCUGCUCCGGCGCGUCGUAGUCCUUCUCCUCCGCCUCGUAAGCAAGGAAAGAAGACAGUCGCAGCCGCUCCGUCUGCUCUGUCGGCGUCUAGCAGUACAGCUGCCAGAGGCGGGAGGCAAUACAGAUUCGGUCCUUCUCUGAAGACUCCAGAGAAGUUACCAUACGAUAGGACCGAGGAGGAAACCAGGAAGAUCGUGCGAGCCGAAGUGACAAACUUCUUUGAAGGGGUGAAUGCAAAGAAACAUCCACCUCCGGAGGAGAAGGUAGAUCCGGUGAAAGUAAAGCGCACUCUGGCUGCCUUGACAAAACCACCAAAGUCUCCGCCGAGAGGCCACUAUGAGCGCAUUCUUGCAAAGACAUAUGCCGAAGCGGAGCGGUCGGGAAGUACUGUUAGUGAUAAAAGGUUAAAAGAACGACGAGCUGGCAAAAAAAUUGCCCAGCUCGGCGAACAAGCGAACCAAUCGUGCCCCCCGCUCAAGGUGUCAAAAGACAUCGUCGCUAAUGAUCCGAGUAUGGUGCCCGGUUAUAGCAAUCUUGGAGAUUACCUGCCCGACGAUGUACAUUAUGAAAUCAUGGAGGUGGACGAACACAAAUACCAUUACGGGAAGCCUCUCGUCAAAGAUGAAAGAUCUCUAACAACGAUGAUGCGAAGACUACAUGAUUGGUACAUGAAAACCUGCAGAGAGUCUGAUGGGAUGGAUAAUUUGACGCUGAGAGUUAAACCGGAGCAUGACCUCAUUGGAAUUGAUCUGCUGAAUGUUCCAUUUGAGGAUUUCUUCCAGUUUUACAAUCAAAAGGCCCUCAAUAAAACAACGAUCACUUGCUACUGUCUGUAAGUAGUACUACUUCUGUCAUUAAGUCUCUCUAUAUAGGUCAGCUCUUUCAUUGCAUGUAUUUAUACUUAUCCUCACUAUAUUAUGCAGAUUGAAGAUCGCCGAAUUGAAGAAAAGACAAAUCGGUGAUAUUGGGUUCAUUAACACAAAUCUCAUAUAUGCAUAUACGGUUGAAAAACAUCCAAAGAAGCCGAGGCCAACUUGCUACAAUCGUUGGUAUUAAAUCAAAACAAAGAUAUAAUACUCUUUCCUUACAACUUCAAGUGAGUGUUACUGUCUUGUGCAUAUUCGGUUUCCCUUAUUAGUCCAGGUUAUGGUAAUGUAAUUGAUGACUUAUGCAUGCAUGCGCAGCUUCCACUAUAUUCUCCUAGAGAUUAAGCUUGAGCAGGGAGUAGUAACCGUCUUAGACUCGAGACGAAAAGAUCCCUAGGACUAUGAGAACAUGACUCAAAUGCUCGAGAAGUAAGUUAAAUCGAUCAUUAUCCACCAUAUCAGCAACUUUGUUCAUUUCAUAAUAUCAAGUAAUUGUUUUCUUUGUCUGGCAGGGUUUGGAGAAAAUUCACCUCAAAAGCUCCGGGACUGCCGAAGAAGCUGCAAUUUAAUCACCCGAAAGUAAGUACUAUAGUAGCAUGUUCCGCGCAUCUCCUAGUGAUUCAAGCGCUAGUUUCUUCAAUACCAUUUAGCAUGCUUGCUUAUCAAUUUGAUUGACCUCUAUUUCUUGUAAAGUGGUUGUGGCAGGAAACCGGGAAUAAUUACUGUGGAUACUACGUUUGCGAGUCCAUCCGCUACACGACCUGUGAGCGGGGCUACACUGAAGAACAAUAUGAAGUGCGUAAGCAAUAAUAUUCACAAUUUUAUUUUAUUACCAUCAUUUGUGUUGAGUUUCAUUUAUUCAUAUAUAUAUAUAUAUAUAUAUAUAUGUAUUGACCCCCUUCUUCAAAUUAGAUGUUUCGGAAGCGGGAUGAACUCCUAGCACCAGAUCGUAUGCGAGGAAUUCAAGAGGAAUUGGCGGCAUUCUUCCUUGACCACGUGAUCGCUGAAAACGGAGAAUACUAUGUGGACCUUGUGUUCCUACAAUUUAAUUAGGAGAUUGUAUUGUAAGAGAUAAUUAUUGUAUAUAUGUAGCCGGUAGUGUCGGAUAGAUAUACGAGAACUUGUUGUUCGACCAAUAUCUCGGAGAAGGAGAGGUGGUCGAUAUCACUUCUCUCUGUAUGCAUAUGUUCAUGACGAUCUUCUGUUUCCUUCAUUUGAUUACUAGCUAGCGUGUCUACUCCUCUCCAUACGUAUAUAGUAUGUAGCGUCGACCAAGCACGGAGAUAAGAGAGGACACUUCUCUCUAUUAAUUAGCUAGCUAACACAAUAUAUGAAACACCUAAAUUAACCCCCCAAAACCCCUAAACCACCCCCUUUCAAAAAAAACAAAAACCUCAGCUCCUGCCAGCUGCUGACGCGUGGAUGCCUAUUGGUCCCGGUUGGUGACACCAACCGGGACAAAAGGCCCUGCCUAUUGGUCCCGGUUGGUGCCGGCCCCCUGCCUGGGCUGGCAGCAGCGGCCACGUGGAGGACCUUCUGUCCCGGUUCGUGUAAGAACCGGGACUAAAGGGGGGAGGCAUUAGUAACGACCCUUUAGUCCCGGUUCGAGAACCGGGACAAAAGGCCCUUACAAACCGGGGUAAAAGCCCCUUUUCCUACUAGUGUUCCGGUAUUCGUUCAAUAUUUUGAUGAUAUGUAUGUUGUGAUUCUCUUAGUGGUGUCAUGUGAACGUCGACUACAUGACACUUCACCAUUGAUGGGCCUAAGGGAACUCAUUGUGGAGUAGUAAUUAGAUGAUGGGUUGCUAGAGUGACAGAAGCUUAAACCCCAGUUUAUGCACUAUUCCGUAAGGGGCUGAUUUGGAUCCACUAGUUUAAUGCUAUGGUUAGACUUUGUCUUAAUUCUUUUUUCUUAGUUGCGGAUAUCGGUGUCAAAACCGACAGAUCUCGGGUAGGGGGUCCCAAGUUGUGGGUCUAGGAUCAAUAGGUAACGGUGACGAUGAACACGGUGUUUUACCCAGGUUCGGGCCCUCUUGAUGGACAAUUUUUUUUAAAAAAAAAAUUUAGAAAUAUUUUUUUCAAUUUUUUUUUCAUUUUUUCUUAAUCUCGGGUCACUAUGGCUUAAUCUCGAGUCAAUAUGAUUAAUCUCAAGUCAAAUCGCACUAAGUGGUCAAACUUCCCGGAAGGUCACCCAUCCUCACACUACUCCAGCCCGAGCACGCUUAACUUCACAGUUCUAUCCAACCCCAGCACCACCUCACUCAACAGGCACUUGUUGAUAUAUCUACCAUAUCAAUCCUAUUAAACCUUGUUGAUGUCUAGGACUUUGUUCAUGUUCAUGAGUAUGAUAAAAUUUUGAAAAAUAUUUCAAACUUCCCGGUCAUAUCACGUAUCAUUUUUUGAAAAAAAAUUCCAAGAAAAAAUUCAACACCAAUUUUUUUUCUGUUACUAGUGGCGCACCUAGCAAACGGUGCGCCACUAGUAAGUUUGAAAUUUUUUGAAUUUUUUUGCCUCUAGAUCUUGAAAGCCCCGUAACUUUUUUUCUGUUAGGUUUUUGAGGAUUUUGAAAAUGUUUAACGGGGUUCCCCCGAUUAAAUUCGGAUGUAACUUUUCGAGUAGAUGAUUUUUCAUACAAAAAACUUUUUAAUCCGAGUUCGUAUGCAAAAGUUAUGCCCAUUUUACAAAUUCCAGAGAGAUUUUGCAAAUAAAGUUGAAAUUCAUAUUUGUAAAUUUUCCCAACAACUAGACCACAUAUCACAUGGGAAACUUAUUUUCUUUUAUUUUUUUAACAUUUCCAUUAUUUUCUUUUAUUUUUUUAAAACUGAAAAGGCGGUCCAUGAGGGGGUGCAUUCGGUGGAAUUUUUGGGUCAAGUUAGUAAUGGCGCACCGUGGGAGUGGUGCGCCAUUACUAGUUCAACUAGUAAUGGCGCAACACUCCCAUGGUGCGCCAUUACUAGUUUUGAAAAAAAAUAAAAAAAAUUUGAAAAAAAAUUUGAAUUUUUUUUACUAGUGGCGCACCGUGGAUGUGGUGCGCCAUUACUAGUUUAACUAGUAAUGGCGCACUAUCCCCUGGUGCGCCAUUACUAGUUUUGGAAAAAAAAUAAAAAAAUUUGAAAAAAAAAUUACUAGUGGCGCACCGUGGAUGUGGUGCGCCAUUACUAGUUUAACUAGUAAUGGCGCACUAUCCCCUGGUGCGCCAUUACUAGUUUUGAAAAAAAAUAAAAAAAAUGUUACUAGUGGCGCACAGUGGAUGUGGUGCGCCAUUAGUAUUUGGACACUAAUGGUGCGCCAUUAGUAUAUAGUAGUGGUGCACCACAUGUCUGGUGCGCCAUUAGUGUCCAUAUGAUCUAUAGCCCUUUUCCUAGUAGUGUUAGGGGUAUGAUCAGUAAUGUCAUAAUGAUGAUAAUAAUCUAUCGACUAGCCUGGCCUCGGCUUAUAUAAUGUACCAGAGGCCUAUGAUAACAAGACUCCUAGUUGGCUAUGUUGGUGGAGAGGAGUCCUUGUCUUGAUCAUCAAGUCUUGUGGAAUCUUCCCUGUAUAUGUCAUCGGUUGUCCGAACUGGCCCAUUAGUGAGGUCCUCGGCCCGACCCACUGGUCGGGAGACAACGUGGUGAGUACCCCCUAGUUCAGGACACCGUCAGCGGAUGCUUGCGAGAGGGGGUAAUCAUAAGUGGGAGGCUUGUUCAAGUAAGAACAACACCCAAGCACCGGUCCACCCACAUAUCAAAUCAUCAAAGUAGCGAAAGCGAACCGAAUGAACAUGAUGAAAGUGACUAGAUGAAAUUCCCGUGUGUCCUCAAGAACGCUUUUCUCAUUAUAAGUACUAGUUCUGGCCUGUCCUUUGCACUAAAAAGGAUUGGGAUAUCUUGCUGCACUUUAUUUACAUUUGUCACUUGCUACUCGUUACCAAUUAUCUUGCUAUCAGACUACUCGCUACCGCUUGUUUCAGUGUUUGCAAAAAUAUCGUUAUUGAAAACCGCAAGUCAUUUCCUUCUGCUGCUCGUUGGGUUCGACACUCUUACUUAUCGAAAGGACUAUGAUUGAUCCCCUAUACUUGUGUGUCAUCACGGGGCCACCCACCUGGGGUGCUCCCUCCCUAGCUUAUCACUCCCUCGAGACUCCUCGGGUCUUCCCCGAAGCUUCCAGGGUCUCUUUUGGUCCAGAAAACUUAAUCCAAUGUUUUUCUGUGUUUGUACCUUUUUUAUAAUGAUAUUAUAAAAUGAUAAAAACAAGCAAAAAAAUAACAACUGGCACUAGGCACUACGUUAAUAGGUUAGUCCCAAAAAAUGAUACAAAAAUAGCACAAAGUUGCAUAUAAAACAUCAAAGAUUGCUAAUAUAAUAGCACGAAACAAUAAAACAUUACAGAUAGGAGGCGUAUCAAGCAUCCCCAAGCUUAAUUCUUGCUCUUCCUCGAGUAGGUAAAUGAUAAAAACAAAAAAUUUGAUGUGGAAUGCUACCUAACAUGUUUCAUCAUGUAAUCUCUCUUACGGUAUGAAUAAUAAGAUCCGAAUGAUUCAAAGCAAUAGUCUAUAAUUUGAUAUAAAGACAUCAAUACUCAGGCAUACUAACAAACAAUCAUGCCUUUCAAAAUAACGAUGCUAACCCAAGUUAUCCCUACAAAAUCAUAUAAUCCUAUCAUGCUCCAUCUUCUUAACACAAAGUAUUUAUGAUGCACUACCCCAAUGACAAUCCAGGCAAUUGGUUCAUACUUCUUAACGUGCUUCAGCUUUUUCAACCCCCACGCAAUACAUGACGGCAAGCCAAGGACAUAACACUAUGGAUGGAAUAGAACAUGAUGAUAGAGAUCAAUAAGGGGAAAUCAAAAAUAAGAAGAUGGUCUCACAUCAAUGCGGCUAACAAACGGGCUAUAGAGAUGCCCAUCAAUUGAUGUCAAUGCAAGGAGUAGGGAUUGCCAUGCAACGAAUGCACUAAGAAGGCACCCAAGGUAAUAUCCAAGGAGACUCAAGCGUCGAAGCCUGGGGAUGCCCCGGAAGGCAUCCCCUCUUUCUUCUAAUGACUAUCGGUAACGCACUUGAGGCUACAUUUUUAUUCAUCACAUGAUAUGAGUUUUUCUUGGAGCGUCUUGUAUGAUAUGAGUCUUUGCUUUGUUUAUUUUUAGUAUAUCACAAUCAUCACCUCUGAACGCAUUUGCUUGAGAUAGCUUCAUGUCAUCAUGAUUUGCUUGAAUUGCCCUUUGUGCUUCACUUAAAUUUGUUGAGCUAGGUGGUUGCUCUAGUGCUUCAUUUAUAUCUUUUUUUAACACGGUGGUGCUUUUGUUUUGAAGAAACUUGUUCUCAUGCUUCACUUAUAUCUUUUUGAGAAUGCUAGAAAUUUUAUAAAAAUAUUAGUCUCAUGCUUCACUUAUAUCUUUUUGAGAGUUUGAAAUUAGUUAUGGUAAAAUGUACAGCUAUAAGCUUGGUCUCCAUAUGAUGAAUAUUCAAGAAGGAUAAUGAUAACUAGUAUAAAAAAUUUAUGGGACUUCAAAAACUUGAUUCUUUGCAACAAUUUUGAGAUAUGUAGAUGAUAAUACGUGAGUUAUGUUCAUGAAUAAUUAUACUCUAGUAUGAAUAUUGAUGUUAAGGUUUAUGAUUCCCUAUGCAAGCACGUAAAGUCAAUAGUUAUGCAAUGAAGUUACAUCCUACUUGUGGUGCAUUAUUCGGUGUUGGUUAUGUUUUCUGUAUGCAUGUGCAUCAUUACAAUUUCUUAGUUGGUCGCUUCUCAACCAUUUUGCUAGCCUCCAUUCGUACUAAGCGGGAAUACUGCUUGUGCAUCCAUUACCUUAAACUUGUUUUGCCAAUUGUGUCCAUCAUACCUACAUAUAUACGGUAUUUCAUUGCCGUCCCAAGUAAAUUUGCAUGUGCCAUCUCUAAUAAUUUUCAAAAUAAACUUCUCUUUUGUGUGCCUGUAUUGCUCAUGAAGUGAUAAGGGGUGGACGAUGAAUUCCGUGUUGUAUAUGUCAUUUUCAUGAUGAGUGUUUAUUCACUUGUCAUUGCACGAGAGUGUGGCGGUAAUAAAAGGGAUGCCCAGUCCCAAAAAUAAAUUGAAUUUCCUGGAAUAUGUUGUUAUGGAGGGCACCCGUGAAUACGGCUAGACAUGGAUUGUGAAAGGAAAGGUGGAAAAACUAACUCCUUCGGAUGUGAAUGGAAAAAAGGGACAAAAGUCUCAAAACCAUGGAACGAUGACAGGGAGCAAAAAAUUUCUUUUCAGUUUGGGAGCCGCCUAUGAUGUAUAUAACGUGGAAGGUAAGGAAAGCCUUGAGUCGCUGUCGUUGACGAGAAAACCAGGCCUCCCAAAAUAAAUUUUUUAUCUCUUUUUAAAACUUGAGGUCUGGCACCACUGUAAAUCAAUGCUUCCCUCUGCGAAGGUCGUUCUAUUUAUUUUUAUGUUGAGUCUCAUCCUUCUCAUUAAAAACCAACUAGGGGGUCAUGUGAUCAUGUGUGUGCAUGGAGUAUGAUUGACACUCGACUGUGUUUCAUAAAUCGAUCAAUGGUUGAGCAUAAUGGGCUAGGGAUAAUUUUCUUUAGCAUUGUUAUUUUGAAAGGCAUGGUUGCGUGUUAGCAUUGGAGGGGGUAUAUAUAGCCACAUCAUUGGUCCCGGUUCGUGGCUGGAACCGGGACUAAAGGCCACCCUUCUGUCCUGGUUCUAGGCACGAACCGGGACCAAUGGCUGUGGGCUAGGAGCGAGGACCAUUGGUCCCAUUCGUGCCUAGAACCGGGACAAAUGGGUCCACACGAACCGGGACAAAUGCCUCCCGAGGCCCGGCCGGCCCCCUGGGCGCACGAACCGGGACGUAUGACCCCCAUGGGUCCCGGUUCGUGACUGAACCGGGACUAAUGGGCUGGCCAGGCCCCAACCAAAGCCCUGUUUUCUACUAGUGAGGGGCGAUGCUCUGCGGAGUUCUCCCUCUUGGGGGCGUUGUCGUGGAGCUUAGGUGUGCUAGGUCGUAGCGUGAGCAUGUUUUGUUCUUCUGGUACUUGUUGUUGGUAGCGUAGAAGCAUGCGUUUUGCAUGUGCCGGAUAUCUCAGGAUCGACUUUGUAAGGGCUACCAAACCAUAUUGUAUCAUUUGACCAUGUACAUCUUUGGAUAUUGCUUUGUUUAUAAAGCGGGGAAAAGCCUAUUUCGAGAACAACGAAAACAACAACAACAACAGCAAACAGAUCAACAACUUCAGAAUAGUUUUUCUUUUAAAAUUUCACUUGCUUAAUUAACUACAUGCAUAGGACUUUCUACAGUGUUUUAGAGAACAACAACUACGAUUUGCCUGCUAGCUAGCUAGUUAGGUAUUUCAACACAACAUCAACAGCAAGGAGAAGGAGAAGAACUGUUAACAACCAGGCAGGCAGGUGGAGAGUGAGUGUGUGAGAGUGAGGUCUCUCUGGCUCUUUCCUGUAUGGCUACUCCUACUUCCUUCGCUGACAAAGUCCUGUUCUGAAUCCGUAAUACUGAUUCACAGUAAUGAUGGUGGAUCGACUAUACCUUGACUAAUCCAUGUACAACAAAAAUUACUACGUACAUGAUUAAAAAUCCAAGGGUCAAAUCCUGAUCAAUCGAUCUGGCAAAUUCUGCAUGAAUCUAGCAUGACAUCAAGUGUGAUUAACAGGAGUUUCAAUUAUAAUUAGCCUCCGAGAAGCUACAUGGAGGAGGAUGUAGUCGUGUUUUGUGGCCUUGUCAGAAACUUCGCUUUCCUUCAAUCUGAAAACAAGUGGUAGAGGGUAAAAGAAUGAAAAAAAACAUGUGUAGAGGAUAAGCAACACAUAAAGGCCACACACACAAAAACAGGGGUAUGCUAGCUGGUCCAUGACAUUGACAAGUCAAUUGAUUUGCUGCAACCAUAUAUAUGAAGUGUAGUAUUAUGAACAUGUGUGUGAAACUUGGUUCAAAUUGAUGUACUAUUAACUCGGGAGUAAGGAUUAAUGACAAUUUAAUAUUUCAAUGGAGAGCCACAUGAGUUGUGCAACCUUCUUAUCUGACAUGGAUCUACAUCAAACUAGGUGUUAAUGUUCUCCACAAACUCCAUGUCAGAUUUCAUUGUUCAUUUAUAGUGAGAAUAAUUGAUUACUUAUGCACUUUUCGCCUUUGAUGUUCCACUCACAAAAUAAGUUUAACUACCAACUAUCUCCAAAAACAAUCUUAGCGGGACAAAAAGUAUCCUCUGACAAAUCACGACCCAUCAAACAAGGUUCAAAUUUGAAGGAAAAUGACCCCUUCAACUUGAGUCAAACAAAUAAUUUGCAUACAAUCAACCGAAAUCAUUAUGGGCUUCUUCAGCCCUCCACUCGAUACACACCUACGCAGGGAGUCCACCAUUGUCGCUACCGAACAACAUUUUUGGAGGCGCACAUUAUCACCCAUAAACACAAAAUAAAUCAAAACGCAAUACAAGCCUAAAAGCGGUCAGUUCCUAGGGCCAGAAAAAGCUUGUUGACCUGCAAUUGCACAUGGUUUAUUUUUCACCUAUUUAAGUAUGAGUAUAAAUCCCACAGGGAAUACAUGAAUUGGACUUUGUCCCUAAGAGACACUUAUGGUAAUGUGCCUGCAUAUUAGUUUUCGACACAAAGCAAAGUGAACGCCAAAGAUUAUAAUGACUUUUGAGUUUAGUGCGAACAAAAGUAAAUAAUGCAAAAGAAUUAAAAGAGUGCAGCGGAACGAAUAAAGCAGGGAAACCGGUGGAGGAUUGAAGCAUUCUCAAGGACUCCAUAAUUCCCAUUGCAGUGUGUCUAAGGUAACAUAUGCCACUUCAUAAUUCUAAGCUAGAUACUUGAGUCACUCUUGAAAUUUGUUAUUGGGCGUAUCUGGGUACAAAAUACGUUCUACUCGAGGUGUACUCCGUACCACGAAGGCCACCACGGAAGCUUCCCCACUCUGGUUCUCACUGCGGUAAUUAAGGGUUUCCCCGUGGAAGCGGCCUUAUCAAGGGUUCUCCGUUAUGCCCCUAUCAGUUGCAAAGGCGAGGUAGAGAGUCUUUUACACUCACCUUGAAUUACCUCAACAUCCUAACCUUUACAACCAUGGUAAUAUGCCUCGUGUCCUUGCGACAGAAAUGGUGAGUGGGGCACCUUCACAAAAUUCAUGAAGGCUAUUGAAAAAACAUUCAACAGAGAAUAUCACAUCCUUAUUAACAUUUCAGCCUCCUAUACAUACCAUGGUUCAUCCAUAUCCCUGAGAACUGAGGAAACUACUCACACGUUGAGACAUGGAUGAAACAUCGGAUAAUACAUGUAUGGAUCGUACGAAUAGUGGAUAUAGCGGUGGUAAACAUGGUUUAAACACACGGAUAAUACAUGUAUGGAUCCACAAGGUUUUGGUAUUACAAUGGGAAGGAGAUGGAUGAUGCUGACGUCCCCUUGCACGAGCUGGUGGUGAUAGUGAUCUCCUCCUUUCCUUAAAUCUGCAAGCACAUUUAAAACAACAUCUUGGAGAGAACAGGAAAAAAGAAUUGUGCAGACGCGGUAAAAGCUAGCAAAUUUUACUGUGUAGGCGGGCUUGUGAUGGCUGUGGCAGUGUGGAUCUGACUACCGAGUUGUGACAAGCUGUGUGGGGCGAUGGUGGCGGUCCUCCCUCUUCUGAGCGUGAUAGCUGGCGACGGUGGGUUUCGACAGUCCCUCUCACGGGUGUGGAGGCGGGUCAAGGGGCGGUGAGUGUUGGCCGUGGUUUAGGCUGGCACUGGCGGAUCUGGGCAGGGGGAUUCAAUGGAGAGGCGGGGCUGGCAUUGGUGCGACUUCUCAGCGAGUAGAGUUGCCGGCUGUUCGGAGCGCCCCCACACAAGUUUUAGUGCUUAGUCGCCUUGGAUUAGGGUUUUUUGACUCUGGGUCGUUGUCGGUCAAGCCAAGGUGAAUGCUUGCAGCUCGGUUGGGGGAGGCACCUCCACACAUUGUAGUGUCGGUGAUGAUUGGUAGAUGUGGUGGUCAGGGCUAUGAUAUGCCGGCUGGUGGACCAGUGCCACAGUUCGCAGACUUGGCAUCUACGCACUGAUGCCAGGCUUUACUUGCUGCGAUUUGUGCAUUGUGAAGCGAGCGGGUCUAGGUGGUGCUCAGUGGUGAUGGUUGUGUUAGCAUUGCAUUCGUGCGCGGAUCAGUGCCGGUGAUCGCAAACAUGGCGUGGUGCGAGCUCGCCUGGCCAAGGGCUCGGUGCUGGCUCGCCGGCGGUCCCCCUACUCCACCGACCAUUGGCUGGGGAUGCAGGUGUGGGUGCGUCCUACGGUGGAGGUGCCCAACCAAACUCUUGGACCGAGUCUGGGCUAGGAGUAGAUGGAGUGUUGUCGCUCUUCCUACCAUGGUUGGCUACGUUGUCAUGUGAGCGGCGUAUGGUAUUUCGCGACAAGGAUGCCGGGUUGGCGGCCCCUGAUGGCGGGCCGCAUGAUUGCUCUUUGGCAGGCAUUAUUUCGUUGGUGGUGGCUCCCCUCCUGGGUUGUGGGGGCAACGGGAGGUGUUGCGGUUAGUAGCUCAGACGUGCCCUCUCUCUAGGAGGGGCAGUGUCCUGAUCAAGAUCUGGGGAUCUAACAUCAACGCGCUAGUCCUGAGGACCUCGUGGUGGCACAGGUGAGUUCUCGAGCAAAAGCUCCGUGCCUUGGCGUCGCCGCCAACGACACUCAUGGGUGCCGCACUCUUCUUGAAGACGUCGUUGUGGUUCUUCUCUCCGUGUCAGGGCUCCGGGUGUAGACCUUUGUCUGGUGUGGACUCAGCAGGGGCGACGCUGUGCAGAGUUCUCCCUCUUGGGGCCGUUGUCGUGGAGCUUAGGUGUGCUAGGUCGUAGCGUGAGGAUGUUUUGUUCUUCCGGUGCUUGUUGCCGGUAGCGUAGAAGCGUGCGUUUUGCAUGUGCCGAACAACUCAGGACCGACUUUGUAAGGUCUACGUGACCAUAUUGUAUCAUUUGGCCGUGUGCAUCUUUGGAUGUUGCUUUGUUUAUAAAGCGGGGCAAAAGCCUAUUUCGACAACAACGAAAACAACAGCAACAACAAACAAAUCAACAACUUCAGAAUAGUUUAUCUUUUAAAAUUUCACUUGCUUAAUUAACAACAUGCAUAGGACUUUCUAAAGUGUUUUAGAGAAGGACAACUACGAUUUGCUAGCUAGCUAGUUAGGUAUUUCAACACACCAUUAACAGCAAGGAGAAGGAGAAGAACUGUUAACUGCCAGGCAGGCAGGUGGAGAGUGGGUGUGUGAGAGUAAGUCUCUCUGGCUUUUUCCUGUAUGGCUACUCCUACUUCCAUCGCUGACAAAGACCUGUUCUGAAUCUGUAAUACUGAUUCACAGUAAUGAUGGUGGAUCGACUAUAUCUUGACUAAUCCAUGUACAACGAAAAUUACUACGUACAUGAUUAAAAAUCCAAGGGUCAAAUCCUGCUCAAUCGAUCCGGCAAAUUCUGCACGAAUCUAGCAUGACAUCAUGUGUGAUUAACAGGAGUUUCAAUUAUAAUUAGCCUCCGAGAAGCUACAUGGAGGAGGAUGUUGUCGUGUUUUUGGCCUUGUCAGAAACUUCGCUUUCCAUCAAUCUGAAAACAAGUGGUAGAGGGCAAAAAAAAAUAAAAAAACAUGUGUAGAGGAUACCGCAACACAUAAAGCCACACACACAAAAACAGCAGUAUGCUAGCUGGUCCAUGACAUUGACAAAUCAAUUGAUUUGCUGCAACCAUAUGUACGAAUAAUAUCGCCAAGGAUAAGAGAAGGAGAAAAAAAUAUAAAUAUACCGAUAGGCUCUUCUUUUGUUCAUGGAUGCAUGUUGCAUGAGCCAAGUGUAUUGGCAGUAUGGCUUGUGUUUGCUGCAUGAUGGCGGCAGGUUCCCAUUCAGUUAGGCAUGCUAAGUCCUAAAUUCAUUUAUUCACGUAUCGGGUAGAAGGAGAACAAAUUUCAUUUCUUUUCUGUAGGUUCCUUGCUUAAAAGAAAAUAGAAAAAAAGACACUUCUAUAAUUACCAGAAAAAAUCAACUGUAUGUCGCUCAGUCUUCCCUUUUUGUUCGGUAUCAGUACCAACAAUCAUAGUACUAAUAGCUUUCUAUACUGGCGGUAGUAAAUUCAAUAAAAGAAACCUGGAGACUAUCUGAACAAUUUGAAACAAUAUGUACAAACUGAGAUCAACUAACGACAGAAAUCCAAAAGAAAUGUUCAUGUCUACGUGGAGUGAAUCGAUCAAGCCGUGCAAAGCCCUAACAAUUCGUUUUGUAUUAAUAACUCAUAUGACAAUACAACCGCUCCAUAUGAAAAGGUAAUAUGAUGAUUCAUGAAUGCUUAUCCAUCUUAUAAAUAUAUUGUGCAAAAAAUAUCGAGUUAGUUCAGAGAAAACGAUGUCUAGAACAAUCUUCACAUUAAUAGUGUGAUCUAUCUCAAUGACUCACACAAGAUUACAUAGUUUGUUCCCUUAAGUAUGGCAAUCUGGAUACGCCUAACAAUAUGUAGAACAUGACAAACUAAAUCAGAACAAGGGACAAAAUCCAGAUCAAUGUUUGAAGUGUAAAGUGAAUACGAUGAGUCAUUUGUCGUUAUCAAGCAUUCCAUACACCUAGAUGAUAUGUGCAAGAACAAUCAACUAUGACGAACAAUCCAAAAUCAUGAUAGUAAGUAGUACCAUAAAACACGACAUACCAAAUUAUUGUAAAUGAUAAGCUUAAGAGCACUUUUUCAAGAAGCACGUGUGAAGAUUACAAACUUAGUUCCCUUAAGUUAUGCCAAUCUGGAUACACCUAACAACAUGUAGAACAUGACAAACUAAAUCGGAAAGACGGACAAAAUCUAGAUCAAUGUUUGAAGUGUAAAGUGAAUACGAUGAGUCAUUCGUCAUGAUCAAGCAUUCGAUACAGCCAGAUGAUAUGUGCAAGAACAAUCAACUAUGAUGAACAAUCGAAAAUCAUGCUAGGAAGUAGUGCCACCAAACACAACAUACCAAAUUAUUAGGUCGAUAGUCUUAAGUGCACUUUUUCAAGAAAGGAGUGGGAAGAUGAAAACAAAAUAUGUCAUGCCUGCUAUAAUUACGACUACACCAUGUGGGUCUCUUCCAUCAUCUAACCUUCAAGAACCUAGAGCAAAAACACCAAAGCCAAGUGAGCAAUAGUAAACACAAAUCAAACAUGAAGACCUUCAUCAUAUUUGUCCUCCUUGCUAUGGUGAUGAGCAUCGCCAGUGCCACUAGGCAACUAAGCCCUAGAGGCAAGGAGUUGCAAACACCACAAGAACAAUUCCCCCAACAGCAAUUCCCUCAACCACAACAAAUCCUCCAACAACAAUUCCCCCAACAACAACAAAUCCCCCAGCAACCGCAACAAUUCCCCCAACAGCAAAUCCCACAACAGCAAAUCCCGCAACAACAAUUCCCCCAACCACNNNNNNNNNNNNNNNNNNNNNNNNNNNNNNNNNNNNNNNNNNNNNNNNNNNNNNNNNNNNNNNNNNNNNNNNNNNNNNNNNNNNNNNNNNNNNNNNNNNNNNNNNNNNNNNNNNNNNNNNNNNNNNNNNNNNNNNNNNNNNNNNNNNNNNNNNNNNNNNNNNNNNNNNNNNNNNNNNNNNNNNNNNNNNNNNNNNNNNNNNNNNNNNNNNNNNNNNNNNNNNNNNNNNNNNNNNNNNNNNNNNNNNNNNNNNNNNNNNNNNNNNNNNNNNNNNNNNNNNNNNNNNNNNNNNNNNNNNNNNNNNNNNNNNNNNNNNNNNNNNNNNNNNNNNNNNNNNNNNNNNNNNNNNNNNNNNNNNNNNNNNNNNNNNNNNNNNNNNNNNNNNNNNNNNNNNNNNNNNNNNNNNNNNNNNNNNNNNNNNNNNNNNNNNNNNNNNNNNNNNNNNNNNNNNNNNNNNNNNNNNNNNNNNNNNNNNNNNNNNNNNNNNNNNNNNNNNNNNNNNNNNNNNNNNNNNNNNNNNNNNNNNNNNNNNNNNNNNNNNNNNNNNNNNNNNNNNNNNNNNNNNNNNNNNNNNNNNNNNNNNNNNNNNNNNNNNNNNNNNNNNNNNNNNNNNNNNNNAACAACAAUUCCCCCAACAACAAUUCCCCCAGCAACCACAACAACAAUUCCCCCAACAACAAUUUCCCAUACCAUACCCACCCCAACAACAAUCACAAGAAGCUUCCCCAUACCAACAAUACCACAACAACACCUAUCUGGGAACGACGUUAUAAGUAUCAGUGGCCGAUGAAAUAAAGAGAUGUACUACUAGACAGGUGAAUCAUCGUUGUUAGUCAAUGGAGCAUAAUGUAACGGGUAUAAAUAAAAUGAUGUGCACCAUCAUGUGUAACCCCGACAUGUACUAGUUCAAACAUGGGAAUAAAAGACAAAUAAGUUCUUUUCUGAAGCACAUUGCUGGCAAUCGUUAUAUUCAUGCCAUAUUUCGAUUUCCAUCGGUAACUCCAAUCUCAAUGUUAUGGUCUAUCUACUUAUUUAUGAAGUGUAGUAUUAUGAACAUAACAUAAUUAACAUGUCUGAAAAUUGGCUCAAAUUGAAGUACUACUAAUUCAAGAGUAAGGAGUAAUUACAAUUUAACAUUUCAAUGGAGAGCUCUAAUUGUAGACUGCGUUGUUAAUUCCCCGAAGAGGAAAGGAUGAUGUAGUAUAGUAGAGAUAAGUGUUUCCCUCAGCUAAGAACCAAGGUUAUCAAUCCAGUAGGAGAACCGCACAAAACCUCGUUAGCAGCACCUGCACACACAAAAGCAAACACUUGCACCGAACGCAAAUAAGAGGGUUGUCAAUCCUCUUAGCGAUUAUUUGCAAGGAUUAGUUCUGACAGUGAUACAUAGAUAAAAUAAAUUACUAAAUAAAAUAAAAAUAAAUAAAUUGCAGCAAUGUAUUUUUGUGCUUUUAUAUAUGAUAAAAGUAGACCCGGGGGGGGCAUAGUUUUCACUAGAGGAUUCUCUCUUGAUCAUAAAACAUAUGGUGGGUAAACACAUUACUGUUGGGCAAGCUAUUAUAUACUAAAAGGAAAAUACUGGUCCAAAAUAGAGAAUAGGCUAGAAAAUCUGGCGUUAAUUAGAAAAUAUGAACCCUUGAUCCGUUUAAUUUUAAAAAUUAUAAAUCUAUGACCGUUCAAUAUACGUAACAAGGUCGGGCGUGGAUAACUUCCCGCGUAACGUGACACAUGUAAGAAACACAAACAUGAGUCCAGUUAAGGCAAACACGUAGAUGUGUUGAAGUGGGAAUGAAUAGAAUUGCUACGUCCGAAUAUGCAAGAGAUAGAAAAGAUGAAGAAAACUAAAGAACAUGUCGUGUUCAGAUUGGACUAAACGUAUGUGCGUAUACAACCACAACCACAAUCCGAAAGAUCCAGCCAUUAAUCCCGUGGGUCCAUCCAAAACAAAAGGUGGAUAUCCAUCUAAUUGCCCCACGUCCAUGGAACAUACUUAUUAGAGUCCACAAACAGUAGCCGCUGGUCUCUUUUACGUGAUCCUCCUUGCACUGUUAGGACUUUGCCGUCGGACAUCCUUAAGUUCUUGUGAAGUUCACAUCUAAAAAUACUAUCAUAGUAAAAAAAUCCAUUUCAUACUCCAAGAAAGAUAUCACCAUCCCAAAGUUUCAAUUGCAAUCUAAGUUUUGCCACAACUGGGUAUUUAAAACUUAUUUUACCACAGCUCGGCAAUUUCAGCCACUAAGGUUUUUGUGGCAGAUGAAGCAUCUUCCCAUUGGAAACUCCCAACUGUAAAAAGACUAGCAAAUUAGCAAUCAUUGGCAAAUCAGCAAUCUUAUAGCGGCAGCAGCUCCCAUCAAUCAGGUAACUCAUCUUCCAAAAAUCAGAGACAAUAAGCAACCAUACACAUCAUGCACAUAUGAUAUUAACAUAAUUACAUAUGUGAUUUCUGUGUUGAAUUUCGUACAACAUUACCAUGAAGAGAAGCGCAUCCACAUGGCAAGUAAUUUCCAAAAGCCGCCAAAAAGGUGAAAAGCAAUCAAAUAUGCAAUCCAACAAGUUAAUUAUUAAGCUAUAGACCAUGCAUGUUUCAGUGGUGCAUACAAGAUCAGUAGAACAAAUUCCUAGCCGUUACGACAUUCAUCAGGGAGGCGAGGACUAUGAAGCGACGGGUUGCGAGCUGGAGGGAAUGGCGGCGCACCCCGUGUCUCAGCCGAGAGAGGAGAGGCCGGGGAUAGAAUUAAGAGAGACACGAGUGAUGUCAGAUGAUAGGCUAGGGAUCGUUGGGCGUUCUCACAUAUUGCGUGGAGGAGGUUAGCUAAAUGGGCCAGCACAAAGGCCCAGUCAACCGCAGGUGGCAGAGUUUUCUCCCAGUGCAGCAGCCCUUUAGGACAGUUGAGCCAAGAAAUAUAGUUACAAAAUUAGGAAUUCAUCCAACAGUCAGAAAUGAUCUAUACAAGUGAUCUGAUAGUUACAAAUGUUGAAUGCUUGAGAGAGCUGGGAUAAGGCUAAGUUUUACUGUCCUAAAUGUAUUAGAUAUGUAGAAUCUGACAGUUAUUAAAGUUUAAUUGUCCUUCAGAAAAAACUAUGGCUAAUCACCACUACGCUAAUUACUUUUUACAAUUGUUGUACAUGAAUGGGGGUUAGGCAAGCGUAACACUGCUGAUGAGGGUCCCAAACCCGAUAAAGGUGGAGGGUGCAUAAUCAAAUUAACAUCUAACACUAACAUGCAAUACCUUUUAAGUUCAUAUAUUGAUUCAAUCGCAAAAGGGAAAAAUGAAACAAAAGUAGGCAGCGGGACCUGGAAGUCAACAGAGGAAACAGAAGGGUAUGCUCAUCGUGUGGAAUCGUUUGUGGGGGGCGAGCUGAGUAAACAGAGGAAGGUGAUCGAACGACGUCUCAGGUUUAUUUGUUUACUGAACAGACAGACAUGUGUAAGUUUUUUUUCCCUUUGAGGGGAAAGACGUGUGUAACUAGGGAGGGAUGAUUUUGCACGUUCUGUAUUUUUUUCCACCAGAAAACAGAUACUACUUUAACAAAUAAAUCCUACACUAAAUAUUUUAUAUGCUGCAAAUUAUAGGCCACAUACGCAUGAGCCUAAAUUAUAGGCGACUAUUUCAUAGGGUGAAAGUAAACAAAAUAGAAAAUCUUAUAGGCGACAUGAGCAUGAACCUAAAUUAUAUAUUUUAUAUGCUGCAAAUUAUUUUAAAAACAUGUGAAAAUAUAGUGCAUGAUCAUCAGACCAAAAACUCUAGCCUGUACAAAACACUCAUAUUUAGACGUAUAUUUCAUAUGGAGCUGCCAAUUCAUAUCAAUCCGGCACUACAACAGUAACACUAUCGUGCAGCCGCUUAAGUCAAAUCUAAAGUUAAAGCUAAUCAACACAAAAUAUCCAAUGUAAAAGGAAUUACUUAUACUAAAAAUAUAAAAUAUACCUAAGAGUGCGAAAGAUGACGAAUAUUUACUAUAAGAGUGCUAGCCCUCGCAUUUGCGAGGGCCACCUUGCUAGUUGAUAAAAAACAAAUAAUUAUGAUGGAUUCAUGGCAAUGAUCAUGUAUAUAGGCAUCACGUUCGAGACAAGUAGACCGACUCCCGUCUGCAUCUACUACUAUUACUCCACCCAUCGACCGCUAUCCAGCAUGCAUCCAGAGUAUUAGGUAUAAAACAGAGUGACGCCUUAAGUACGAUGACAUGAUAUAGAUAAAGUAAAUUCAAGAAAUAUGAUUAAACCCCAUCUUUUUAUCCUUAAUUGUCAGCCCAUUGGCUGUUAUUUUCCCCGAUCUGACCAUCCGUGACGCUCCUGUUGUUCGCAACGCUACCGCUACGACUGCGGGAGCAUGUCAUUUUCGUUAUACAUGUAACCCAAAAAUAUCUCUAACAUUAAUGACAACAAUACAAAUACGUGUUAUGUCCCUUUUUGUCACUGGGAUUGAGCAAUGCAAGAUUGAAUCCAUCACAAAGCACCUCUCCCCAUUGCAAGAUAAACCAAUCUAGUUGGCCAAACCAAAUCGAUAGAUCAGGGAGAAAUAUAAAGCUAAAAUAAUCACGCAUAAAAGAGCUCAGAGAAGACUCAAAUAUUUCUCAUGAAUCAUAUGAUCAUAAACUCACGAUUCAUUGGAUCCCAACAAACACACCGGAAAAGAAGAUUACAUCGGAUAGAAAUCCAAGAACAUCGGGGAUAACUUUGUAUUGAAUAUCAAAGAGAGAGAAGAAGCCAUUUAGCUACUGGCUAUGGACCCAUAGGUGUGUGGUAAAAUACUCACACAUCAUCGGAAGGGCAGCAUGGUUUAUGUGGAAGCCCUUCGUGAUCGAUUCCCCCUCCGGCAGAGUACUGGAAAAGGCCUCCCGACGGGAUCGCGGAAAAACAGAGGCUUGCGGCGGAGAAAAAGUUUUCUCAUCUAUCUCUCUGGUGGUUAUGGAAUAUUUGUGAUUUAUAGUGGAAGAAUUAGGUCAGGAGGUGCCACGAGGGGGCCAUAAGCCUAGGGGCGCGGUGAUACGUCCAUUUUGCAUCAUGUUUUAUUACAGUUAUUUAUUAAGUUUUGAGCUAAUAUAACACUUCAUGGAGUAUUUCUAAUGCAUUUUCUCUCUUAAUAUGCAAGGUUUACACAAAGAGGGAGAAUACCGGCAGCUGGAUUUCAGGGCCUGAAAAAGCUACAUCAGAGAUCCCUAUUCUGCACAUCUCCAAAUGGGCUGAAAAUUCACGAAGAUUUAUUUUAGAAUAUAAAAAAAUACUGGGCCAAAGAUCCACGGGAGGAGGCCACCCAGGUGCCCACACAGCAAUAGGGCGCGCCCCACCCCUAGGGCGCGCCCUGAUGCUGUAUGAGGCCCCUGGCCCAAUUCAGGCCCCCUCCUUCUGGUAUAUAAGUCAUUUUACCAUAAAAUAUUUAUGGGGAGACUUUCAGGACGAGGCGCCGCUGCCACGAGGCGGAACUAGAGCAGGAGAAAUUUGGCUCUCCGGCGUGCAGAUUCCGCCGGGGAUACUUCCCUCCGGGUGGUGGAAAUCGAAGCUUACGUCAUCACUAACAACCCUCUCAUCGUGGGAGGACCAAUCUUCAUCAUCAUAAACCACAACACCAUCUCAUCUCUAUCCCUAGUUCAUAUCUUGUAUUCGAUCUCUGUGUCAAAACAUUAGAUUGGUACUUGUGUUUGACUAGUAGUGUUGAUUACUUAUCGUAGUUGAUGCUAGUGGAUUUGUUUGGUGAAUUACCAAAUGUUCUGAUCGUGCAUCCAAAUUAUAUUCUCUCUGAUCAUGAACAUGAUGAUGAUGUGUGAGUAGUUACUUUUAUUCUUGAGGACAUGGGAGAAGUCUUGUCAUUAGUAAUCAUGUGAUUCCGGUAUUCGUUCAAUAUUUUGAUGAUAUGUAUGUUGUGAUUCUCUUAGUGGUGUCAUAUGAACGUCGACUACAUGACACUUCACCAUUGAUGGGCCUAAGGGAACUCAUUGUGGAGUAGUAAUUAGAUGAUGGGUUGCUAGAGUGACAGAAGCUUAAACCCCAGUUUAUGCACUAUUCCGUAAGGGGCUGAUUUGGAUCCACUAGUUUAAUGCUAUGGUUAGACUUUGUCUUAAUUCUUUUUUCUUAGUUGCGGAUGUCGGUGUCAAAACCGACAGAUCUCGGGUAGGGGGUCCCAAGCUGUGGGUCUAGGAUCAAUAGGUAACAGUGACGAUGAACACGGUGUUUUACCCAGGUUCGGGCCCUCUGGAUGGAGGUAAAACCCUAUGUCCUGCUCUUGUUUGUAUUGAUGAAGUAUCAAGGUACAGAGUUGAUCUACCUCGAGAUCAUAUGUUCUGGUCUAAACCCUAGGGGUAUGAUCAGUAAUGUCAUAAUGAUGAUAAUAAUCUAUCGACUAGCCUGGCCUCGGCUUAUAUAAUGUACCAGAGGCCUAGGAUAACAAGACACCUAGUUAGCUAUGUUGGUGGAGAGGAGUCCUUGUCUUGGUCACCAAGUCUUGUGGAAUCUUUCCUGUAUAUGUCAUCGGUUGUCCGAACUGGCCCAUUAGUGAGGUCCUCGGUCCGACCCACUGGUCGGGAGACAACGUGGUGAGUACCCCCUAGUCCAGGACACCGUCAGCGGAUGCUUGCGAGAGGGGGUAAUCAUAAGUGGGAGGCUUGUUCAAGUAAGAACAGCACCCAAGCACCGGUCCACCCACAUAUCAAAUCAUCAAAGUAGCGAAAGCGAAUCGAAUGAACAUGAUGAAAGUGACUAGAUGAAAUUCCCGUGUGUCCUCAAGAACGCUUUUCUCAUUAUAAGUACUAGUUCUGGCCUGUCCUUUGCACUAAAAAGGAUUGGGAUAUCUUGCUGCACUUUAUUUACAUUUGUCACUUGCUACUCGUUACCAAUUAUCUUGCUAUCAGACUACUCGCUACCGCUUGUUUCAGUGUUUGCAAAAAUAUCGUUAUUGAAAACCGCAAGUCAUUUCCUUUUUCUUCUCGUUGGGUUCGACACUCUUACUUAUCGAAAGGACUAUGAUUGAUCCCCUAUACUUGUGGGUCAUCACGCGGCCACCCACCUGGGGCGCUCCGUCCCUAGCUUAUCACUCCCUCGAGACUCCUCGGGUCUUCCCCGAAGCUUCCAGGGUCUCUUUUGGUCCAGAAAACUUAAUCCAAUGUUUUUCUGUGUUUGUACCUUUUUUAUAAUGAUAUUAUAAAAUGAUAAAAACAAGCAAAAAAUAACAACUGGCACUAGGCACUACGUUAAUAGGUUAGUCCCAAAAAAUGAUACAAAAAUAGCAAAAAGUUGCAUAUAAAACAUCCAAGAAUGAUAAUAUAAUGGCACGAAACAAUAAAACAUUACAGAUAGGAGGCGUAUCAAGCAUCCCCAAGCUUAUUUCUUGCUCGUCCUCGAGUAGGUAAAUGAUAAAAACAAAAUUUUUGAUGUGGAAUGCUACCUAACAUGUUUCAUCAUGUAAUCUCUCUUACGGUAUGAAUAAUAAGAUCCGAAUGAUUCAAAGCAAUAGUCUAUAAUUUGAUAUAAAGACAUCAAUACUCAGGCAUACUAACAAACAAUCAUGCCUUUCAAAAUAACGAUGCUAACCCAAGUUAUCCCUACAAAAUCAUAUAAUCCUAUCAUGCUCCAUCUUCUUAACACAAAGUAUUUAUGAUGCACUACCCCAAUGACAAUCCAGGCAAUUGGUUCAUACUUCUUAACGUGCUUCAGCUUCAACCCCCGCGCAAUACAUGAUGGCAAGCCAAGGACAUAACACUAUGGAUGGAAUAGAACAUGAUGAUAGAGAUCAAUAAGGGGAAAUCCAAAAUAAGAAGAUAGUCUCACAUCAAUGCGGCUAACAAACGGGCUAUAGAGAUGCCCAAAAAUUGAUGUCAAUGCAAGGAGUAGGGAUUCCCAUGCAACGGAUGCACUAAGAAGGCACCCAAGGUAAUAUCCAAGGAGACUCCAGCGUCGAAGCUUGGGGAUGCCCCGGAAGGCAUCCCCUCUUAAUUCUAAUGACUAUCAGUAACGCACUUGAGGCAACAUUUUUACUCAUCACAUGAUAUGAGUUUUUCUUGGAGCGUCUUGUAUGAUAUGAGUCUUUGCUUUGUUUAUUUUUAGUUUAUCACAAUCAUCACCUCUGAACGCAUUUGCUUGAGAUAGCUUCACGUCAUCAUGAUUUACUUGAAUUGCCCUUUGUGCUUCACUUAAAUUUGUUGAGCUAGGUGGUUGCUCUAGUGCUUCAUUUAUAUCUUUUUUAACACGGUGGUGCUUUUGUUUUGAAGAAACUUGUUCUCAUGCUUCACUUAUAUCUUUUUGAGAAUGCUAGAAAUUUUAUAAAAAUAUUAGUCUCAUGCUUCACUUAUAUCUUUUUGAGAGUUCGAAAUUAGUUAUGGUAAAAUGUACAAGCUAUAAGCUUGGUCUCCAUAUGAUGAAUAUUCAAGAAGGAUAAUGAUAACUAGUAUAAAAAAUUUAUGGGACAUGAAUAACUUGAUUCUUUGCAACAAUUUUGAGAUAUGUAGAUGAUAAUACGUGAGUUAUGUUCAUGAAUAAUUAUACUCUAGUAUGAAUAUUGAUGUUAAGGUUUAUGAUUCCCUAUGCAAGCACGUAAAGUCAAUAGUUAUGCAAUGAAGUUACAUCCUACUUGUGGUGCAUUAUUCGGUGUUGGUUAUGUUUUAUGUAUGCAUGUGCAUCAUUACAGUUUCUUAGUUGGUCGCUUCUCAACCAUUUUGCUAGCCUCCAUUCGUACUAAGCGGGAAUACUGCUUGUGCAUCCAUUACCUUAAACUUGUUUUGCCAAUUGUGUCCAUCAUACCUACAUAUAUACGGUAUUUCAUUGCCGUCCCAAGUAAAUUUGCAUGUGCCAUCUCUAAUAAUUUUCAAAAUAAACUUCUCUUUUGUGUGCCUGUGUUGCUCAUGAAGUGAUAAGGGGUGGACGAUGAAUUUCGUGUUGUAUAUGUCAUUUUCAUGAUGAGUGUUUAUUCACUUGUCAUUGCACGAGAGUGUGGCGGUAAUAAAAGGGAUGCCCAGUCCCAAAAAUAAAUUGAAUUUCCUGGAAUGUGUUGUUAUGGAGGGCACCCGUGAAUACGGCUAGACAUGGAUUGUGAAAGGAAAGGUGGAAAAACUAACUCCUUCGGAUGUGAAUGGAAAAAAGGGACAAAAGUCUCAAAACCAUGGAACGAUGACAGGGAGCAAACAAUUUCUUUUCAGUUUGGGAGCCGCCUUUGAUGUAUAUAACUUGGAUGGUAUCGAAAGCCUUGAGUCGUUGUCGUUGACGAGAAAAGCAGGCCUCCCAAAAUAAUUUUUUAUCUCUUUUUAAAACUUGAGGUCUGGCACCACUGUAAAUCAAUGCUUCCCUCUGCGAAGGUCGUUCUAUUUAUUUUUAUGUUGAGUCUCAUCCUUCUCAUUAAAAAACCAACUAGGGGGUCAUGUGAUCAUGUGUGCGCAUGGAGUAUGAUUGACAUUCGACUGUGUUUCAUAAAUGGAUCAAUGGUUGAGCAUAAUGGGCUAGGGAUAAUUUUCUUUAGCAUUGUUAUUUUGAAAGGCAUGGUUGCGUGUUAGCAUUGGAGGGGGUAUAUAUAGCCACCUCAUCGGUCCCGGUUUGUGGCUGGAACCGGGACUAAAGGCCACCCUUCUGUCCUGGUUCUAGGCACGAACCGGGACCAAUGGCUGUGGGCUAGGAACGAGGACCAUUGGUCCCAUUCGUGCCUAGAACCGGGACAAAUGGGUACACACGAACCGGGACAAAUGCCUGCCGAGGACCGGCCGGCCCCCUGGGCGCACGAACCGGGACGUAUGACCCCCAUGGGUCCCGGUUCGUGACUGAACCGGGACUAAUGGGCUGGCCAGGCCCCAACCAAAGCCCUGUUUUCUACUAGUGAGGGGCGACGCUCUGCGGAGUUCUCCCUCUUGGGGGCGUUGUCGUGGAGCUUAGGUGUGCUAGGUCGUAGCGUGAGCAUGUUUUGUUCUUCUGGUACUUGUUGCUGGUAGCAUAGAAGCAUGCGUUUUGCAUGUGCCGGAUAUCUCAGGAUCGACUUUGUAAGGGCUACCAAACCAUAUUGUAUCGUUUGACCAUGUACAGCUUUGGAUGUUGCUUUGUUUAUAAAGCAGGGCAAAAUCCUAUUUCGAGAAUAAAGAAAACAACAGCAACAGCAAACAGGUCAACAACUUCAGAAUAGUUUUUCUUUUAAAAUUUCACUUGCUUAAUUAACUACAUGCAUAGGACUUUCUACAGUGUUUUAGAGAAGGACAACUAUGAUUUGCUAGCUAGUUAGGUAUUUCAACAGAACAUUAACAGCAAGGAGAAGGAGAAGAACUGUUAACAACCAGGCAGGCAGGUGGAGAGUGAGUGUGUGAGAGUGAGGUCUCUCUGGCUUUUUCCUGUAUGGCUACUCCUACUUCCUUCGCUGACAAAGACCUGUUCUGAAUCCGUAAUACUGAUUCAUAGUAAUGAUGGUGGAUCGACUAUACCUUGACUUAUCCAUGUACAACAAAAAUUACUACGUACAUGAUUAAAAAUCCAAGGGUCAAAUCCUGAUCAAUUGAUCCAGCAAAUUCUUCAUGAAUCUAGCAUGACAUCAAGUGUGAUUAAUAGGAGUUUCAAUUAUAAUUAGCCUCCGAGAAGCUACAUGGAGGAGGAUGUAGUCGUGUUUUGUGGCCUUGUCAGAAACUUCGCUUUCCAUCAAUCUGAAAACAAGUGGUAGAGGGCAAAAGAAUGAAAAAAAACAUGUGUAGAGGAUACGCAACACAUAAAGGCCACACACACAAAAACAGCGGUAUGGUAGCUGGUCCAUGACAUUGACAAGUCAAUUGAUUUGCUGCAACCAUAUAUAUGUACGAAUAAUAUCGCCAAGGAUAAGAGAAGGAAAAAAUAUAAAUAUACCGAUAGGCUCUUAUUUAGUUCCUGGAUGCAUGUUGCAUGAGCCAAGUGUAUCGGCAGUAUGGCUUGUGUUUGCUGCAUGAUGGCGGCAGGUUCCCAUUCAGUUAGGCAUGCUAAGUCCUAAAUUCAUUUAUUCACGUAUCGGGUAGAAGGAGAACAAAUUUCAUUUCUUUUCUGUAGGUUCCUUGCUUAAAAGAAAAUAGAAAAUAUACACUUAUAUAAUUACGAGAAAAAAUCAACUGUAUGUCGCUCAGUCUUCCCUUUUUGUUCCGUAUCAGUAUCAACAAUCAUAGUACUAAUAGCUUUCUAUACUGGCGCUAGUAAAUUCAAUAAAAGAAACAUGGAGACUAUCUGAACAAUUUGAAACAAUAUAGACAAACUGAGAUCAACUAACAACAGAAAUCCAAAAGAAAUGUUCAUGUCUACGUGGAGUGAAUCGAUCAAGCCGUGCAAAGCCCUAACAAUUUGUUUUGUAUUAAUAACUCAUAUGAUAAUACAACUCCUCCAUAUGAAAAGGUAAUAUGAUGAUUCAUGAAUGCUUAUCCAUCUUAUAAAUAUAUUGUGCACAAAAUAUCGAGUUAGUUCAGAGAAAACGGUGUCUAGAACAAUCUUCACAUUAAUAGUGUGAUCUAUCUCAAUGACUCACACAAGAUUACAAAGUUUGUUCCCUUAAGUAUGCCAAUCUGGAUACGCCUAACAAUAUGUAGAACAUGACAAACUAAAUCAGAACAAGGGACAAAAUCUAGAUCAAUGUUUGAAGUGUAAAGUGAAUACGAUGAGUCAUUUGUCGUUAUCAAGCAUUCCAUACACCUAGAUGAUAUGUGCAAGAACAAUCAACUAUGACGAACAAUCCAAAAUCACGAUAGUAAGUAGUACCAUAAUACACAACAUACCAAAUUAUUGUAAAUGAUAAGCUUAAGAGCACUUUUUCAAGAAGCAAGUGUGAAGAUUACAAACUUAGUUCCCUUAAGUUAUGCCAAUCUGGAUACACCUAACAACAUGUAGAACAUCACAAACUAAAUCGAAAGACGGACAAAAUCUAGAUCAAUGUUUGAAGUGUAAAGUGAAUACGAUGAGUCAUUAGUCGUGAUCAAGCAUUCGAUACAGCCAGAUGAUAUUUGCAAGAACACAACAUACCAAAUUAUUAGGUCGAUAAUCUUAAGUGCACUUUUUCAAGAAAAGAGUGGGAAGAUGAAAACAAAAUAUGUCAUGCCUGCUAUAAAUACGACUACACCAUGUGGGUCUCUUCCAUCAUCUAACCUUCAAGCACCUAGAGUAAAAACACCAAAGCCAAGUGAGCAAUAGUAAACACAAAUCAAACAUGAAGACCUUCAUCAUAUUUGUCCUCCUUGCUAUGGUGAUGAGCAUCGCCAGUGCCACUAGGCAACUAAGCCCUAGAGGCAAGGAGUUGCAAACACCACAAGAACAAUUCCCCCAACAGCAAUUCCCUCAACCACAACAAAUCCUCCAACAACAAUUCCCCCAACGACAACAAAUCCCCCAGCAACCGCAACAAUUCCCCCAACAGCAAUUCCCGCAACAGCAAAUCCCACAACAGCAAAUCCCGCAACAACAAUUCCCCCAACCACANNN
This 99823-nucleotide long non-coding RNA is filed under the name Triticum aestivum (bread wheat). Its description in RNAcentral is "long non-coding RNA (TAES_LNC012360)". The record is from RNAcentral. Lineage: Eukaryota; Viridiplantae; Streptophyta; Magnoliopsida; Poales; Poaceae.